This 90355-nucleotide long non-coding RNA is filed under the name Gossypium barbadense (sea-island cotton). RNAcentral's name for it is "long non-coding RNA (GBAR_LNC000807)". Lineage: Eukaryota; Viridiplantae; Streptophyta; Magnoliopsida; Malvales; Malvaceae. The record is from RNAcentral.
AAGGUGACCGUCUGUGGCACACAGCCGUGUGAUAGCCUGCUUCCUAGGCCAUGUGUGGAAACACAAAGAUAUAUAGACUUUUUCAUACCCUUUUUAACUCAAAUUCAUGUAAUUUCGUAGUAAUUCUUGCCAAAAAAAUAUAAUAUAAUUAUAAAAUAAUUAAUUUGCACUUAAAUCAUUAACAUAUUGAAUUUUAAUUAAUUUUAUAAUAAAUUCUCAUAAAUUUUGAUUUAUUUUCGACAGAUUUGCACAAAAGAUGAAAUUGGCUCAGUGGACACUACUAGAAGCACAAAACUGUGAAGUGAUUUUUGAAACAUCGAGGCGAAUUAAUUUUUCAGCCUAAGACGGAUCAAAUGAUGAAUACUAAUACAUAAUAUAAUUAAUUUUAAUUAUAUCUAAUUUAUUUUGGGUAAAAAAAUUAUUAUUAAUUAUAAUAUAAAAGGAGGCCCAGUUGUGCUAAACCAAAAGACUAAUCCAAUCGAGCAAAUGGGCUGCCCAAAACCGUUCACCAUGCUGACCCAAUCAGCUUAAAAAAGAUGAUUUAUCAACUUGCAAAUCAGCCCUUGAAGUCUCCUUGAAAUUGCAUUCAAACCCCUCCACUUUCUAUCCUUUUAAAGAUUCACCCCAAGCUAAAUUUAGCAAGUUUGAAACACUCAAACUUGCCAUAUGUGUGGCCAGCCAAAAGGGUAUAUGGCUACAGAAUUUUUUCUAUUUUUAUUAGCCAAUCCCACCUAUAAAUACCUCAUUCACCUAUUCAUUUCAACACACUUUUCAUUAUUCACAUCUCUCUCACUUUCUCUUCUUGUUUCCCAUUUUCUUUCUUAUCCCUUCCUUGUCGGUUUCCCUCUUGAAAAAGAGCCCUUCAACCACCUUGGGUAGCAGCAUUCAAGUGCUUUUAGAAGCCUCAGUUCAACAAGAAUGAGUGGAGAAGGAAGAGCAGACCAAACUAGUCAGGCUUUAGAGAAACACAGGAUUUGAUUCUAGUUCCCUAUCAUUUAACUUUUAUUGUUGUUAUGAACAUGUCUAUGAAUAUUUGUUAUGUUGUUAUUCUUAAUUUAAUUAACAUGUGUUAAAUUUAAUUCGUGUUAGGUUGAUUGAAUUUCGUCCACUUAAGUUAUUAAAAUUAUGUUUGUGUUGUUAUAGAUCUUGGUAAAUUGUUUGAUUAAGUAAAAUAAUGAUUAUGUUAUUCCAGCAUUAUAAUUGUAAGGUAACUAAUGAAUUAAUUAUUAAUCGUAUUGAAAUUAUAAUUAAUUGACACAAUAUUUAAUCAAUGAAUGUUUAAUCUUCUAAGGUAACUGAGGGUUGAAUUAGCGAUGAUAUUAAAUGGUAAACUAACCUUGCAUAACUUGCAAGAUUAUUGUGAUUAAAUUAUUUCUUGUAGGUAUAUAUUGUUAUCUCAUUUAAUCUUUUACUUGCUUAUUAAAAUUAAUUAAUUUUUUGAAUUGACAUAGUAAUUUGUUCAAGAGAUUAGUUAAUUUAGUAAGUUUGUAUGUGCUAUAGUUAAUAAAUUACCAAUUUGCCGUGAAUUUAUUCGUAACAAUAUGAACCUUGUUUUGAUAAUAUUAACUUAAGAAAUAUAACUAAUCUAACACAAUUAUAUCAUCUUGAUUAAAAUAAUAUUUUGAAUGCGUGCAUUGAAACUUUUAUUUUAUUUUAUUUUACUCAGUUAAAUUUUAUUUUUCAAUCACUUCCUCAAAAUCAAAAUAUUUUUAAUCACCAAAGUGUUCAGAUCUCAUUUUAUAAAUAAUUUCCUUAAACAGUCCAUGUGGCUAUGAUAACUCAACAUUUACUUGUCACUUUAUUACUUGUUGCGAUUGUGUACACUUGCACAUUUCCGUCACUCCAAGUUUUUGGCGCCAUUGUUGGGGAUUGUUUUAAAAGUCAUUAUUUACGAAUAUUUUAAUUUUUCAUUUUAGUUUAUUUUUCGAUUUAAUUUUAACUUUGUUAAUUUUUUCCGUGUUUGUUUCAGGUUUUUAUGAUUACUGAUCAAAUUAUCGAUUUACUCCUCGUAGAUCCUAAAAUUGAAAGAACUUUUUGACAAUGAAGAAGACAGGCAGUUUAAAGAAGGACAGACGGGAUGAACUUCGAAAACCAAAAUUAAGGAAACGGAGCAAACCCUACUCAAAAUCCUAUCCUUAUCGCUGAUGAUAGGGAUAGAGCUCUAAGACAGUAUGUCGUGCUAGUGUUUCAUGAUCUUAAUCCAGGUAAUAGGAGACCUGAAAUCAAGGCACAACAAUUUGAGCUGAAGCCAUUCAUGUUCCAAAUGCUUCAGAUAGUGGGUCAAGUCAGUGGAAUGCCUACAAAAGAUCCUCACAUUCACUUAAAACUGUGUAUAGAGGUGAGAGAUUCUUUUAAGUUAGCCGGAGUACCUGAAGAUGUACUACAAUUAAAGCUAUUCCCAUACUCGCUAAGGGACGAAGCUCGAGCCAUGUUGAACUCAUUGCCACCACAUUCCAUUACCAUAUGGUAAGAGUUAGCAGAAAGAUUUCUUGUGAAGUACUUCCAACAUAGAAAAAUUGCUAAGUUGAGGAACAAGAUUACUACCUUCCAACAAUUGGAUGAUGAGUCCUUGUAUGAGGCAUGGGAGAGGUUUAAAGAACUAUUACGAAGAUGCCCUCAUCACGGAAUCCCUCAUUGCAUCCAAUUAGAGACGUUCUAUAAUAGCCCGAAUGCUCACAUGAGGAUAGUAGUGAACACUUCUGCUAAUGGUGCUCUCUUUUCUAAGUCUUAUAACGAGGCUUAUGAAAUCAUUGAAAGGAUUUCCAGCAAUAACUAUCAAUGGCCAACCAAUCGAGUAGCAUUAAGAAGACGAGUCAUAGGAAUACAUGAAGUGGAUCCAUUCACUUCUCUUGCAUCUCAAGUAUCUUCAAUUGCCUCAAUGCUUAAAAAUUUUAUGACUAAUGAGUUUAAUAAUUAAAAAUACUAAAAUCAUUAAAAACGUGUAACACCCCUUACCCUUAUUCUUUAUCGGAAUAGGGUACAAGACGUUGCCGGACUUAAACUCAAGCAAACAUACAAAAUCGGGCCAUAAAAUUUCAUUCAAAUCGAAUUCAUUCAUACAUAUGCAAAUUGUCCUUUAUAUGGGCCUACGAGGCCCAAAACAUACAUUGGGAGUGGCUUGGGGCUAAACCAAAAACUUUAGAAACUUUUGGGAAACUUAGAAGAUUUUUAUCAUGAAGCAGGACCAUACACCGUGUGGGUUAAGGGACACUCUCGUGUGGCAUAUCACACACCCGUGCUUCAGGCCGUGUCCAUCUUAAAGUGCAUUUUGUUUAUGACAUCAUCAUUAAAUUAAGGUCACACGGCCAAGUCACACACCCGUGUACUUAGGUCGUGUCCUCCACACGGCUCUGAAACAUGCCCGUGUGGUGGCUACUAGACAUUUUGUUCUGCCAAAAAUUAAGAUGCAGGGGACACACGGCCGGAUUACACACCCAUGGGGGCAGACCGUGUGUCACACAAGGCCUAGACACACGUCUGUGCGUCUACCUGUGUGGAAAAAUUAAAGGCUAUUUACCAAGCCAUUUGCCACCCUUAUUCACACAUACACUCAUACACUCACAUCAAUUCAAAGGCAUAAAACAUAACAUACUUAGGCAACCAAAACAUCCACAAUUCAACAAGCAUUCAUCACUAAUAACAUAACCCAUUACAUACACACAAUCACAAACCACAUCUCAAAGACAUAGGUACAUGCAUAAUCAUAUGGUCAAUGUAAGCCAUCAUUCAUGGCUAUACACAAAUUGGACCAUAACCAUUUUAAGCUAACACAUUUGGCCACAUUAACAAUGACAUAAUUAAUCAAUAGACCAAUACAUGUCAUAAACUUAAAAUACUUGCAUUCACUUAUACCCAAAUGAUAACUUGAUAGUGUGAUAGCAUCUCUGGCGAACUCCAACCCGAGCUAGCUAAAUUAACCUAUAAGAGAUAGGAAAGGAAGGGGAGUAAGCAAUAAAGCUGAGUAAGUUCAUAUACAAAUAAUAAACAACUGUUAACAUUCAUUUACUUUAUCCAUCCAUAACAAUACUAUUAUUACAAUUUGCAUUAAAUCUCAAGAUUACCACUUAUUCAUUCAUAGUGCUUACUCUUUUAACUUAUAAACACCAUUUACAUGCCUUGGCAUUAGCCUAGCCACCAUAGUCUCCCCAUUAUAACAUAUCACAUUAUUUAACAAGUUAUUUCCAUCCUCUUAAUAACAUGCACAUUAUUUAUGAGUAAUUUUCAUUUCAACAUAUAGUUCAACCACCUUUCACUUGCCUAAGCUCGUAUCUUACUAUAUUCUCAUAAUGACUUUAUUCGGCAAUUAUGCAUGUCUUUCUUUUUCCUCAUAUCCAAUGAAACACAAUUUAAAUAAAUAAACCAUACUAUAUCACAAUUCAAUUAGGCUCAUAAACCUAUCACAAGAUCAUUAUCAAAUUUUAUCAUGUAUCCAUUCAUCUUAAGUGUAAAUCAAUAUUCAUGAGGUUAUCGAUAUUUAUCAAGCAUAACUUACUCGAAUACAUUCUUACAGAAUGUUCAUCACACACCGAGCUCAUUACUCAUGAGUUGUUGUAGUACUUGUACCAUCUCGUAACAUAUUUAUACUUUUUUCAUCUCAUCAUUGAUAUACCCGUUGAACCACUCGAAAUACUAAAGGAUACUCGGAAGUCUUGCACAUAAGUGCCUCAUACGUAGCCAAAGAUACCUCAUAUCUCAUAACACAUGAAAGCUUAUUCUCGAGCUACUCACGAGUCUACUCACACAAGCUGUCGGUCAGGACGUAGCUACACUGGCUGCUCACACAAGCUGUCAGGUAUUCGCAAUACAUGCCGGACUACCCAGCCACCGGUAGGACAUACAAGACCAGUACCCGAAACCACAUAAACAUAUAUCACAUAUCUCAUGAGCUCAUAAAUCAAAGGGUUCCUAGUGACAUAUGACUCAUAUCCUAUUCUAUUCCUAAGGUUCAAACUAGAUUUUUCACACUUAUCAGAACUUGUUAAUUGUAUCCAUAGAAUUAAUCAUUCAUUCCAUACAUUAACAAGCAUUUAAAAUAUUUAAAAUACAAACUCAAUAAUGCACUAUUCACAUACGAACUUACCUCGAUACCAAUAUGGCAAAAAGGGACCUAACCGUCAAUUUCUCGUUUUUCCCUCGUUCUAGUCCGAACCUCGUUUUCUUUGAUAUAUAAUAUCACAUUUAGUCUAUUUAUUAGUCACAUUAUUCAAUGUGAUCCAAAAAUCACAUUAUUAAAAAAAUAUAUUUUUCCCCUAAAAUUUCACAUAUUUACAUUUUAGUCCCUAGGCUCAUAAAAUGAAAUUUUUUCAAUUUUUUUACUACCCAUGCAUAGCCGAAUCAUUUUCAUGCUUAUAGCAACCCAUAUUUUCCAUUAAAUCAGAUUUUUAAUGCAUUUUAUAACUUUUACAAAUAGGUCCUUUUAUGCAUUUUCACCUAAAAUCACUUAGUAAAAGUCAUUUCUCUAACCAUAAACAUGCAUUUUCUACCAUUAAACAUCAAAAUACACACAUAUUUGUCAUGGUUCAAAACCCUAUACUUUAACCAUAUCUCAAAUUAGUGGUAGAAAUAGAUAGAUCUUGUUACGAGGAUUUCAAAAAUGUAAAAAUCAUUAAAAAUAGGGCUAGAACGGACUUACAAUCGAGCUUGGAAGCUUGAAAAAUCCUAUCCAUUGUUUCUCUAUGCAAGUUUCGGCCAAGGGGUUGAAAAUGGAUAAAAAUUGGCUUUUAAUUUUGUUUUUAAUUCAUUUUAAUAACUAUGUGACCAAAAUGCCCUUAAUGAAAAACUUUGGAAACAUGCCUAAUCUAACACCCUUAACCCGGGUUCGACGCCAACACUGGGUACGAGGCAUUACCAUUCACAAAUCACAUAUAUACGUACAAUUCAGAUUAUACGAGCCCGUUAAAACUUAAAACUUUUUCAAACUUUGUCUAAAACUUCUUAUCUUGGGCCUACAAGGCCCAAAACACCUCUUGGAAGCUACUUGUAACACCCUUUACCCGUAUCCGUUAUCAGGAUAGGAUUCGAGGUAUUACCGAAACUUUACACUUUCAGUAUACUAACUCGGGUCACAAAAUUAAAUUUGAAUUUAAAACUUUUCAAUCAUGAACAUCUCGUCCCUUGUAUAGGCCUUCGAGACCUAUAUCAAAUCGAAAGGCAAUGCGGGAAAAAUAUGGGCACGUUCGAUUAACCUUGGGCUCCUCAGAAAAUUUUCAUUGACAUAAACGGACACACGCCCGUGUAGGUAGGCUGUGUGGACUCACACGCCCGUGUAUCUUGGGGCACGCCCAUGUCCUUCAACCGUGGGCAACACUGACUUAUCAACACGGCAAUGGCACACGCCCGUGCUUCCUGCCCGUGGACGAAACUAUCAUUUUAACACGGCCAUGGCGCACGCCCGUGCUGCCUGUCCGUGUACAACUUUGAGCUAAAAUUUUAAGUGCAGGGGACACACGGCCAUAGCACACGCCCAUGGGAGGGAACCAUGUAUCACACACGGCCUAGACACACGCCCGUGUGUCCAACUAUGUGAACUUUAUUAGGCUAUUUUCCAAGCCUUUAUUCACCCCUUUUCUACUACUUGUGCCUAGUGGUUACCAAGUUUAAGAGAAAACAUAAUUUUACGAUUGUAAAUAAUCUUAAUGAAAAUAGUUGUAUGGAAACCUCAUAUCAUUGGUUUCAUACAUAAAUGGUUAUUUCCUCUUUAGAGUCAUGGGUUCCCAUGUUACAUUCAUCCAUCCGAAAUUGGCUCAUUCAUGUGACUCAUUGCCAAUUGAUAGCAACCCAUCAUUUGUAAUUAAAACCAUGCAUAAAAUCGUAGGUCGUAACCUACUUAAAUUAAGCCAAUUUUCAUGGCCAUAUACAAAGAGAUAAACAUAUUUUUGCAUGCCUUCACUUGGAAAAUCAAAUGACACAUAUAACAAAAUACUCAAAAAUAUUAUACAUGGCAUUGAACAAAAUAAACAGAGUCUUUAUACCAAAGCUUAUUUAGUUGAUAGUGUGCUGACUCUCCAAUUUUCUUCCAGUCCUUAUGAGUUCUCGAGCUCUGCGAGACAGGGAAAAGAGAGGGGUAAGCAUUUACAUGCUUAGUAAGCUCAAAUAACUGGAAGGUAAACUUACCGAGUAAUUAGCAUACAUCCAUAUUUAAAUCAUGAAAUCAUCAAUUAUGAAACGAUUUCCUAUCAUGUGCACUCAAUCAAUGAGUUAGUUACAUAACAAAAUGUCAUGUAAUUUAUGUAGAUGAGCUCAUCAUUCAUCAUCUUAUUGACAUACAUCAUAUUAAUCCCGUUGAGUUUCUAGGAAAUCUUGAUGGAAUACCCAUUAUCUUUCAAUUCUUAUGAAUGAUCAUUUCACAUAUAUGCACUCCCGCAAAUCUCACAUCUCAUGGCAGGAUUACCAUUCCAGGCUAAAUCCUUCAUAUCACAAACUCGUAAGGUGAUGUUGGGAUUACCAGUCCAGGCUAAAUCCCUUAUAGCGACAAACACCCUUAAUGAGCUCGGACCUAAAUUACUAGUCCAGGCUAAAUUCAGACCCUAAUCGGAUCACCCGUCCGGGCUAAACCCAUAAUGCACACAUAUUCUUUGGGAGGCUUAAUCAUUCAAGGAAAACUCAUCCGAGGUAUAUUCGUUUUCAUACUUGAGAUCACGGAUUACCCAUCCAGGCUAAAUCUUACUGCAACACAUGCAGGAUCUCAGUUCACAUGUCAAAAAGGGUUUGUCCAUCGAAUUCCAUUUUUCAACCUCAACCGAGACAUUUUUACAUGUUAUCAUCAAAUAUGCAUUUCUACGAUAUUCAUGCCAAUAAUAAAUACAAUCAUCAUUGCAUUCGUAAAUCAUACAAUUAUACAUAUUAGGGGUUUACUUUAAGUUAUCCGAACUUACAUUGGUAUUCGUUUCAGAGAUAUGUUUUGGUUAUUCCGAAACCUUACAUUUACCACGAUCGACAUCCGGAAUUUAUUCCUCGGGGUCUAUAUCAAUAAAAUUAACUCACUAAUACACUACAUUAUGUAUUUCAAGUUUAAUAUCUACUUCCGGUCCAAAUGGCCAUUUUGCCCCUAACCUUUUACAUUUUUACGAUUUAGUCCCUAGGCUCGUAUAAUGAAACACAUGCACUUUCGAUCUUUCCCAAGCCUAGUCGAACACUUUUCCUUCUUAUGGUAGCCCACAUUAUCCAUUUUUUUCUCAUUUCUACCACACAUUUACAUCUUUUACAAAAUAGUCCCUACAAAGGUUUUUCAUGAAAAUCAACUAGGAAAAUAUGUUUAAUUCACAUUCAUCUUUCAUAUUCCUCCAUAAUCCAUCAAAAUACAAGCAACUCAUGCAUGGGUAAAUUUUGAACCCUAGCAUGAAAUAUGGGUAGAAAUGGAGAGAGCAAGCUACCGGUAUUUCAAAAAUACAAAUAGCAUGAAAAACGGGGCUUGGGAGCACUUACUAUUGAACUUGGAAAGCUUGAAACCCUAGCUAUGGAGAACUCCAAAUUUUCGACUAGAUGGAGGAGAAAAAUGGCUGAUUUUGGCUUGAUUUUUCCCAUUUUAAUUCAUUAAAAUGAUAAAUGACCAAAAUGCCCUUAUGCCCUUUCUUUAAAAUUUCAUCCAUACAAGCCCAUUUUUGUCCAAAAAUUUAGAAUUUGGACAAAUUUCUCUCCAAGACAUUCUAAUUCAUAAUCUAAAGCAAUUUCAUAUAAAUUGCUUCUAGAAAUCAAGUUUUUCAAUUUAUUCAAUUUAAUCCCUAAUUUCAAUUGAACACCUUAUACUUAGAAUUUCUUCAUGAAACUUUAACACAUGCUUAUACUCAUAUUCUAGGCCUCAUAAUAAUCAUAAAAUAAAUAUUUUGAUGUCAGAUUUGUGGUCCCAAAACCUCUAUUCCACUAGGCCCUAUUUCAGGAUGUUACAUUUCUCCCCCCUUAAGGACUUACAUCCUCGAAAGUCUUACCAGAAAAUAGAUUUGAAUAUUGGCUUCUCAUGGUUUCUUUCGACUCCCAUGUAGCUUCUUCAACACCAUGUCGAUGCCAUAGAAAUUUUACAAGAGCCAUAGCUUUAUUUCUCAAUUGUUUAACUUCCCGAGCCAAUAUCUUAACCGGUUAUUCUCCAUAGGUCAUGUCCGGUCGACUUUCAAUCUCAGUCAGUGAAAUUUCAUGAGAGGGGUCUGAUCGGUAUCUCAUUAACAUGGAUACAUGAAAUACGUCAUGAAUCAUUUCCAGUUCGGGUGGCAAUGCCAAACAAUAGGCUAACGGUCCAACUCUUUCGGUGACCUCGUACGGUCCGAUAAAUCGUGGACUCAGUUUACCUUUCCGACCAAAUCUCAAUACCUUUUUCCAUGGAGAUACUUUCAAGAAUACUCUAUCUCCAACUUGCAACUCAAUUUCCUUUCUUUUCAGAUCAGCAUAAGACUUUUGCCUAUCUGAUGCCGCUUUUAAGUAAUCACCUAUCACUUUAACUUUUUCUUCAGUUUCUUUGAUCAGAUCAACUCCAUGAAUUUGAUUUUCCUUGAGUUCUGUCCAGUACAAUGGAGUUUGGCACUUCCCACUAUACAAGGCCUCAUAAGGCGCCAUUUUCAAACUUGUUUGGAAACUAUUGUUGUAGGCAAACUCUACCAAUGGCAGGUAUUUUUCCCAACUAUCCUGAAAUUCAAGGAUGCAACAACGCAACAUGUCCUCAAGAAUCUGAAUCAUCCGCUCAGACUGACCAUCGGUCUGAGGGUGAAAAUUUGUGCUAAAGCUCAACUUUGUACCUAAGGCUUCUUGUAACUUCUUCCAGAAUCUCGAAGUGAACCUCAGGUCUCUGUCUGAAAUAAUCGACAUUGGUACUCCAUGUAAUCUUACUAUCUCAGAAAUAUACAAAUCGGCCAAUCUAUCAAGAGGAUAAUCCAUCCUUACUGGAAUGAAAUGAGCCGACUUUGUCAAUUUAUCCACUAUAACCCAUAUGGCAUCUUUCUUUUUCGGAGUCAUAGGUAGUCCUGUCACGAAGUCCAUGGUAAUUCUGUCCCACUUCCAUUCGGGGACCAUUAUAGGCUGUAACAAACAUGAAGGCACUUGAUGUUCAGCUUUAACUUGCUGACAUACCAAGCAUUUCGACACAAAUUCAGAAACAUCUCUUUUCAUGCCGUUCCACUAGUACAUCUUCUUUAAAUCGUUGUACAUCUUGGUACUUCUCGGGUGAACAGACAAACGACUAUUAUGUGCUUCUUGCAAAAUCUUCUGAAUAAGUUCAUUGUCUCUGGGUACACAAACCCUAUCUCUAAACAUUAAACAUCCAUCAAGACUAAUUCGAAAAUCUGACUCAACACCAGACUCACAUUGAACUCGUUUUGCUUGCAAGUCAUCAUCAUUAAGCUGAGCAUCAUGAAUUUUCUGCAGAAAUGUUGGCCUAGCCUCCAGCUCAGCCAGAACUAAACCAUCAUCAAGCAAAGUCAAACGAGUAUGCAUGGCUCUCAAAGCAUACAGGGAUUUUCUACUCAAUGCAUCGGCGACCAUAUUCGGCUUUCCCAGGUGAUAGUCGAUAAUCAGAUCAUAAUGCUUAAUUAAUUCUAACCAUCUCCGCUGUCUCAAAUUUAGUUCUUUCUGAGUCAUCAAGUACUUCAAACUUUUGUGGUCUGUGAAUAUAUGGCAAGUCUCACCAUGCAAAUAAUGCCUCCAAAUUUUUAAGGCAAAAACAAUAGCAGCAAGCUCUAGGUUGUUGGUUGGAUAAUUCUUCUCGUGAAACUUCAAUUGCCUUGAAGCAUAGGCUAUCACCUUUCCAUCUUGCAUAAGCACACAACCUAAUCCAUUUAAGUAUGCAUCACUGUAGACUACAAAUUCUUUUCUCGGUUCAGGUAGCACUAAGACAGGAGCUUCAGUCAACAAUGUCUUUAAAUUCUCAAAACUUUGCUGACACUUCUUUGUCCAUUCAAACUUAACGUCUUUCUGUAGCAGCUUUGUCAUCAGAGUCACUAUCACGGAAAACCCUUUUACAAACCUUCGAUAGUAACCAGCUAAGCCCAAAAAGCUUCUAACCUCGGUUACAUUCUUAGGCGAUUUCCAUUCGACAAUUGCAGAAAUCUUACUUGGAUCAACUCGGAUGCCUUCACCCGAAACUAUAUGACUCAAAAAUCCAACUUCCUGGAGCCAAAACUCACUCUUGCUAAACUUAGCAUAUAGUUGCUUUUCUCGCAAGGUCUGCAACACAGUUCCCAGGUGCUUUGCAUGCUCUAUCUCAUUUUUAGAGUAGAUCAAAAUGUCGACAAUAAACACAACAACAAACUUAUCCAAAUAUGGCCAAAAGAUCCUAUUCAUUAGAUCCAUGAACACAGCUGGUGCAUUCGUCAGCCCAAAUGACAUGACAAGAAAUUCAUAAUGGCCAUACCUCGUUCUGAAAGUUGUUUUUGGUACAUCCGAGUCUUUAACUCAUAGUUGAUAAUAGCUAGACCUUAAGUCUAUCUUAGAGAAUACGGUGGCUCCUCUCAACUGGUCAAACAAAUCAUCGAUCCUUGGCAAAGGAUAUUUAUUCUUGAUAGUCACGUUGUUCAGUUGCCGAUAAUCGAUACAUAACCUCAUCGAACCAUCAUUCUUCUUUACGAAUAACACGGGGGCACCCUAAGGUGAAAAACUUGGCCUAGUAAAUCCUUUAUCCGUCAAUUCUUGCAACUGUGCUUUUAACUCCUUCAGCUCUGUAGGUGUCAUUCUGUACGGGGCAAUAGAAAUGGGAGUCAUCCCUGGCACUAACUCAAUACCAAACUCUAUCUCCCUUUUAGGAGGUAAUCCGGGUAAUUCCUCCGGAAACACAUCUGGGUACUCACAAACUAUCGACACAGACUCAAUCUUCAAUUCAGUUUCCUUAGUGUUCAACACAAAUGCAAGGUAGGCUUCGUAUCUUUUCCUCAUAUAUCUCUGAGCAACCAUCGUUGUGAUUAGAACCAGAGACGAACCCAAUUCUCUUGAUUCAACCCGUAGAGUCUUACCAUCCGGGCAUUUCAACUUAAUGUACUUAGUACCACAAUUCACUAUUACAUCAUGAAAGGCUAACCAAUCCAUACCAAGUAUUACAUCAAAUUCAUCAAAUGGUAACAACAUAAGGUUAGCCGGGAAACAACGACCUUGAAUCGUCAAAGGACAAUUCUUACAGAUUUUAUCAACUAGAACCGACUUGCCUAGUGGGUUCGACACUCUAAUAAUAUCUUCCGUAUGUUCAACAGGUAUGUUCAUACCAGAUGCCAAUCUCAUGCAGAUAUAUGAAUGUGUCGACCCCGGAUCAACUAAAGCAACAACACUUAUAUUAAAAAGAGAGAAGGUACCCGUAAUAACAUCAAGAGCAGCGGCUUCCUCUCGGGCACAUAUUGCAUAUGUUCUUCUGGGGCUCGAACUUCUAAUUUUGCAGUGUCUUUAGUCAUAACUCGACUAUCACUAGCACUCCAAGGGUAUCUCGGAGGUCUACCUCGUGGAAUGGGAGCACUCGACUUCGGAGUUAUUUCCUCAUCUUUUUCAGCUCGUUCCAGGCAGUCUCUGAGAAAAUGAUCAAGAGAACCACAUCUAAAACAUGCGCCACUUUUCAUUCGGCACUCUCCGAAGUGAAAUUUGUUGCAGCUCUUACACUUCAGUUUUUUAUCAUCUACACUCUCCACACUAGUCACCAUCGGAGAGGAAGAUUUUUGACCUCGUCACUUAGAGCUUCUUGAUCUACCAGAAUAUCCCACUGACGAAGUGGAGCGUUCAUGUUAACUUCUGGCUUUCUUCAUGGAGAACGAGAGUGUUUUACAGCUAGGCCUCUUGCUCGCAACUCGAGCCUCUCUCUUAUCUUGUUUUCUUUCAUUAUUAAGUUCCUCGGCCUUCUUGGCUCGAUCAUCCAAUGCGGCAAACUCUCGUAUUUCCAAGAUCCCAAUCAACAACUUGAUGUCCUCAUUCAGGCCUUCCUCGAAGCGUUUACACAUUUUCGAUUCAGUUUGGACCAAUUCAGUUGCGUACUGACUUAGUCGUACGAACUCUCUCUCAUACUCCGCUACAGUCUUGUUCCCUUUUUUGAGUUCCAGGAACUCCUUUCGCUUCGAGUCCAAAAACCUUUAGCUAAUAUAUUUCUUCCUAAACUUUGUUUCGAAGAAAUCCCAAGUAAUAUUUUCUUUCGGCACUACCGAGGAUACGGUCUUCCACCAAUUGUAUGCAGUGUCCUUCAAAAGGAACACAGCACACUUCAAACAUUCUUCGGGUGUGCAUGACAAAUCAUCUAGCACCCGUGUAGUGUUCUCGAGCCAGAACUCGGCUCAUUCAGUGUCAUCAUCAACCUUCGCUCUAAAUUCCUUAGCCCCAUACUUUUUAAGCUUAUCUACCAGGGCUUUACCAAUUCUUACCGAUGCCAUACCUCGUGACACAUCCUCAUCAGUUUGGUUAGGGGGCAGGGGAGGUCUCAGUAUGUUGGGGCAAUUUCUCAAAUAAUCCCCAAACCAUUCAUCCAUCAUAUCAAAGAAGGCAGCUCAGGCCUCUUCUCGGCCUUUUGACAUCGACCUUCUACUACUACUAGAUACAGCUUGCUAUACGGAAGCUGGAGCAUGGCUCUCGGCUCCCUCGGACUUAUCUUGUGCUUCAUUGGAAGACAUUUACUAUAUUCAAAACAAUUUAAACAAUUAGGAGACGUCACACUAUCAACAUUCAAAUAAUGGCAUGUAUAGCGAACUUUAACAUCCUCUACGGUAGUCCUAGAACCGACUAAACUGUAGCUCUGAUACCAAUAAAUGUAACACCCCUCACCCGUAUCCGUUAUCAGGAUAGGAUUCGAGGUAUUACCGGAACUUUACACUUUUAGUAUACUAACUCGGGUCACAAAAUUUCAUUUGAAUUUAAAACUUUUCAAUCAUGAACAUCUAGUCUCUUGUAUAGUCCUUCGAGACCUAUAUCAAAUCGAAAGGAAAUGCGGGAUAAAUACGGACACGUUCAAUUAACGUUGGGCUCCUCAAAAAAUUUUCCUUAACAUAAAAGGACACAUGCCCGUGUAGGUGGGCCGUGUAGAAUCGCACGCCCAUGUAUCUUGGGGCACUCCCAUGCCCUUCAACCGUGGGCAACACUGACUUAUCAACACGGCCAUGGUACACGGCCGUGCUUCCUGCCCGUGGACGAAAAUGUCAUUUUAACACAGCCAUGGAGCAUGCCCGUGCUGCCUAUCUGUGUACAACUUUGAGCUAAAAUUUUAAGUGCAGAGGACACACGGCCAUAGUACACGCUCAUGGGAGGGAACCAUGUGUCACACACGACCUAGACACACGCCCGUGUGUCCAACCAUGUAAAAUUUAUUAGGCUAUUUUCCAAUCCUUUAGUCACCCAUUUCUACUACUUGUGCCUAGUGGUUACCAAGUUUGAGAGAAAACAUAAUUUUACACUUGUAAAUAAUCUUAAUGAAAAUAGUUGUAUGGAAACUACAUAUCAUUGGUUUCAUGAAUAAAUGGUUAUUUUCUCUUAAGAGUCAUGGGUUCCCAUGUUACAUUAAUCCAUCCUAAAUUGGCUCAUUCAUGUGACUCAUUGCCAAUUGAUAGCAACCCAUCAUUUGUAAUUAAAACCAUGCAUAAAAUCGUAGGUCAUAGCCUACUUAAAUUAAGAUAAUUUUCAUGGCCAUAUACAAAGAGAUAAACAUAUUUUUACAUGCCUUUACUUGGAAAAUCAAACGACACAUAUAACAAAAUACUCAAAAAUACUAUAUAUGCCAUUGAACAAAAUAAACAGAGUCUUUAUACCAAAGCUUGCUUAGUUGAUAGUGUGUUGACUCUCCAAUUGUCUUCCAGUCCUUAUGAGUCCUCGAGCUCUACGAGACAGGGAAAAGAGAGGAGUAAGAAUUUACAUGCUUAGUAAGCUCGAAUAACCGGAAGGUAAACUUACCGAGUAAUUAGCAUACAUCGAUAUUUAAAUCAUAAAAUCAUCAAUUAUGAAACGAUUCCCUAUCACGUGCACUCAAUCAAUGAGUUAGUUACAUAACAAAAUGUCAUGUAAUUUAUGUAGAUGAGCUCAUCAUUCAUCAUCUUAUUGACAUACAUCAUAUUAAUCCCGUUGAGUUUCUAGGAAAUCUUGAUGGAAUACCUAUUAUCUGUCAAUUCUUAUGAAUAUUCAUUUCACAUAUAUGCACUCCCGCGAAUCUCACAUGUGAUAGCCCUAAAGUGACCCUAGUCGGAAAGCGGUCUCGGGACUGCUAGACCGAGUCACCAAAUUAUUUGAAUGUGAUAAUUAUUGCCUAAAAUAUGUGAAUAUAAAUGUGUGAAAGUUUUAAGCUUCGAUUUAGUUAAUUGCAUGUGAAUUUAGUUGAUAGGACUUAUGUGAGAAAAUUUAGAAAUGUGCUAGGCAAAUGCAAGUGGCCUAAUAGUGCAUGUAAUCAAAGGGGUGGACUUGCAUGUCAAUUUCCCCCCAUUUAAGUACUAGUGGCCGGCCAUGACAAGGGAUGAUGGGCAAAACAUGUCAUGAAACAUGUUGUGUUAAUGGAAAAAUAAAAUAAGAAGCAUGGGCAAUAAACUAAUAAGAAAUUGAAGGAAGAAAACAAAGAAAAAAAAUGUGUUCAUCAUUCUCAUGCAUGACCGAAAAAAAAAAGAAGGGAAAGGCUUCAUACUUUAGUUCUUCUUAGCCGUGUAGAAGGGGGAAAAGGGAAAAAAAAAGAGAACAAAAAGUCUUUCUCAUUUUGUUCUUCUUGGCCGAUUGUGAAGAGGAAGUAGGGAGGGAGGCAUUCGGUCAUCCUAGGCUAAUAGCAAGCUCAAGAGCUUAGAGGACCAAAGUUGGAUAAGGGGAAGGAAAAAGUGAUCGAAUAGCCGUCGAAACCGUUUGACAACAUCCGAGGUAAGUCUUCGAGUAAUGACCCUACUUGAAUUAUAUUGAAAUGAUUAGUCAUACUAUGACGGAUAGCCGAAUGUGCAUAGAGACUAUGUUAUAAAGCCAAUUGAAAUCAUGCUCUUUGUGUGUGGCUAUUGAGCCAAAAUUGGAAAGGUUUAAUAAAUGUUUUGUGUUUGAGCCUUAGUAACGAAAAUGAAAUAUGGAUGUGUCAUGAUUAUUGAUAUAUGUGUGCAUGAGCAUUUGAAUGAUAUCCGGGCUAAGUUUCGAAGGCAUUUAUGUUAGUGAUUUUAUCCGGGCUAAGUCCCGAAGGCAUUUAUGCUAGUGAUUUUAUCUGGGCUAAGACCCGAAGGCAUUUGUGCGAGUUGAUAUAUCCGGGCUAAGACCCGAAGGCAUUUGUGCGAGUUGCUAUACCCGGGUUAAGACCCGAAGGCAAUUGUGCUUGUGGUUAUAUCCGGCUAAAUUCUGAAGAAACUUGGGUUUGAAGGUGAGCAUUUUGUGCUGUAAUAAAUUCAAUUAAUACGCUUGAAAAACCCAAACGAUAAGGUAUGUUUGCAUGUGCAUUGGAAAAGUCGAUUCGUUUUAAAUAGUAUUCGUUCAAUCGACUAACGAACUUUCGGCUUUUAGAUAGGUUGAUACCUUGUGUGUGUAUAUGUUGAUGAAGUGUGAAGUAAGUAUGAUUAUGAGAAUGUUUAUUAAUAAAGUGAUUCAUUUAGCUAUGUGAAUGUAAUACUUUAGUCAAAGCCGAUUUCAUUACUUGAAACUUACUAAGCUUUAAAAUGCUUACCCCGUUGCUUUGGCUCUCUGUUUUAUAGAUUUUGUUCGUUAGCUAUCGGAUUCGGUAUCAUCGAAGUCAAAGUCAUCCACACUAUCAAAGCCCUUUUGGUACUCUUUUAGUUGAACUCUGGAUAUGGCAUGUAUAGGACUACCCUUUAUUGUUUUUCAAGUACUUUUUGUGAUGUAUGUGUGUACAGCCAUGCGAAAAUGGCUCGUAGAAGUGGAGUAUGGCAUUAGACCAUUUGUGUUUAUGUAUAUAUAUAUGGUUUCAUGAUGUGACUAUGGACUGGAAUGGAAGUGUUGGGCAAAUGAUCAGCCAUUGGAAUGGCUAAAUAUGAUCAUAUGUGGACCUAUGUAUGACAAAACUCUAGUUGGUCCAUGGUAACCACGAAAUAGGUAAAGUUUACCUUGAAAAUAGAUGCUGACAGCAGCAGUGGUGUGGAUUUGAAAAAUCACUACAAUUUGUAGGAAUGGAAUUAAAUAGUGAAUAAAUUAUGUAAUCGAACCUUGAUGAAUAUCUUUUCAUAUGAAAGUAACAAAACGAUCAUAUGAACAGUAUAUUAAGAGAUAUUAAAGUUCUCUUGAAAUAGGGCCAGAACGGUUUCUAGAUCCCCUGUUUCGACUUUGAAAAUUUACCAUAAAUUAUCCAGAGACAAUUAUAAGUCAUGCCUUAUAUUUAUAGAUUCCCCUUGGAGUCUGGUUUCAUUAGAAACAAAUGGCAUGAAUAUUGAAGCUCUGUACAGGGAGAUAUCCAAGUCGUAAUACGUGAAGGUCAGAGUAGUCGAACCCAGAAUCAGGGGAGACUUUAACUAAUAAACUGUACCAAUUGGCCCAACCAAAAAUUCUAGAAAUAAAUCCACAGAUGGAUAUUUGAGUCUAAUUUCAGGGAAAAUUUACUAAAUCAGUUUUUGAGUUUUGGAACUCGAGAUAUGAUUUUUAAGGCGACAGUGACGCGGUUAGCCAGCCUGUCUGGAAUUUUUUUCUAAAUGGACUGUGAAAACAAAGUAAUUAAGUCUGUUAGCACCUCGCGUUCGACUCCGGCAACGGUCUUGGGUACGGGGUGUUACAAUUUUAUUGGUAUCAGAGCUACGGUUUAGUCGAUUCUAGGACUACCGUAAUACGUUUGGGUCUAGCUAUACAUGCCAUUAUGUGAUUAAUUGAUAGUGUGGUGAUUUCUUACAUUUGAAUUUGUGUUUAUUUAUAGUAAUGGAUCCCGAUCCCAACCGAGCGAUAGCUGAUGAUGUGGAGAGUGUGGUGCCUGCUCCCGCACAAGGGACAACGCCGGUGGACUCUCAACCUAUUGCUAGCAAUCCGAAUGAUGAGGCUAGGCAAGCUUUUUAUAGUGUGAUGAAUGAUUGGUUCAACCAAUACAUUCGAACUAAUACGGCUGUUCCACAACCCCCAUUCCCGACUAAUACAACCCCCGCACCUACAAUACCUCCGGUAACUGACCAAAUAAGGUCAAAUAAGCCCCCAAUUGACAGAAUUCGAAAACAUGGGGCUACUGAAUUUAAAGCUACGGAUAGCGACGAUGCCGAGCAAGCUGAAUUUUGGUUGGACAACACUAUCCGGGUACUCGAUGAGCUAUCUUGUACACCCGAUGAAUGCCUAAAAUGUACUAUCUCCUUGCUACGCGAUUCUGCCUACUAUUGGUGGAGUACUCUGACUUCUGUUGUGCCCCGAGAGCAAGUAACUUGGGAGUUUUUCCAAACUAAGUUUCGGAAAAAGUUUAUCAGUCAGAGAUUUGUUGAUCAAAAACGGAAGGAAUUUCUUGAGCUUAAGCAAGGUUCUAUGUCAGUUACUGAUUACGAGCGAAAAUUUGUUAGACUUAGUAAAUACGCUUGGGAAUGUGUUUCGUCCGAGGCUAUCAUGUGUAAACGCUUCGAGGAUGGGCUGAAUGAAGAUAUAAAAAUGUUCGUUGGAAUUCUUGAAAUACGAGAGUUCGUAGUACUUGUCGAGCGAGCUUGUAAAGCCGAAGAGCUUAGAAAAGAAAAACAAAAAGUUGAUGUGGGAACUGGAGAGUUUCAUAAAAGAUCCUCGGGAAAGUCUCUUCAACAGGCAUCGAAGAAAUUUUGAGAUGAUGUGGGCCGGUCUAGAGGCACUUCAGGCCUUUUUAGACGAGAUCGUGAUCGACCCCCUGUGGGUACACGAGGCACUUCGGUCGCCAGUGUUGGGAAUAAACGUCGAGACAGAACAGAGUGUCAGCUUUGUGGUAAAUGGCAUUCGGGGAGCUGUAGGUUCCAUGACCACUCCUGCUAUAAGUGUGGAUCAUCUGACCACUUUAUCAAGGAUUGCCCGAGGUUGCCUGAACAAAAUGUAAGUCAGAGUGGGAAACCAGGUGCUACUACUGCUCGGGGUAGACCGUCUAGAAACACGGGCAAUGCUAGUGGCGGUCAGAGAGGAUCUAGAGAUGCUACAACCAGAUCUGAGGCUCGUGCGCCUGCUAGAGCUUAUGCUAUACGUGCCCGCGAGGAUGCUUCUUCGCCUGAUGUUAUUACCGGUACUUUUACUCUCUUUGAUACUAAUGUAAUUGCUUUGAUUGACCCCGGUUCUACUCAUUCUUAUAUAUGUGAAACCUUAGCAUCCAGUAAGACUUUACCUAUUGAGUCUACUGAGUUCGUAAUUCGGGUGUCAAAUCCCUUGGGUCGUUACGUGCUUGUCGACAAAGUGUGUAAGAAAUGUCCCCUAGUAAUUCGAGGUUCCUGUUUUCCGGUGGACUUGAUGCUUCUGCCGUUUGAUGAAUUUGAUGUUAUUCUCGAUUUGGAUUGGUUGACCAUGCAUGAUGCGGUUGUGAAUUGCAAAAGCAAGACUAUUGAUUUGAGGUGCGUAAAUAACGAAGUAAUCCGAGUUGAGUCUACGGACUUGGAUGGGUUGCCAGCUGUAAUAUCCUCAAUGUUGGCUCAGAAAUAUGUAAGAAAGGGGUAUGAAGCAUACCUUGCGUAUGUACUUGAUAACAAGGAAUUAAAAAAGAAACUUGAGUCGAUACCAGUAAUUUGUGAAUACCCGGAUGUUUUUCUCGAAGAAUUACCGGGUUUACCACCUGUUCGGGAAAUAGAGUUUGGCAUCGAACUGGUACCUGGGACCACACCAAUUUCGAUAGCUUCGUAUCGUAUGGCACCAACGGAAUUAAAGGAGUUGAAAGCUCAGUUGCAAGAGUUGAUGGAUAGAGGUUUUGCUCGCCCGAGUUUUUCACCUUGGGGUGCACCAGUGUUGUUUGUGAAAAAGAAUGACGGAACCAUGAGGUUGUGCAUCGACUAUCGUCAUCUUAAUAAAGUGACAAUAAAGAAAAAAUAUCCGUUACCGCGUAUCGAUGAUUUGUUCGAUCAACUGAAGGGAGCCUCAGUGUUCUCAAAAAUAUAUUUGAGAUCGGGCUAUUAUCAGUUGCGAAUUCGAGAUUCGGACAUACCCAAAACUGCCUUCAGAACGAGAUAUGGUCACUACGAGUUCUUAGUGAUGCCGUUUGGGCUCACUAAUGCCCCUGCGGUAUUUAUGGAUUUGAUGAAUCGGAUCUUCAGACCAUAUUUGGAUCGGUUCGUAGUUGUGUUCAUUGAUGACAUCUUGGUCUAUUCAAGAGAUGAGACCGAACAUGCUGAGCACCUGAGAUUAGUGUUACAAAUUUUAUGGGAUAAGCAGUUAUAUGCCAAGUUCAGUAAAUGUGAGUUUUGGUUACGAGAAGUUAGCUUUUUGGGUCAUGUAGUAUCUGUAUCGGGCAUUCGAGUUGAUCUGAGCAAAAUUUCAGUCAUACUUAACUGGAAGCCUCUAAGAAAUAUUACCGAAGUUCGGAGCUUCCUGGGGCUCGCCGGUUAUUACCGAUGAUUUGUAAAAGGUUUCUCGAUGAUAGCCACACCAAUGACAAAGCUACUUCAAAAGGAUGUUAAGUUCGAAUGGACGGAGAAAUGUCAGAAAAGUUUCGAUCAACUGAAAACUUAUUUGACUGAAGCUCCAAUUUUAGUGCAACCCGAAUCAGGCAAAGAGUUUGUCAUUUAUAGUGACGCAUCCCUACUUGGGUUGGGUUGCAUAUUGAUGCAAGAAGGUCGAGUUGUGGCCUAUGCGUCGAGACAAUUGAAGCCGCACGAGAGAAAUUAUCCGACCCAUGAUCUCGAACUAGCCGCCAUCGUAUUUGCUUUAAAAAUAUGGCGACAUUAUUUGUUUGGUGAGAAGUGCCAUGUAUUUUCGGAUCACAAAAGUCUCAAAUAUUUGAUGACCCAGCGAGACUUGAAUCUGCGACAAAGGCGUUGGCUUGAGUUGUUGAAAGAUUAUGAGCUUGUCAUUAAUUAUCACCCGGGAAAGGCUAAUGUGGUUGCGGACGCCUUAAGCCGAGAAUCACUGUUUGCUUUGCAAGCGAUGAAUGUACACUUGUCUAUUCUACCCGACAAUGUGUUAGUAGCUGAUUAAAAGCCAAACCAUUAUUGAUUCAUCAAAUUCGUGAAGCUCAGAAAGUCGAUGAUGAAUUGGUUGCAAAACGGGCUGAGUGUGUUCCGAACAAGGAAUCGGAGUUUCAAAUUGAUGAUGAUGAUUGUUUGAGGUUCAGAAGUAGUUUGUGUGUUCCAAGGAAUUCGGAACUCAUUUCGAUGAUUCUGAACGAAGCCCAUUGUAGUCGAAUGUCAGUUCACCCGGGGAGUACGAAAAUGUACAACGAUUUGAAACGUCAGUUUUGGUGGCAUGGUAUGAAACGAGACAUCUCCGACUUUGUUUCGAGAUGUUUAAUAUGUCAACAAGUGAAAGCGGAACAUCAAGUGUCUUCAGGAUUACUUCAGCCGAUCAUGAUACCCGAGUGGAAAUGGGAUCGAGUCACAAUGGACUUUGUGUCCGGACUGCCAUUGUCAGCAAGUAAGAAGGAUGCGAUUUGGGUUGUUGUUGAUAGACUGACUAAGUCAGCUCACUUUAUCCCCGUGCGUACGGAUUUUUCAUUGGAUAAACUAGCUGAAUUGUACGUUUCCCAGAUUGUGAGAUUACACGGGGUACCGAUUUCUGUUGUGUCGGAUAGAGAUCCGAGAUUCACCUCGCGAUUUUGGAAGAAAUUGCAAGAAGCUUUGGGUACCAAGCUGCAUUUUAGCACCGCUUUUCAUCCACAAACCGAUGGUCAAUCCGAGCGGGUAAUUCAGAUACUUGAGGAUAUGUUGAGAUGUUGCAUCCUUGAGUUUAGUGGUUCAUGGGAACGGUAUUUACCAUUGAUUGAAUUCGCUUACAACAAUAGUUUUCAAUCAAGUAUUAAGAUGGCACCUUACGAGGCUUUGUACGGGCGUAAAUGCCGUACACCAUUGUUUUGGACCGAGCUCGGUGAAAGUAAAAUUUUCGGAGUGGAUUUGAUUAAAGAUGCUGAACAGAAAGUAAAAGUAAUCCGUGAAAGUCUAAAGAUAGCCUCAGAUCGCCACAAGUUGUACGCGGAUCUGAAACGAAAAGACAUUGAGUAUCAGGUGGGAGAUAAGGUGUUUCUUAAAGUUUCACCUUGGAAAAAGAUACUCAGAUUUGGGCGUAAGGGCAAAUUGAGUCCGAGGUUCAUCGGGCCAUACAAAAUAUCCGAACGAGUCGGUCCAGUUGCGUAUCGAUUGAUUUUGCCCCCUGAACUUGAAAAGAUUCACGACGUCUUUCAUGUUUCGAUGCUUCGACGCUAUAGAUCUGAUCCAUCGCACAUAAUUAGCCCAUCAGAGGUCGAAAUUCAAGCUGAUAUGAGUUAUGAAGAAGAACCGAUGCGUAUCCUAGCUCGUGAAGUGAAAGAGUUGCGAAACAAAAGGGUUCCGUUAGUAAAGGUGUUAUGGCUCAAACACGGGAUCGAGGAAGCUACUUGGGAAACCGAGAGCUCGAUGAAAGAAUGAUACCCAAACCUAUUUACCGGUAAGAUUUUCAGGGACGAAAAUUUCUUAAGUGGGGGAGAGUUGUGACAGCCCUAAAGUGACCCUAGUCGGAAAGCGGUCUCGGGACUGCUAGACCGAGUCACCAAAUUAUUUGGAUAUGAUAAUUAUUUCCUAAAAUAUGUGAAUAUAAAUGUGUGAAAGUUUUAAGCUUCGAUUUAGUUAAUUGCAUGUGAAUUUAGUUUAUAGGACUUAUGUGAGAAAAUUUAGAAAUGUGCUAGGCAAAUGCAAGUGGCCUAAUAGUGCAUGUAAUCAAAAGGGUGGAAUUGUAUGUCAAUUUCCCCCCAUUUAAGUACUAGUGGCCGGCCAUGACAAGGGAUGAUGGGCAAAACAUGUCAUGAAACAUGUUGUGUUAAUGGAAAAAUAAAAUAAGAAGCAUGGGCAAUAAACUAAUAAGAAAUUGAAGGAAGAAAACAAAGAAAAAAAAAUGUGUUCAUCAUUCUCAUGCAUGACCGAAAAAAAAAAAGAAGGGAAAGGCUUCAUACUUUAGUUCUUCUUAGCUGUGUAGAAGGGGGAAAAGGGAAAAAAAAAGAGAACAAAAAGUCUUUCUCAUUUUGUUCUUCUUGGCCGAUUGUGAAGAGGAAGUAGGGAGGGAGGCAUUCGGUCAUCCUAGGCUAAUAGCAAGCUCAAGAGCUUAGAGGACCAAAGUUGGAUAAGGGGAAGGAAAAAGUGAUCGAAUAGCCGUCGAAACCGUUCGACAACAUCCGAGGUAAGUCUUCGAGUAAUGACCCUACUUGAAUUAUAUUGAAAUGAUUAGUCAUACUAUGACGGAUAGCCGAAUGUGCAUAGAGACUAUGUUAUAAAGCCAAUUGAAAUCAUGCUCUUUGUGUGUGGCUAUUGAGCCGAAAUUGGAAAGGUUUAAUAAAUGUUUUGUGUUUGAGCCUUAGUAACGAAAAUGAAAUAUGGAUGUGUCAUGAUUAUUGAUAUAUGUGUGCAUGAGCAUUUGAAUGAUAUCCGGCUAAGUCCCGAAAGCAUUUAUGCUAGUGAUUUUAUCCGGGCUAAGACCCGAAGGCAUUUGUGCGAGUUGAAAUAUCCGGGCUAAGACCCGAAGGUAUUUGUGCGAGUUGCUAUACCCGGGUUAAGACCCGAAGGCAAUUGUGCUUGUGGUUAUAUCCGGCUAAAUUUCGAAGAAACUUGGGUUUGAAGGUGAGCGUUUUGUGCUGUAAUAAAUUCAAUUAAUACGCUCGAAAAACCCAAACGAUAAGGUAUGUUUGCAUGUGCAUCGGAAAAGUCGAUUCGUUUUAAAUAGUAUUCGUUCAAUCGACUAACGAACUUUCGGCUUUUAGAUAGGUUGAUACCUUGUGUGUGUAUAUGUUGAUGAAGUGUGAAGUAAGUAUGAUUAUGAGAAUGUGUAUUAAUAAAGUGAUUCAUUUAGCUAUGUGAAUGUAAUACUUUAGUCAAAGCCGAUUUCAUUACUUGAAACUUACUAAGCUUUAAAAUGCUUACCCCGUUGCUUUGGCUCUCUGUUUUAUAGAUUUUGUUCGUUAGCUAUCGGAUUCGGGAUCAUCGAAGUCGAAGUCAUCCACACUAUCAAAGCCCUUUUGGUACUCUUUUAGUUGAACUCUGGAUAUGGCAUGUAUAGGACUACCCUUUGUUGUUUUUCAAGUACUUUUUGUGAUGUAUGUGUGUACAGCCAUGCGAAAAUGGCUCGUAGAAGUGGAGUAUGGCAUUAGACCAUUUGUGUUUAUGUAUAUAUAUGGUUUCAUGAUGUGACUAUGGACUGGAAUGGAAGUGUUGGGCAAAUGAUCAGCCAUUGGAAUGGCUAAAUAUGAUCAUAUGUGGACCUAUGUAUGACAAAACUCUAGUUGGUCCAUGGUAACCACGAAAUAGGUAAAGUUUACCUUGAAAACAGAUGCUGACAGCAGCAGUGGUGUGGAUUUGAAAAAUCACUACAAUUUGUAGGAAUGGAAUUAAAUAGUUAAUAAAUUAUAUAAUAGAACCCUGAUGAAUCUAUUUUCAUAUGAAAGUAACAAAAUGAUCAUAUGAACAGUAUAUUAAGAGAUAUUAAAGUUCUCGUGAAAUAGGGCCAGAACGGUUUCUAGAUCCCCUGUUUCGACUUUGAAAAUUUACCAUAAAUUAUCCAGAGACAAUUAGAAGUCAUUCCUUAUAUUUAUAGAUUCCCUUUUGAGUCUAGUUUCAUUAGAAACAAACGGCAUGAGUAUUGAAGCUCUGUACAGGGAGAUAUCCAAGUCGUAAUAUGUGAAGGUCAGAGUAGUCGAACCCAGAAUCAGGGGAGACUUUAACUAAUAAACUGUACCAAUUGGCCAAACCAAAAAUUCUAGAAAUAAAUACACAGAUGGAUAUAUGAGUCUAAUUUUAGGGAAAAUUUACGGAAUCAGUUUUUGAGUUUUGGAACUCGAGAUAUGGUUUUUAAGGCGACAGUGACGCGGUUAGCCAGCCUGUCUGGAAUUUUUUUUUUAAAUGGACUGUGAAAACAAAGUAAUUAAGUCUGUUAGCACCUCGCGUUCGACUCCGGCAACGGUCUCGGGUACGGGGUGUUACAUCACAUCUCAUGGCAGGAUUACCAGUCCAGGCUAAAUCCUACAUAUCAUGAACUCAUAAGGUGAUGUCGGGAUUACCACUCCCGACUAAAUCCCGUAUAGCGACAAACACCCUUAAUGAGCUCGGAUCUGAAUUACCAAUCCAGGCUAAAUUCAGACCCUAAUCGGAUUACCCGUCCGGGCUAAAUCCAUAAUGUACACAUAUUCUUCGGAAGGCUUAAUCAUUCUAGGAACACCCGUCCAGGUUAGAUUCCUUUUCAUACUUGAGAUCACGGAUUACCCGUCCGGGCUAAAUCCUACUGCAACACAUGCAGGAUCUCAGUUCACAUGUCAAAGAGGGUUUGUCCAUCGAAUUCCCUUUUUCAACCUCAACCGAGACAUUUUUACAUGUUAUCAUCACAUAUGCAUUUCUACGAUAUUCAUGCCAAUAAUAAAUACAAUCAUCAUUGCAUUCAUAAAUCAUACAAUUAUACAUAUUAGGGGUUUACUUUAAGUUAUCUGAACUUACAUUGGUAUUCGUUUCAGAGAUAUGUUUUGGUUAUUCCAAAACCUUGCGUUUACCACGCUCGACCUCCAGAAUUUGUUUACCUCGAGGUCUAUAUCAACAAAAUUAACUCAUUAAUACACUACAUUAUGUAUUUCAAGUUUAAUAUCUACUUCCGUCCAAAUGACCAUUUUUCCCUUAACCUUUCACAUUUUUACGAUUUAGUCCCUUGGCUCGUAUAAUGAAACACAUGCACUUUCGAUCUUACCCAAGCCUAGCCGAACACUUUUCCUUCUUAUGGUAGCCUAAAUUAUCCGUUAUUUUCUCAUUUCUACCACAUAUUUACAUCUUUUGCAAAAUAGUCCCUACAAAGGUUUUUCAUGAAAAUUAACUAGGAAAAUAUGUUUGAUACACAUUCAUCUUUCAUAUUCCUCCAUAAUCCAUCAAAAUACAAGCAACUCAUGCAUGGGUAAAUUUUUAAACAUGAACCCUAGCAUGAAAUAUGGGUAGAAAUGGAGAGAGCAAGCUAUCGGGAUUUCAAAAAUACAAAUAGCAUGAAAAACGGGGCUUGGGAGCACUUACUAUUGAGCUUGGAAAGCUUGAAACCCUAGCUAUGGAGAACCCCAAAUUUUUGGUUGGAUGAAGGAGAAAAAUGGCUGAUUUUGGCUUGAUUUUUCCAAUUUUAAUUCAUUAAAAUGACAAAUGACUAAAAUACCCUUAUGCCCUUUCUUUAAAAUUUCAUCCAUGCAAGCCCAUUUUUGUCCAAAAAUUUAAAAUUUGGACAAAUUGCUCUCCAAGACCUUUUAAUUCAUAAUCUAAAGUAAUUUCAUACAAAUUGCUUCUAGAAAUCAAGUUUUGCAAUAUAUUCAAUUUAGUCCCUAAUUUCCAAUUGAACACCUUAUACUUAAAAUUUCUUCAUGAAACUUUAACAAAUGCUUAUACUCAUAUUCUAGGCCUCAUAAUAAUCAUAAAAUAAAUAUUUUGAUGUCAGAUUUGUGGUCCCGAAACCACUAUUCCUACUAGGCCCUAUUUCGGGAUGUUACACUACUCGGGACCCACUCGAGUCCAUUAACCAACACUAGGAAAAUGACCUUUGACACACCCGUGUGGAUGGGCAACACGCCCGUGGAACUUGAACAUGGUCGUGCUGAUGGCCGGUGUGACACACAAGGCCUAAGCACCUAGGGACACGCUCGUGUCCUAUACCCGUGUAGAUUUAUUUUUUAAUUCAAACCUACAAGGGUUUUCACGUGUCCAUGGCCCGUGUCCCUCACAUUUCCUCCACACGCCCGUAUCUCAGCUCGUAUUUGAAAACCUUGACAUUUUGUUUCUGACGUCAGCAAUCCUUAAGGGUCACACGGCCAAGGCACACGCCCGUGUGCUAGGCGGUACCCUUCACACGGCUGAGACACACGGCCGUGUCUCUGCCUGCGUGUUUACUACCAUGCAUACUGACUUGCAAUUUUUACAUGCAGGGGACACACGGCCGGAUAACAUGCUCAUGGGGCUGGCCAUGUGUCACACACGGCCUAGACAAACGCAUGUGUGUCUACCCAUGUGGACAAUAUGAAGCUAUCUAUCAAGCCUUUUGCCACCCUAAAACAUAAUUUAAUGCCAACCAACAUAUCAAAAUCUAACUUAAUAUGAUUUCUCGACCAAACAACCAUAGCUAAGGCUUAUAUACAUUUCAUUUAAUCAAACUUGCCAACAAUUUCACAUUCAUGAAAGACUAUCUUACAUUCUUAUAACAACUUUCAAUAUUAGCCAUUUUUCAUGGCCUUAUACAAAAUGAAUCAAAUGCUAGGGUAAGCCAUCACAUUUGGCCAAUUAACAAUGACACAAAACUCAAAAGUCUAAGUUCCUAUACAUGCCAUAUUCAAAAUGAUAAAUCUAAUUAUACCGAGUGCUUCAGCUGAUGGUGUGAUCGAUGCCUCCGACAUCUAUUGAUCCUCGAGAUAGUUAGUUGGUAGUAUAAGAAAAUGGAAAAGAAAGAGAGUAAGCAUAAAGCUUAGUAAGUUGCAUGCAAAGAAAUAUAACAACCACUUUACCAUUCAUCAUCAUGCUUAUAGUACAAAAGUAGGCAUAAGCACAACUUACUCAUCACUAACCAAUACAAUUCACAUAUCAUAUAUAUUGAGCUCACGUCUCAUACAUUUCAAAUAGGUACCUGUACCGCUCACAACAUGGUUAUACUUUUCUCAUUUAACUCAAACUGUAACACUCACCGUUGAACCAUUUGGAAAGCUAUCGAAUAUUCAUUAAGCCUUAAACAUAGCAUAUAAUGCUGAUGCCAUGUCCCAGACAUGGUCUUACACUGAGUAUCGAAAUCGACGCCGACGCCAUGUCCCAAACAUGGUCUUACACUAGCUCUCACAUAUCCGUGCCGAUGCCAUGUCCCAGACAUGGUCUUACACUGACACAUCUCGUAGCCGAUGCAUGUCCCAGACAUGUCUUACACUGGCUUACAUCUUGAGGCCGAUGAUGUCCCGGACAUGUCUUACACUACCUCUCGUCUCAAUGUCAAUGCCAUGUUCAGACAUGGUCUUACACUGGCUCUCAUAAUGUGGCCGAUGCAUGUCCCAGACAUGUCUUACACCAACACACAAAUAACCUGAAUGUCAUGGCAUGAAUAUCCGAUUUAUUUCUUAAGGUUCAAACAAGAGUUUUACUAUCUCAAUAUUCAACAUACAUAAUCAUUUCCACAAACAAGUAAUUUAUGCUAUAUCAAUUCAAACACAUAUAAUAACAAUGUAGUUGUAUUAUUUACAUACAACUUACCUCAGAUUACAAAAUGUAGACGACUAGUUCGGCUUAGUCCACUUGUUUUGCUUUUCCCCGGUCUAGGCCCAGAUUUUGUAAUUCUUGAUCUAAAAUGAUGAAAAUUCACACAUUUAAUCAUUUUAUUAAUCUAGGUACUCAAAAAUUUAAAAAUUAGGCAAAAUGACUAUUUUACCCCUAGACUUUUUCAAAAUGACCAUUUUACCCCUAGGUCCAAAAAUCGAUUUUUAUCGAACUUCUUCAUAUCUUAAGCCCAACCGAACCUUUUUUACUCUUAUAGCAACCCAAAAUUUCCAUUAUUUCUCACAUUUAUCAUCAAAUUUUAACUUAUGCAAAAUGGUCCCUAGUUAGGGUUUCCAUGAUAACUACUUCACAAAAGUUGUUUAUUACACCACCAUAACUCAUUUUCUUCCAUCAACUUUCAGAAAACAACAUGAACACACUCAUGGUAAAACCCUAGAAUUUCAACCAUUUUGCAAAAUAGUCCCCUCAUUUAGAAGCUCGUGCUACAAGGUUUCCAAAAAUACAAAAAAAAUAUCAAGAAAAGUCAUCAAAACCACAUACUUGUAAGGAGAUUAAGUGGCUAAAAUUUUUCAAGCUUCCAAAACCCUCCUAUUGCUGGUAUUUUUGGUCAAGAAGAAAGGAUGAAUGAAAAAGAUGAAGGCUAGGCUUUAGGGUAUUAUUUUAUCACACAUUAGGUCAUCAAAUACCUAAUACUUUGACAAUUUUAUUUUCCUUGUCUCAUGCCUAAGUUAUUCUUGCAUUACAAUUGUGAGGUAGCUAAUGAAUUGAUUAUUUAAAUGGAUUGAAAUUGUAAUUAAUUGACACACUACUUAAUCAGUGCAUGUUUAUUCUUCUAAAGUAGCUGAAAGUUAAAUUAGAAAUGUAUCUGGCGAUACACUUGCCUUGCAUAACUUGCAAGAUUAUUGUGAUUAAAUUGUUUCAAGGUAAGGAUACCUUGUUAACUCACGUAGUCUUUUAUAUGCUCUUUAGAUUUUAUUAAUCGUUUGAAUUGACAUAAGGAUAUGCAAGAGAUUAGUUCAAUUUAAUGAGUAUGUAUGUGCCAUAACAUGUUUGUUUAUUAAAAUCUGUUUAAUCGUUUGAAUUAACAUAGGUAUAUGUUAAGAGAUGAAUGAAUUUGUGUAGGUGAAUAUGUUCACAAGUUAGCAAAUUACCGAGUUGCCGUGAAUUUAUUCGUAACAACAUAAGCAUGAGCUUAAUAAUUCUAAGUUAAAGAAAUGUAAUUAAAUCAACACAAUUAUGUCAUCUUGAUUAAAUCAUAUUUUGAAAUCGUGCAUUUGAGAUUUAUUUCUUAAGUUUACUUAGUUUAAAAUCUUAGUUUUUAAUUACCCUCUCCAAACAAAAUAUUUUUCUUCACCAAAGUGUUUAAAUUGUGUUCAUAAAUAAUCCUUUUUACAGUCCCUGUGGGUACGAUAACUCGACAUGUACUUAUCGCUUUAUUACUUGUUGCGACUGUGUACACUUGCACAUUUCUGUCGUUCCAAGUUUUUAGCGUUGUUACCGGGGACUGUUUUAAAAGACAUUAUUUGCGAAAUUGUUAAUUUUGCAUUUUGGCCUUUUUUUCUGUUAAAUUUUAAUUCCUUUUUUUUGUUUCAGGUGUUUAUGAGUAUUGAUCAAAUUUUUGACUUACUUCCUAUAAACCUUGAAAUUGAAAGGACUUUUUGACAAAAGAGAAGACAAGCGAACCAAAAAAGGACCGAAGAUAUGAAUUUCGAAAAUCUAGGAGGAACAUUCGUUUUUAAUACUCACAAUCCGAUCAUUGUUGCCGAUGACAGAAACUGUGCCAUUCAACAAUAUGCCAUUCCUCUAUUCAAUGAGCUCAAUUCGAGUAUUAGGAGUGUAAUGGCCUAAAUUCAAAAUUAUCGGAACAGUGGUUUCGUAACCACAAAUCCGAUUUAAAGAGAAAUUUAUUUCAAUAUUUUUACAUGAAAAUUGAUAUGAUAGGAAAAUCGUAUGAAAAUAUUCAUAGAAAAAAUUUACCGAUUUAGUGAUUAGAUAGAAAAAGAAAUUAUUGAAGAAAUUGGGUAAAAACAAGGUAUCAAGACCUCUAUCUCGUAAAACCGAGUCAAAAAUAAUUUUAUAAAUAUUUAUGAAAUGUUAUUAAUAUGGUAUUAAAAUUUCAUUAGGAAAUUUUAAUGUUUGGGUAGUCAAUUAAAUGAAAAGGACUAAAUUGUAAUAGGUGUAAAAGUUGCUAGAAUGAUUAAAUAGCUUAAAAGUCUAAUGAGAAAGGGUUUAAAAGGAAUUAGACCCAAAAGUUAUUUGGGCUGGACGACAAGGGUAUGAAAUCAGCAGAAAAAUUGAUAAAUUAAGGGUAAAAUUGGAAUAUUGCAAAAUUAACUAAAUAAAGCUAGGACUAAAUAGGAAAUAUCUAGAUUUCUCUUCAUUUCUCUUCAAUUCCAGCAGCUAAAAAUGCCAUAGGAGGGUUCUCUACGCUGGUAUUUCAUAAUUUUUGCACCAAGUGAGUUAAUCCUUGCCUUUUUCUUGUAAUUUUUGUGUUUCUAAGACUUUUACAACUAGGUCCUACUAUUAAAUUCAUUAGUUUUUGAUUUCAUGGAUGAAAUUGAAAGUCACCAUGGUUGAGUGCUGUAAGUUUAUGAUGAAAUAGAACAAAAUUAAAGCUUUAAUUUGUUUAUGAGAUGAUUUUAUUAGGUAAUUUCAAUAGAAAUUGAUUUUUAGGACCUAAUUGUGAAAAUGCUUGGAAUUAAAGUCUAUUGCUGAAAUUCUGAUUCCUAAAGGUUGUAAACUAGUUUAAGGUGAUAGAAUAAAAUUUUAAUUGAGAAAAAUCAGCUCAAUUGAGAGGCUAAUUGAGUAGGGAUGAAAUUAUCAUUUAUUAAAAGCUUAGGGGAAAAAUGGUAAUAAACAGCUUGCACAAAAACAGUUUGGACAGCAGCAGUAGACUAACUUUGAAAAAUCACCAUAAAUUGUAGAAAUCGAAUUAGAAGAUGAAAAAAAUAUUGCAUUAAAUCUUAUUGAGUCUAGUUUCUCAUAGAAGAAAUAGUGUAAGCAAUGGAUUUGUAAAUUUUGAGAUAUAAUGAAUUUUGUGAGACAAGGUCAGAAUGAAUUAGGGUUCCCCAGUUCUGACUUUGAAAAAUCAUAAAAAUUUGAAGCAAAAGAAUUAUGGGCUUAAAUUUAUAUGUCUAGAAUCCUUAAUGAGUUUAUUUUUAAUAGAAACAAACUAGAACAUUAUUUUAAUUAUGUAUGAAGAGAUAAUUAAUUUUUAGUGAAGAAGGGUUAGAACUGUCGAUAGCAGAACAGGGGUGACUUUAAAGAAUAAACUGUACUUAUUAGCUAAACCAAAAAGUCUGAAAAUUUUAUGGUAAAAAUAUAUAUGAGUCUAGUUUCAGGAAAAAUUAACAGAUCUUAAUUUGGAGUUCCGUAGCUCAAGUUAUAAAUAAUUUAGUGACUAUGACUCAAGUAGACAGCUUUGAAUGAACUAUAAAUAAUAGUUGAAUUAUAGAGAACGUUGCAUAUGAACAUGAAAUGUAUUAAAUUGAUAAUUAAAUUUAUUUAUUUAAAUUCGGAAGAUUCAAAUAGGAGGCUAGAUUGAGGAAAGGAAAAAGUUCGGGAUUAGUAGAUUUUUAUUGUUUACAAACAAGUAUCAAGUUAAGUUCAUGUAACUUGAAUUAUAUUCUUAAAUGAUUGAGAUUGUAUGUUAUUUAUGUGAAAAUGAUUUGAAUGUUCAUUGUAUGAAAAUUUAUGAAACAUUGAUAUAUUUGAUAAAAUGGGAAGAAAUCCCAGUUGAAUGAAAGGAAAAUUCAAUGGAUCUCUGAAAAGGAAUUGACGGUUAAAAGGAUCUAGCCCGGACGGGUGAUCCUAUCUUGAUAUAGCCCUCCCGACGAAUAUGUGUAAAAUGGAUUUAGCCCGGACGGGUAAUCCGAAUUAGGGUCUAAAUUUAGCCUGGACUGGUAAUUCAGAUCCAAGCUCAUUAGAGUAAUUGUCGUUGCAGGGGAUUUAGCCUGGACUGGUAAUCCCGACAAUACUCUAUAAGUUUAUAUUGCGGGGGAUUUAGCCUGGACUGGUAAUCCCGCUGCAAGGUUGAGGUUCGCGGAGUGUGCUCUCUGAAAUGGAAAUGUGCACACAUGAAUAUGAAUUGACGGACCCGGAAUUGUACAAUAAAUGUGUACCUUUGAAAAUCCAUCGAAAUUCUGAUAAAUUCAACGGGAUAAAUACGAAAAAAUAAAAAGAAAAUGAAAAUCAUGGUAUUGACGAGCUCAUUAAUCAUGGUAUAUAUUAUUGAUACAUGGAAAUUAUUGUACUAACUUGAAUGUUGAGUUUGUGCAUGUUAGGGUAAUAAUGCAUUGAAUGGAUAUAUGAAUGUUUAUUAUAUUGUAUUGAAAAUAUUAGGUAAGUAUAAUUCUUGUUACAUGAGCUUACUAAGCACAAAGUGCUUACCCCGUUUCCUUUUUCCCUAUUUUGUAGUGUUAAGAGCUCGAAGGUCGGAUUUAGUCAGAGACACAUCCAUUGUCAACCUCAGGAUUUCGGUAUAUAAAGAAACUUUAUUUUGGAAAUCAAUGGCAUGUAUAAGCUAACAAAGUAAAUGUUAACGUGAAAUGAAUGUUAAGUUAGCCAUUAGUAUGGUUAACAAACCUGGUUUUAGAUAUGUGAUGACGUUAUGUUAUAAAUAUGCAUUAAUUUAUCUUGAAAAUAUGUUGAAUUGAUUUGGUUGAUGUGGAUUGGUCUCGAUUUAAUAUUGCAGGGAAGGUUAGAUAUUUAUAAAGGGGCUAUAUUGAAUAUAAAAAAAUUUAAUUCGUAAACUCCGGUAAUGCCUCGUACCCUAUUCCGGCAAUGAAUACGGGUAGGGGUAUUACAUUUAUUGGUAUUAGAGCUACGGUUUAGCCGGUUCUAGGACCGAUGUAGCAAAUACGGGAUUAGUUAUACAUGCUAUUUAAAUUAUUAUUGAUAGUGUGAUAUCUCCUGACCAUUUAAAAUGUGUUUUUCUUAUAGUAAUGACAUCCGACCGAGCUCAAUCUGAGGAAGCUGGGAGUCAUGCUCCGGCUUCAAUACAAAGAGAAGAAACUAGCAGUAGAAGGCCCGAGACAGAGGGUCGAGGGGAGGAGGCAAAAACAGCCUUCUUUCAAAUGAUGAAUGAAUGGUUUAAUCAAUAUUUAAGAACUAACCCUGGACUACAGCAAGUUCAAGCUCCCCCUCCUGCUCCUUCACCGGUUCUCGAGAUCCCACAGGGUGCAGGUACUGAAUCUGUCAAAAAAGGAAAAGCUCCAGUAGAUAAAAUUCGAAAAUAUGGGGCCGAAGAAUUUUGAGCAGCAGUUGAUGAUGAUUCUGAACGGGCUGAAUUCUGGUUAUAAAACACUACUUGGGUUCUGGAAGAAUUAUCUUGUACACCAGAAGAAUGUCUGAAAUGUGCCGUCUCACUGCUAAAAGACACAGCUUACCAUUGGUGGAAUACUAAAGCUUCAGUUGUUCCGAAAGAAGAAAUUACAUUGGAAUUCUUUCAGACCGAGUUCAGAAAAAAAUAUAUCAGCCAGAGGUUUCUCGAUCAGAAAAGAAAAAAAUUUCUUGAGUUGAAACAGGGUAACAGAUCAGUAUCUGAAUAUGAAAGAGAAUUUGUUCAAUUGAGUAAAUAUGCUCGAGAAUGGGUACAGUCAGAAGCUGAAAUGUGCAAACGAUUCGAAGAAGGGUUAAAUGAAGACAUUAAACUACUGAUCGGAAUUCUUGAAAUUUAGGAGUUUGCUACAUUGGUAGAGAGAGCUUAUAAAGCAGAAGAAUUGAGCAAAGAAAAGAAACAGGCUGAGAGGGAAGCUUGAAUUUUUAGUAAAAGACCGAUGGGAAAAUCCCAGUUUUCUACUUCAAAGAAAUUGAAGAAGUACCAGGAUCGUUCUACUUCAGCCAUUGGGUAUUCGGGCAGAGAGCGAGGUUCUCAACACACUAAUCCAAGACCUUCUACUCCAUCAGUGACCAGUGUUGGUAGUGUUGGCACUCCUAAGCCGAGAUGCCAGUACUGUAAUAAAGCUCAUUUUGGUGAAUGUCGAUUAAAGAGCGGGGCUUGUUAUCGAUGUGGUUCUUUUGACCAUUUCCUCAGAGAUUGUCCAGAAAGAGGUGAAAAUGAAGCUGAACAGAUAUCGAAGCCGAGUAAUCCAGUUUCGAGAGGUAGACCACCUCGACCAUCUGGUUAUGUCAGUGGUAGCUAAGGAGCUACGAAAGAUAUUGCAGGCAGGUCUGAAGCACGAGCACCUGCUAGGACAUAUUCCAUUCGUGCCAGAGAAGAUGCCUCAGCACUUGAUAUUAUUACUGGUACAUUUUCUUUACUUGAUACUGAUAUUACUGCAUUAAUUGAUCCUGGUUCUACGCAUUCAUAUAUAUGUGUUAAACUUUCAAUUGUUAAAAAUUUACCUGUUGAACCUACUGAAUUUGUGGUUAAAGUCUCGAACCCCCUAGGCCAGUCUGUGUUGGUGGAUAAAAUUUGUAAAAAUUGUCCACUGAUGGUAAGAGGUUAUUAUUUCCCGGCUGAUUUGAUGUUACUGCCAUUUGAUGAAUUUGACGUGAUAUUGGGCAUGGAUUGGUUAACCCAGCAUGAUGCGGUAGUAAAUUGUAGACAAAAAUAUAUUAUGCUAAAAUGUCAGAAUGGUGAGUUGCUCCGGGUUAAAUCUGAUCAGACAGAGGGGUUAUCUGAUGUGAUUUCAGUAAUGGCAGCACAAAGGUAUGUCAAAAAAAGGUAUGAUGCUUACUUGGCUUAUGUACUCGACACCAAGGUAUUUGAGUCAAAGAUACAGGCAGUUCCAGUGGUAUGUGAAUUUUUCGAUGUGUUUCCAGAGGAAUUACCAGGAUUGCCACCAGAAAGAGAAGUGAAAUUUUCUAUAGAUUUGAUUCCGGGAACUACUCCGAUCUCCAUAGCUCCAUAUCGUAUGGCUCUUACAGAAUUAAAGGAGUUAAAGACACAGUUGCAAGAACUUGUUGACAGGGGUUUUGUCCGACCGAGUCAUUCACCUUGGGGUGCUCCGAUUCUGUUUGUGAGAAAGAAAGAUGGGUCUUUGAGAUUGUGUAUCGACUACCGGCAGCUUAAUAAAGUAACCAUAAAGAAUAAGUACCCGUUACCCCGAAUUGAUGAUUUAUUUGAUCAACUGAAAGGUGCUACUGUGUUUUCAAAUAUUGAUCUUCGAUCGGGUUAUUUUCAGUUACGAGUAAAGGAGUCAGAUGUGCCAAAAACAGCCUUUAGAACUAGGUACGGGCAUUAUGAGGUUCUAGUUAUGCCGUUUGGGCUAACUAAUGCACCUGCAGUAUUCAUGGAUUUGAUGAACCGGAUAUUCAGAUCGUACUUAGACAGAUUUUUAGUAGUAUUCAUUGAUGAUAUUUUGGUUUAUUCUCGGGAUGAAGAAGAACAUGCAGAACAUUUGAGAAUUGUGUUGCAAAUUCUGCGAGAGAAGCAGUUAUAUGCUAAAUUCAGUAAGUGUGAAUUUUGGCUUUGAGAAGUGGGUUUUCUAGGACAUAUUGUAUCUGCCGAAGGCAUCAGGGUAGAUCCAAGUAAAAUCUCAGCUAUUGUCAAUUGGAGUCCACCGAAGAAUGUAUCUGAAGUUAGAAGUUUCUUGGGUUUAGCUGGUUAUUAUCGGAGAUUUGUACAGGGAUUCUCUAUGAUAGCUUCUCCAAUGACUCGAUUAUUGCAGAAAGAUGUAAAGUUCGAGUGGACUGAUGAAUGUCAACAAAGUUUCAACCGAUAGAAAGACCUAUUAACGAAAGCACCUGUAUUAGUGCAGCCUGAAUCCGGUAAGGAAUUUGUUAUUUAUAGUGAUGCCUCAUUAAAUGGUUUAGGUUGUGUUUUGAUGCAAGAAGGUAAAGUAAUAGCCUAUGCUUCAAGACAACUUAAACCACAUGAAAGAAAUUAACCAGUACAUGAUCUUAAAUUAGCUGCUAUUGUAUUUGCGCUGAAGAUAUGGCGGAAUUACUUGUACGGUGAGAAAUGUCAUAUUUAUAUUGAUCAUAAAAUCUUGAAAUAUUUGAUGACACAGAAAGAUCUGAAUUUGAGACAGCGCAGGUGGCUUGAACUGAUAAAGGACUAUGAUUUGAUUAUUGAUUACCAUCCGGGUAAGGCUAAUGUUGUAGCUGAUGCUUUGAGCCAGAAAUCUCUAUUUGCUUUACGAGCUAUGAAUACCCGGUUAUUAUUGACUGAUGAUGGUUCAAUCCUAGCAGAAUUAAGAGCUAAACCGACAUUUUUACAGCAAAUAUGUGAAGCUCAGAAGAAUAAUGAGAAGUUACAAGUUAAACGGGCACAGUGUGAGUCAUGUAAUGAUUCUGAAUUUCAGAUUGGUUCUGAUGGUUGUUUAUUAUUCAGAGGUAGGGUAUGUGUACCUCAGAAUUCAGAGCUCAUACAAAAGAUUCUAUGCGAGGCUCACAGCAGUACUAUGUCUGUACAUCCGGGGAGUAAUAAAAUGUAUAAUGAUCGGAAAAAGAUGUACUGGUGGUCGGGAAUGAAACGUGAUAUCUCUGAGUUUGUAUCAAGGUGUUUAAUAUGUCAGAAAGUUAAAGCUGAACAUCAGGUACCUUCGGGGUUACUUCAGCCAAUUACUAUACCGGAAUGGAAAUGGGAAAGAAUCACUAUGGAUUUUGUAUCGGGGUUACCUUUGUCUCCGAGGAAAAAAGAUGCUAUUUGGGUGAUUGUAGACCAAUUGACAAAGUCAGCUCACUUUAUUCCAGUACGUAUGGAUUAUUCUUUAGAUAAACUAGCUGAAUUGUACAUAUCUGAGAUUGUCAGACUACAUGGAGUGCCUGUCUCCAUUAUAUCAGAUAGAGAUCCCCGAUUUACGUCUCGUUUCUGGGACAAAUUGCAAGAAGCCUUGGGUACUCAGUUGUAUUUUAGUACUGCAUUUCAUCCUCAGACAGAUGGUCAAUUUGAGCGUGUAAUUCAAGUAUUGGAAGAUAUGCUCCGAUGUUGUAUACUAGAGUUUGAAGGUAAUUGGGAGAGGUAUCUACCUUUGAUUGAAUUUGCUUACAAUAACAGUUAUCAGUCCAUUAUUAAAAUGGCUCUUUAUGAAGCUUUGUAUGGUAGAAAAUGUAGAACACUGUUAUAUUGGACAGAGCUUAGUGAAAGGAAGAUACAUGGGAUUGAUUUGAUUCGGGAAACAGAAGAAAAAGUAAAGGUUAUUCGAGAUAGUCUAAAAGCAGCUUCCGAUCGUCAAAAAUCAUAUGCCGACCUUAAACGAAAAGAGAUUGAAUUUCAAGUCGGUGACAAGGUAUUCCUAAAAGUGUCUCCUUGGAAGAAAGUCCUUCGAUUUGGUUGAAAGGGUAAACUCAGUCCAAGAUUUAUCGGGCCAUAUGAAAUCAUAGAAAGAAUUGGACCGGUCGCUUAUCGAUUGGCAUUAUCACCGGAACUUGAUAGAAUCCAUAAUGUUUUUCAUGUAUCUAUGUUACGACGAUAUCGAUCAGAUCCUUCACAUGUUAUUUCUCCGACAGAAGUGGAGAUUCAACCGAAUAUGACUUACAGUGAAGAACUAGUCAAGAUAUUCGCACGAGAGACAAAAGAGCUUAGAAAUAAAAAGAUAAAUUUGGUGAAAGUAUUGUGGCAAAAGCACGGGAUUGAGGAAGCGACAUGGGAACCGGAGGAGGCAAUGAGGAAACAAUACCCAAAUCUCUUUACUGGUAAGAUUUUCGAGGACGAAAAUCCUUAAAGGGGGGAGAGUUGUAAUGGCCUAAAUUCAAAAUUAUCGGAACAGUAGAUUUGUAACCACAAAUCUAAUUUAAAGAGAAAUUUAUUUUAAUAUUUUUGCAUGAAAAUUGAUAUGAUAGGAAAAUCAUAUGAAAAUAUUAAUAGAAAAAUUUUACCGAUUUAGUGAUUAGAUAGAAAAAGAAAUUAUUGAAGAAUUUGGAUAAAAACAAGGUAUCAAGACCUCUAUCUCGUAAAACCGAGUCAAAAAUAAUUUUAUAAAUAUUUAUGAAAUGUUAUUAAUGUGGUAUUAAAAUUCCGUUAGGAAAUUUUAAUGUUUGGGUAGUCAAUUAAAUGAAAAGGACUAAAUUGUAAUAGGUGUAAAAGUUGCUAGAAUGAUUAAAUAGCUUAAAAGUCUAAUUAGAAAGGAUUUAAAAGGCAAUUAGACCCAAAAUUUAUUUGGGAUGGACGGCAAGGGUAUGAAAUCUGCAGAAAAAUUGAUAAAUUAAGGGUAAAAUUGGAAUAUUGCAAAAUUAACUAAAUAAAACUAGGACUAAAUAGGAAAUAUCUAGAUUUCUCUUCAUUUUUCUUCAAUUCCAGCAGCUAAAAACGCCAUAGAAGGGUUCUCUAAGCUGGUAUUUCAUAAAUUUUGCACCAAGUGAGUUAACCCUUGCCUUUUUCUUGUAAUUUUUGUGUUUCUAAGACUUUUACAACUAGGUCCUACUAUUAAAUUCAUUAGUUUUUGAUUUCAUGGAUGAAAUUGAAAGUCACCAUGGUUGAGUGCUGUAAGUUUAUGAUGAAACAGAAUGAAAUUAAAGCUUUAAUUUGUUUAUGAGAUGAUUUUAUUAGGUAAUUUCAAUAAAAAUUGAUUUUUAGGACCUAAUUGUGAAAAUGCUUGGAAUUAAAGUCUAUUGCUGAAAUUCUGAUUCCUAAAGGUUGUAAACUAGUUUAAGGUAAUAGAAUAAAAUUUUAAUUGAGAAAAAUCAGCUCAAUUGAGAGGCUAAUUGAGUAGGGACGAAAUUAUCAUUUAUUAAAAGCUUAGGGGAAAAAUGGUAAUAAACAGCUUGCACAAAAACAGUUUGGACAGCAGCAGUAGACUAACUUUGAAAAAUCACCAUAAAUUUUAGAAAUCGAAUUAGAAGAUAAAAAAAAUAUUGCAUUAAAUCUUAUUGAGCCUAGUUUCUCAUAGAAGAAAUAGUGUAAGCAAUGGAUUUGUAAAUUUUUAGAUAUAAUGAAUUUUGUGAAACAAGGUCAGAAUGAAUUAGGGUUCCCCUGUUCUGACUUUGAAAAAUCAUAACAAAUUGAAUAAAAACAAUUAUGGGCUUAAAUUUAUAUGUAUAGAAUCCUUAAUGAGUCUAUUUUUAAGAGAAACAAAUUAUAACAUUAUUUUAAUUCUUUAGGAACAGAUAAUUAGUUUUUAGUGAAGAAGGGUCAGAACUGUCGACAGCAGAACAGGGGUGACUUUAAAGAAUAAACUGUACUUAUUAGCUAAACCAAAAAUUCUGAAAAUUUUAUGGUAAAAAUAUAUAUGAGUCUAGUUUCAGAAAAAUUAACAGAUCUUAAUUUGGAGUUCCGUAGCUCAAGUUAUAAAUAAUUUAGUGACUAUGACUCAAGUAGACAGCUUUGAAUGAACAAUAAAUAAUAGUUGAAUUAUAGAGAAUGUUGCAUAUGAACAUGAAAUGUAUUAAAUUGAUAACUAAAUUUAUUUAUUUAGAUCCGGAAGAUUCAAAUAGGAAGCUAGAUCGAGGAAAGGAAAAAGUUCGGGAUUAGUAGAUUUUUAUUGUUUACAAACAAGUAUCAAGGUAAGUUCAUGUAACUUGAAUUAUAUUCUUAAAUGAUUGAGAUUGUAUGUUAUUUAUGUGAAAAUGAUUUGAAUGUUCAUUGUAUGAAAAUUUAUGAAACAUUGAUAUAUUGGAUAAAAUGGGAAGAAGUCCCAGUUGAAUGAAAGGAAAAUUCGAUGGAUCUCUGAAAAGGAAUUGACGGAUAAAAGGAUCUAGCCCGGACGGGUGAUCCUAUCUUGAUAUAGCCUUCCCGAAGAAUAUGUGUAAAAUGAAUUUAGCCCGGACGGGUAAUCCGAAUUAGGGUCUGAAUUUAGCCUGGACUGGUAAUUCAGAUCCAAGCUCAUUAGAGUAAUUGUCGUUGCAGGGGAUUUAGCCUGGACUGGUAAUCCCGACAAUACUCUAUAAGUUUAUAUUGCAGGGGAUUUAGCCUGGAUUGGUAAUCCCGCUGCAAGGUUGAGGUUCGCGGAGUGUGCUCUCUGAAAUGGAAAUGUGCACACAUGAAUAUGAAUUGACGGACCCGGAAUUGUACAAUAAAUGUGUACCUCUGAAAAUCCAUCGAAAUUCUGAUAAAUUCAACGGGAUAAAUACGGAAAAAUAACAAGAAAAUGGAAAUCAUGGUAUUGACGAGCUCAUUAAUCAUGGUAUAUAUUAUUGAUACAUGGAAAUUAUUGUACUAACUUGAAUGUUGAGUUUGUGCAUGUUAGGGUAAUAAUGCAUUGAAUGGAUAUAUGAAUGUUUAUUAUAUUGUAUUGAAAAUAUUAGGUAAGUAUAAUUCUUGUUACAUGAGCUUACUAAGCACAAAGUGCUUACCCCGUUUCCUUUUUCCCUAUUUUGUAGUGUUAAGAGCUCGGAGGUCGGAUUUAGUCGGAGACACAUCGCACUGUCAACCUCAGGAUUUCGGUAUAUAAAGAAACUUUAUUUUGGAAAUCAAUGGCAUGGAUAAGCUAACAAAGUAAAUGUUAACGUGAAAUGAAUGUAAAGCUAGCCAUUAGUAUGGUUAACAAACCUGGUUUUAGGUAUGUGAUGACGUUAUCUUAUAAAUAUGCAUGAAUUUAUCUUGAAAAUAUGUUGAAUUGAUUUGGUUGAUGUGGAUUGGUCUCGAUUUAAUAUUGCAGGGAAGGUUAGAUAUUUAUAAAGGGGCUAUAUUGAAUAUAAAAAAAAUUUAAUUCGUAAACUCCGGUAAUACCUCGUACCCUAUUCCGGCAAUGAAUAUGGGUAGGGGUAUUACAAGGAGACCCAAAAUCGAGGCACAACAAUUCAAGCUGAAGCCGAUCAUGUUCCAAAUGUUGCAAAAUAUGGGUCAAUUUAGUGGGGUUCCUAUUGAAGAUCCACAUCUUCAUCUUCGGCUAUUUAUGGAAGUGAAUGACUCAUUUAAAUUAGUCGGGGUGACCGAGGAUGCCUUGAGAUUGAGAUUAUUUUCAUACUCCUUAAGAGAUAGAGCACGAGCAUGGUUGAACUCCCUACCGUCUAGUUCCAUAACUACAUGGCAAGAGUUGGUUGAACAUUUCUUAAUGAAAUAUUUCUCUCUAUCUUUAACCGCCAAGAUCUGAAAUGAAAUCACAUCAUUUCAGCAACUUGAUGAGGAAUCUUUAUAUGACGCAUGGGAGCAGUUCAAGGAGUUACUACGAAAGUGCCUUCAUCAUGGCAUUCCUUGCUGCAUUUAAAUAGAGACUUUCUAUAUUGGUCUCAAUAUUCAUACUAGAAUGAUGGUAGAUGCUUCGACAAAUGGAGCCCUUCUUUCUAAGUCUUAUAAUGAUGCUUAUGAGAUUAUUGAAAGAAUUUCCAACAAUGACUAUCAGUGGCCAACCAACCGAGCAGCCUCAAAAAGAUGAGUAACAGGAGUACAUGAAGCGGACACACUUGCUUCUUUGGCAGCCCAGGUAUCCUCUAUGUCUUCUAUGCUUAAGAACAUAAUUGUUAAUGGUUUCAAUGGUAAUUUUCCAGGUUAGUAGCUGAAUCAGUUCAAGAAUAUUUCUUGUGAAUAUUGUGGAGAUGCCCAUUUCUUUGAAAAUUGCCCAUUGAAUCAAUAUUCAAAUUAUUACAUGGAAAUCAGAAUUGGAAUGGUCUGCAAUCAAAUUUUUACAACUCUUCAUGGCAGAAUCAUCCAAUUUCUGCAUGGAGUGAUCAAUGGGCGGACCAUACCGACUCUGUUAUGCCAUUUCGACCAAGUUCUUCGUCGGAAUAUUCUCAACAAGUGCAACAACCCUCACCAACUGAAUCUUCAAGUGAUCUUGAGAAUUUGCUGAAGGCAUACAUAGCGAAGAAUUAUACCACUUUAAGAAAUCUGAAGAAUCAAAUGGGUCAAUUAACCAAUGAACUUCAAAAUAAACCCCAAGGUAUUUGGCCAAGCGACACAGAAAAUCCAAAAAUUUUGGGCAAAGAACAUUGCAAAACAGUCUCUUUGCCAAGUGGAAAGACAUUGGAGCCCAAUGUGGAUAGAUUUGAUGGGAAAGAAUAUGACUACUUCCUAGAAGAUUAUGGUGGGUAUGACAAAUGACCAUUUGACACCACCAUGGUCAAUGACGAUCCUAAAUAAAAUGGAGGGAGUUCUCUUCACUUUCUCUAUCGUUAUUUUAUAUUUUUAGUUUUUUUUUCUCAUUUGAAUAAAAUGGUAGACUUAGAUAAAAUUUCAUUUAGUUCAUUACAUUAAUUAAAACUCUUUCUAGGAGAUUGGGUCUUAAGCGAGACCAUCCGUGACCCCUUCAGUCUUUCCUGGGAGUUUAAUUUAAUGUUAUUUUUCAAAAAAAAAUAUUUUUUAAGUAGCCCAAAGAAUUUAAGUAUUUUUUUUGUUAAAUAAAGGGUCAAAUUUUAACCCAAACACUAAUUUCUUUGAGUUUUUUUAUUUAUUUUCAGUAUAGGAGCUUAGGAUCCAAAAAGGAGCUGCCAUUGGGCUCAAGACAGUACUAAGAAGGGAAAUUUUCAACCCUUUUCCACACAAACCUAUAGCCCUUACCUUACUCCACCACCACUCCCAAGUAGCCCCAAAGUGCAUCUCACUUAACCCCUUAAUGUUGCAGCCCUUAACUCCUUAAAUCACCGCCCCAAACACCUUCAUUCGAAGUCACCAACUACCGCACCUAAACUAUCCUUAAAACUGCCACCCUCUUCAACUCUAAACUUUACCCUCAACUACUCACCUACCUGCCCAAAACUGAAACGACCCUUAACAAAUUUCCUAAGUUUGAUGGUGAAAGUCUCUUUAUUUAGCACCAUUCCACGAAGUGAACAGUUUGGUAUAAUGGCUAUGCUGCAACAAAUGUAGUUGCAGUAACAAGAUUACUGGAGAUACUCAAUAAUACGGGAUGACUUAAUCAAAUAUGCAUUUAAAAUAUAUAUUUCAUAACCCGUUUAUUUUUGUGCAUGAAUUUCUAGACUUUACACUUGAACCAUGGACUCCAAUGUCGAGGAAGGAAAAAGAUGAGUCAGAUUCUGAGGGAUAUUCAAAUAAAUAAAAAUGGGGAUCUUUACUUUAUUUCAUUUUCUUUCCUAGGUUAUUUAAUGUUUUAGGAUUGGGUUCUAUUAUGAUUUUUAUUUUUCGCAUAAUAAAACAAGAUGUGGAAAUCAUAAAUAAAAAUGAACAAGUUGCAACGUACAAAGUGUGGCAAUAGAUAUAUACAUGUCUAGGAAUGGAUUUAGAGAGAGCUUGGUACUUAAGCAGUCAAAUUGACUCACCUCCUCUUUUCUAGACUACUACCUGGUGUAUAGUAUCUAUUCACUUUUAAUAAUGAGGGCAUUGUUCGUCUUAAGUAGGGGGACCGAAAAAUUGAAAUUAUUUCCAUUCAGAAUAAAAUUUUCUUUCAAUUAUGAUUAGGUUAUAUUUUGUUCAAUAAUUUGAAAUGUUGUUAAGUAAGCUAAACUUCAGUAAAUAAAGUUCAAUUAUUUCAAUAAUUGUUAUGUUAGCUUAAUAAUGACAUAAAUGUAUUUUUAAUAAAGCAUGCAAAUCAUACCAUAAAAUUUUAGUUCCUUAGGAAAGUUAGGCAUGCAUGAAAGUUUAAGUCUUUAGAAUUGACUUAGAAGUUUCUUGAGGCAAAAUCCUAGGAAGCAUGGAGCGUUGAAAAUGAUUUAGGCAACUAUUGUUUGGACUGUUUGAGCCUUUCAAGCUAACCAUGAUGAAAUUUUUAUCCUUUGAAACCUAGCUUUGAGACUAUAUGGCCUAAUUUUAUUUGAACCCUUGCAAAUUUAACUAUCACUUCUCUCUUAACUAUCUUAAAAUUGUCCCAAAUACUAGACUCAUUACUAUUCAAAGUAUUCUUUGAAAAUAAGUUUGGGGGAGUUGAAAAGAAGUAUCAAAUGCUCUAAAAAAUUAUAGUACAUACAGUAAAAUGUUCGAAUUAAAAAAAAAGAAAGGAAGAGCAUGAGUUCUUAAAAUAAGAUGUACAAAAGAGCAUGUGAAAGCAAAGAAAGUUGAUGUAUUGAAGGUAAUUAUUUCGAAGGUCCGAUGCAAGUUGAGUCUAGGGUUUUUAGCCUAAAUUUAUCUAUCUUUUACCUACCCCUAAGCCCAACCACGUUACAACCUUGUUAAAGACCUAUUGAUGCAAGUUCCAAUGCUACGUACAUUAGUGGAGAGAAAUUGAUACGUGCAACAUAUGAAGACAUAAGUUAAACUUAAUGAUUGCAGCUUAAUCUUGAAUAAGGGAAUAAAAUUAAAUUGGUAAGGGUUAACAUGACUUUAUUAGGAAACAUUUAGUCUAAUUUUUUGCCUUUCAUAAGAAUGAUUGAGAUUAAUUUGAAUGGUAUGUAUACUUAGAUAGCAUAAAUAUCGAAUUUCUUGUUCUUGAGCAUAAGUAUACCAAAUUCAUGAUUGUUGGGAAGAAUGUCAUUUUGAAGGACUUUUUCAAAGGUGUCUUCAAAAAAUUCUUUUCAAAUUUGUGCAUUACUCGAGACAACCAAUGAAUUAAGUUUGGGGUGUGGAAACCCGAAAAUUUACACAAAUUUUCAUGCCCUUUUUAACUUAAAUUCAUGUAGUUUCGAUAAAAUUCUUGUCGGAAAAUAAUUAAUUCUUAUAAAAUAAUUAAAGUGUACUUAAAAUAUGAACAUGUUGAAUUUUAAUUAAUUUUAUAAUUAAUUUUGAUGAAUUUUGGUUAUUUUCGACAGAUUUGCACAAAUGGCGAAAAAUGGCUCGACAGACAUUGACAGAAACACAAAACCGAGAAGCAAAUUGAAGUAUCGCGACUUAAUUUUCAACCUAAGAUGGUCCAAAAUUAUGUGUAUUAAUUCAUAAUAUAAUUAAUUUUAAUUUAUAUCCAAUUAAUUUGGGUUAAUAAAUUAUUAUUAAUAAAUUAUGAAAAGUGGUCUAGUUGAGCCGAACUGAGUGAACCGAACCGACCAAGUAAUGGACAGCCCAAACCUGCCCCAUGUGCUGACCCAAAUCAGCUUAUUGGCUGAUUAUUUAGCUUGCAAAGAGGCCCUUGAAGACUUGUUCAAAUAGAAUUCAAAUCCCUCCACAAAUGGUGGCUUUUCUAGAUUUGCCCCAAGCUUAAUUUAGCAAGUUUGAAAUCAUCAAACUUGUCACAUGUGUGGCCAGCCAAGGGAGGGUACUUUGGCUGCUAAUUUUAGCUAUUUUUAUCAGCCCUCUUCAGCUAUAAAACCCCCCUUAAGCUUAUCAUUUGAAACACACCUCAAUUCAUUCACAUCUCUUCUCUCUUUUCUCACUUUCUUCUCUCAUUUUUCCAUUUCAAGUCCCUUGCUCCUGUGUCGAUUUCUCCCCUUGGAAAAGGGUUCUUCUUCAGCCAUUUUGGAGCAGCAAUUGAGUUUUCAUAGAAGCCUUGAUCGGCGAGGACAACAAAGAAUGAAGAACGGAGCAACCUUGUCAAGCAGCGGAAAAAUAUUGGAUUUGAUUCUUGUUCCCUAUCUCUUUAAUUUUUGUUAUUGUUAUGAUGAACACAUCUAAGAAUAUUUAUAUUGUUGGAAUGGUUAAUUUAAUCAGUUUACCUUGAAUUUAAUUCGUGUUGGUUUGAUUGCAUUUCAUCUGCUUAAAUUAUUAAAAUUAUGUCUAUGUUUUUAUAAGCCUUGGUAAAAUGCUUGAUUAAGUAAAAUCAUGCCUAAGUUAUUCUUGCAUUACAAUUGUGAGGUAGCUAAUGAAUGAAUUAUUUUAACGGAUUGAAAUUAUAAUUAAUUGACACAAUUCUUAAUCAGUGCAUGUUUACUCUUCUAAGGUAGCUGAAGGUUAAAUUAGCAAUGCAUGUGGCGAUACACUUGCCUUGCAUAACUUGCGAGAUUAUUGUGAUUAAACUGUUUCAAGGUAAGGAUACCUUGUUACCUCACGUAGUCUUUUAUAUGCUCUUUAGAUCUUAUUAAUCGUUUGAAUUGACAUAGGGAUAUGCAAGAGACUAGUUCAAUUUAAUGAGUAUGUAUAUGCCAUAACAUGUUUGCUUAUUAAAACUGUUUAAUUAUUUGAAUUAACAUAGGGAUAUGUUAAGAGAUGAAUGGAUUUGUGUAGCUGAAUAUGUUCAUAAGUUAGCAAACUACCGAGUUACCGUGAAUUUAUUCGUAACAACAUAAGCAUGAGCUUAAUAAUUCUAAGUUAAAGAAAUGUAAUUAAAUCAAUACAAUUAUGUCAUCUUGAUUAAAUCAUGUUUUGAAAUCGUGAAUUUGAGAUUUAUUUCUUAAGUUUACUUAGUUUAAAAUCUUAGUUUUUAAUUACCCUCUCAAAACAAAAUAUUUUUCUUCACCAAAGUAUUUUAAAUUGCAUUCAUAAAUAAUCCUUUUUACAGCCCCUGUGAGUACGAUAACUCGACAUUUACUUAUCACUUUAUUACUUGUUGCGAUUGUGUACACUUACACAUUUCUGUCGUUCCAGAUACAUGCAGGGUUCACACACCCGUGUGAACAGGCCGUGUGUCUCACACGACCACCAGACACGCCCAUGUCAUAGGCCAUGUGAAAAUAGGGCAUACAUACUGACUUGCACCACACGGCCAAGGACACGCCCGUGUGCCAUGGCCAUGGGAAAACUAGAGGGGUUACUGACUUGGGUCACACAGCCGGCCACACGCCCAUGUGCCAGCCCGUGUCCCACACACGGCUAAUAGACACGCCCGUGUGUAUAGACCGUGUCAAACCUGUAGGGUAUACUGACUUAAUAUUGAAAGGUACCCCAGGGGACACACGACCGUAUAGCAUGACGUGUGUCAUACACAACUGAGACACACGCCCGUGUCUCUGCCUGUGUGGACAAAAAUAGGCUAUUUGCAAAGCCAAUUUGCCACCCUUUCCUCAUGUACACCUAGCAAUCAAAAUGGUACUAUUUCAAUACAUUUAUAAGUAGCCAAAACAUGCCAAUUCAUAUACAAUUCAUGCCAUUUAUAAACCAUCCUCUUAACUACUCAAAUUCAUAGCCAAAACAUACCAAAUCAAUAUGCCAAAAUCAUCAAACUAACAUAACUUAUAAAUGCAUUUCCUCAUCAUCUUAUCGUCCAUUUCAUGCUUCAAAACAUACCAUUUCAUCAUCUCAAAAUCAAGCCAAUUCACAACAUGCCAUUUUCCAAACAAUAAUACACCAAUUGACAAUUUUCUAAUUGAGCAACCAUAUAACCACCACAACAACCAUACCAAAUAUACCAAAACACAAGGCAAUAUAUACAUCACAUAUCACUUACCAAACUCAUACAUCUAGCCAACUAAAAUGGCCAAAAUACAGACCAACACUUACAUCAAAAACAAGUCAAAUCUCAUGGCUAUAUCAUAUCUCAAAACAUAUCAUCAACUCACUAGCCAAUACAUGCCAUAUACCAUAUUUACGAAGUAUCCAAAAAUACCAACAAGUUGAUCAAUAGUGUAAUGACGUUUCACGACAAUCCCCGAGUCCGAGCUAGCUUCGAUUAUCUAUAAAACAAGGAAAAAACACACAAAGUAAGCUUCAAAAGCUUAGUAAGCCAUAUACAAAUAAAUUAUCACAUGAAUCAAUAUUAUUUCCAUUAAUAGGCAACUAUGAGUAAACAUUUAUAAGAUCACAAACCUUUUUCAUUGUACACAUAUUCAAAUACUUCCCUUUCAUUACUUGUAUGAAUCUCAUACGUACUUGAGCCAUUUAACUCAUUCACACAUUCUUUCUUGACUUGACUUUGUCGGUUGAACCAUUCAGAAUCGUUAAGGAUACUCGAAAAUCAAAUAAAGCUUGUACAAUGCCAUAUCCCAGAUAUAGCCUUACAUGUUAUCACAUAUCGAUGCCACUAUCCCAGACAGGGUCUUACACGAAAUUGAAUAAUGAUACCAAUGUCCCUGACAUGGUAUUACACGUAAUCACAAUACAAUGCCAAUGUCCCAGACAUGAUCUUACAUGUAAUCACAUCUCGGUAACCUAAUGUCAUGACAUUUGUAUCCUAUACUAUUCCUAAGGUUCGUACGGGACUUUCGGAUGUCGUAACUCUGUCAAUUCUCGCUUGUAUUUCCUCGUUCAAAAUUCAUAGAAAUUCAAUGACAAUUAAACAUGUAUAAUUCAAUUAAAAGACAUUUAUUUGCAUAUGAACUUACCCUCGUAUUAGGGAUAAACGGACGGGAUUGACUAUUCAACAACUUUCGAUUUCCCCCGAUCUAAAUCCGAUUUCUUUCUUUCAGGAUCUAUAUGAAUUCAAAAUUAACUUAUUUAUUCAUUGAUUCAAUCAAUUCAGUCCAAAGACACAUAUUUAAGUCAAUUUGCACUUUGGCCCUAAACUUUCACAUUUAUUACAAUUUAGUCCUUAUUUCAAUAAACACAAAUUACACCAAUUCAAUUGAAACCAUGUGUGCCAAAUUACUAUAGUACCCCUAGCAGCGCAUAUUUCACAUUUAUUCACACUUUUAACCCCACAUUUUUAUCUUUUCACAAUUUAAUCCCUAAUAUGCAUUUUUACUCAAAAUCACUUUACAAAAACAUAGAUAUCCAUCACUAAACUUUCAUAAUUCAUCAUCAAACAUUCAAAAACACAUGAAUUCAUCAAUGGAAACUUUCAAAACAUUAAUUAGUUUUGCAAAUUAGUCCCUGGGCUAGCUAGUACUCGAUACAACGAUCACAAGAACAUAGAAAUCAUCAAAAAUCGAGCUCAAAACAUACCUCAAUCAAGCUAUGCAAGUGCCGAAUGAAAACUUAAUCUUUUAGCUCUCUUCUUUUCUAAUUUUCGAUUGAAACAAAUAAAUAUGAACAUGUUUUUAUCUUUUGUUUUAUUUAAUAUACCUUGUUUUAUUUAAUUACUAAAUUAACCUUGAUUAAAAACAUUAAUAAACAUCCAAUACAUGCCCAAUUAUGUCCAUUCCCACUAUCCAUGGUCUAAUAUCAUUAUAAGGACCUUUCAUUUAAUGACUCAUAGCAUUUAAACACUUUUAACUUAUAGCAUGCUACUUUUGCAUUUUAUUUGAUUUAGUCAUUUCAUCAAAUUAAGCACUCAAACGCUAAAAUUAUUUCACAAAAUUUUCACACAUACAUAUUCACAUGCUAUAAACGCAAAAAAUAAUAUUAAAAUAAUUUUUUGACCUCUGAUUUAUGGUUUCAAAACUAUUUUUCUGAUUUAGUUAAAACCAAGCUGUUACAGAGUGGACUUCAUUGAAACCUUUGCCUCCGUUGCGAGGUUAGACACCAUAAGGCUGCUACUGACUCUUGCUGCUCAAAAAAGUUGGAGAAUACAUCAGAUGGAUGUAAAAUUAGCCUUCUUAAAUGGUUUUCUGAAAGAAGAAAUUUAUGUUGAGCAACUAUAAGGAUUUGCAAUACCUGGGUGUAAAGCCAAGGUGUACAAAUUGAACAACGCACUGUAUGGCUUGAAGCAAGCACCAAGAGCAUGGUAUGAAAGAAUUGACAAUCAUAUGAAAGAAAUGGGUUUUGAAAGAAGUAUCAGCGAGCCCACUUUAUAUGUGAAAAAAUUUGGUAAUGAAAUAUUUCUCAUUAUUUCAGUAUAUGUUGAUGAUUUACUUGUGAUUGGAAGCAACAACAAACUGGUAAUUGUAUUCAAGGAUUAGAUGCAAGACAAGUUUGAAAUGUCAGACUUAGGUGAAAUGACAGACUUCUUUAGUUUAGAGGUGAAUCAAGUUAAUGGUGCAAUCUUCAUAAACUAGAAAAGGUUUGUGAUGAAGAUCCUGUGAAGAUAUAGCAUGGAAAAUUGUAAACCUACGAGCACCCAUGCUAAGAAGGUUGUUGAAACAAGAUACAGAAGCUUGGUGGGAUGUCUACUUUACUUGAGAGCAUCCAGACCUGACAUAAUAUUUGUUGUAAGUAUGUUGUCAAGCUUCAUCCAUUAUUGCAUUGUGAACUACUACUAGCAAAAAGGGUUCUACGAUACAUAAGAGGAACUCUAAGCCAUGGAGUGAAGUUUGUAAAGGCUAAAAAGGUCAAGUUUCUUGGGUAUCUAAACACUGGUUGGGCUGGAUCUACUGAAGACAUGAAGAGUACCUCAGGUUAUUUCUUUACUCUAGGAUCGAGUGUAUUCUGUUAGAGGUCGAUGAACAAGAAACAGCGGCAUAGUCAACUACUGAAGUUUAGUAUGUUGCAACUGCAGCAUCUGUAAAUUAAGCCAUCUGGUUAAGGAAACUGCUGAAUGAUUUGAAUUUAAAAUAAGAAGAAGCAACAGAGAUUAAGUGUGAUAAUCAAUCUGCUGUUGCAAUUGUAAAAAAUCCAAUGUUCCAUGGAAGAACAAAAUAGUUCAAAAUCAAGUAUCACUUUGUGAGAGAAGUGGAGCAAUCCAAGGAAGUCACAUUGGUUCAUUGCAGUUUUCAAGAUCAGUUGGCUGAUAUUCUAACAAAACCUCUUGGGAAAUUGUGGUUUGAAAAGUUGCAUUAUGAUAUUGGGGAUCGCAACAUGGAGGCCAAGAAGGAGUGUUUCAAAAUGACCAUCCAUGCAAGGGCGAACCUAGAACACAAGUUUGCGAGCUCAAUGUGUGAGCUCGACAAAAUUGCGAGCUCAUCAAUAGUGCGAGCUCUUUACCUUGCAAGUUGCCAACUUGCCAACUUGCACUAAAACAAUGAUAAUUUUUAUUAGGCGUUUUGGUUGUUGAUUAGACUGAAAUCAGCCAAUAAGGAAGCAAGUUAACUAAAUCUAGUUGCAAGUCUAAGCUAAGUUGUAAUUAUUUUAUUAUUAUUUUUAGCUUUUUUAAGCUCUCUUGUUCCUGUAAAUAGAGCAAUCAAUUUUUUAAUGAAAUAGUUGAUCACAAGCUUAUCUUUUCUCCACUUUUAAUCCUUUUUUGCCUUUGUUUUAAUCUUUCCUUCAUCAAAUUUCCAAUAGUCUCACUCUUUUAAGUCUAUGAAUGUUGGCCCUUACAACAAGCUAGCAAAACGCAAUUCUUGGCGUUGAUUUCUCGAGAGUCGGUAGGGGCUCCUAUGGUUAUGUUAGUGCCUGCCCUGACCAUAGAAAAGAUAAGAAUGCCUAUUUUCAUUGCACUUACUAAAAUUAUUGAAACUCCACAACUAGACAAGGUUGUGGCUGAUGUUUUCAACAAGAUGUAUUCGGAUGAUGGGAAGAUGGUUAAAGAAGAUGAGUUCAAGAAACUGUUGACAGCGAUCUUAUGGACCAUCAUGCUGCAGUUAGGGGACAAUCCCAUCUCAGUUUCUUCAAACUGUGUACUACAUGAGCCCCUUGAAUCUUCCUCUUCGCUUUUGCAGCCAUGAUCCUGAUUUCCUAAUACGCGUAUCUCAUAUUUACUACAAACACAAUAAAAUGGACAAUCCAUUUUGGUAUAAUGAAGAAAUUUACGACUAGCUUAUGUUCUUUCUGUGCAAUUCAGUAAAACAUGCAAAUAUGUAAUUCAAUUUGGGACGAAUUUUUCUACAAAGAAAGUCGUCAUCAUCAAUCAACAACAAUGAUUAAAUUCUUAUUAGUUUGUAUACAAAUUUAAAAUACAAAAGAGCCAUAUGCCGUAUUAUUAUUACGUUUUGGAGGUAAUAUAUAUAUUUCAGGAUAAGAUAUGCGAAAUAACAUAUUUUUCCAACAACAACAAUUCACAAUUACAACCAAGUAAUUAUGUUGUUCAUUUUCUUAGUAACUGUGAGUAUGCUCACGUGGAAUCAUUUUAACAUACAGAGCGAAAGCCACGCACCCAAUAGUCGGUCCAAUCCAAAAUAUCCAGUGUCCAUUCCAAAGGUGGCCUCCUCUUACGACUGCUGGACCGAAGCAUCUUGCUGGGUUCAGCCCAGCACCACCAUAGCCUUUUGUGGCAGUAACUGUGGUUGAAAUGAACACUAGAAGACCCAAUACUACUCCUAAGAUAAUGCAGAUUAUUACUCGUCCCACGGCCUUUGCUUGGCGACGAUCAAAAGCCAUCCAUACUGAAGCGAAAAGGAACACAAAGGAACAGAUUAUCUCAAGCCAAAGGGCCUGGCUGUUCCCCAUGCCAAUCACAGUUGGUCCAUCGGUACCUGGUACGACAAUAGUCACGGUGCAUCCUGCUAGCGAAUACGUUCGUUCAAUGGCGCUAUUAACCACAGCUUUGAGUGCUAGUGAACCUAGUAUGCCACCGACACAUUGGGCCAAAAUGUAUAUGGCAGCUUUGGAAAUGGAAAUCAGGCCGGUAAGUAAAGCAGCAAAGGUAACAAUCGGAUUGAUAUGGCCUCCGGAGAUGGGGUAGGUAGCAAGCAGGAGAACUGCAACGACAAAGGCGAUUAGGACCGACAUUACAAGGUUGGGUGUCUUUGUUUCGGUCUGCAAUGUGGAGAUAACUAUGGUGUCCAAUGCAAAAACCAGCACUGCUGUCCCAAGAAGCUCUGCCAAUGAAGCUCUCCAUACCUAUAAUCCAACACCAGUUUGCUUGUUAGCAAUGCAAGCGAAGCAACUUCACAAAAAUAUCUAGCAAUCUCUGAGUUAAUGGCUAUGGGUGGCUUCACCUUGAGAAAAUUUUUCUAAGUCCCUCCCAAAAUUAAAUAAAAAAUUGUAUUUUUUAUUCUUUUAAAAAGAUCAAAAAUUUAACUUAAGCCAUUUUUUAACCACCAAAAUUUUAGAAUUUUAUCUCGAUGACACUAAAUAAAAUUCCUCUCACACUAACCUCCAAGGACAACAGCUGUUCAAGGCCUAACACCUUAGUAGACAAAAACACUUUUGCAUCAGAUUCCUCCUUAAUUUGCCCCGGCCUGCAAAAAUGAAAGAAAGGUUAGCUUGACAUAAACAUAAUUUAGUCCUCAAAAUGAAGCAAACCAAACUUGUUACAUAAUUACGUUGGAGUAGAGGCUACAGGCAGGACUCUAUUAUGAGUAAAGUUGUUUUCUUCAUCUUCAACAAUUCCAUUUCGGGCCAUCUUCUUAUUUAGCUCUUCUGGCUGCUCAAACCCUCUUUAAGUUAAAUAUAUCCCUUUGCUACAUUAGACAUACCUCCUGUUACCUAUAUAUAUAGCCAGAGAUUCGAGAUUCAUCAAUUCGUGCUGGCACCAAUUUAAAGUAUAUUGGCUGCAAUAGUAUAUAUCUUUAAUAAUCUUCAUAUUAGUCACAAAGUUCAUUCAUCCCUUUACAGAGUAUAUUUUGAAAUAUACUCCAUAUAAAAAUAUAUAUAUUUAGAAUUAAUUAAUAAUUUAUGCUUGUGAAUUAUAGUGUUCUGGGUUGGCAUUUAUAUAACUUAAGAUUGGUGCAAAUCGUGCGUAUUGAUUUUGAAUGGAGUUUGAGGAUUGAAAUGGGAGAAGAACAAGCAGGGGCCUUCUUCGAGAAGGUUUACGAUGCAUGUAAUAAUUGUUAAUUUAUGUUUUUAUGGAACUGCUAGCUUAGCUGCCCCUUAGGGUUUGACUUUUAACGCAAAACGAAUCCCUUCAAUAUUGUUAGUUGAUAUUUGCAUGCAUUGUAGUGUCAUUACAGAUCAUCCGUCGGUUUCAUCGUAUCCCGCGGUUAUGGGAUCCUGUUAGUCUCACAUUAACCAAUGAGAAAAAAAUAUCUUUACCUUUUUAAUAUUUAGCACAUUUAUCUGUUUCACAUUAAAUAAAUAUUUUUUUCUAAAUUAUGGUCUAAGAAUUAUUAUUUGAAGAUAUUUUACCUCAUCCAAAGAUUGUUUAUAGAUUUUCUGACUUUGGGAAUGAUCAUUUUGAUUGAUAUUGAAACAACAGUGAAUAGACUUGAUACAUCACUGACAAAAUUUAAAAAUAUGAUAGAUCAAUUAUUAUUCGGAUUACAUUUUAAAAAAUUGUAUAAUAUAAAAUAAAAAAAUUAAAAUGAAAAAAAAUCUACAGUCUAGAAACUAAAUACAUAUAAAAAAUAAAAAUGUCAUUUAUUUUAAAUUAUUUUCUAUUUCAUAUUAUGCAUCUUUUAAAAGUAAAAAUCAUAUAGCAUUGAAUCUUUAGUAAUAAAAAAUGUGUAAAUUUUAAAAAAAAUUAUUUUAAUUACUUAUAUUAUUUUUAAAAAAUAUUUAAUUUUUAAGAUAAUCCUAAUAUAAAUUAUUUUCAUAAACUUAAAUAUUUUUAAGUGAACAAGCUUUAGUUUAUUGAUUAAAGGCAAAUAUUUAAAAUCUAAUUUGAGUGCAACAUUUAUUUCAAAAAAAAAAAAAGAAAAUUGAGUGCAACAUUCUCCCCAUGUGCAUUUACCAUAGGUUAUCGCCUAUUCAUUUCAUUUUUCAUUGGGGAGUUUCAGAUAUUUAUAGGCUUUUUAUGUGGUUCCCUUAAGCCAAAUGUCUUACAAAUGGAAGUUAAUAAUUGAGUAAUGGUCUUGAUAUUUUAAUGAGAUGUUUGUAUUAUAUUUAUAUAUUAUAUAAUAUAUAUAAUUUUUUAAAGUUGAAAAUUUAAGGUCGCGCAAUGAAUUAUCAGUGCCAUAACUCCAGGCCUUUCUUCUAGAGCUACUUUUAUUAGUUUACCCCCAAUAUCUAAGCCAACGUCAGGUUUCCAUACACCAAGGUCACACGCUGCUUUUGACCAACCUCCAAUGGUGGGUGAAGCUUGGGAUGCCUUGAGAAUGAUCAUUGGUGUAUUUUCUUGAUCAACCAGUUGGGACUAUUGCAGCCUUGGAUAGUGUCCAAGAAAAUUAAAAUUAUUAUUUUUACGAAAAACUCAUUUUAAAAUUAGAUUUUACAUAUUUUAAUGAUCAAUUAAACAUGAUUUAACUACGAUUAAUUAACAUACAUAUACAUACACCUUCAAUUGAGUUUAUUGACAUCGAUCAAGCCUCAAUUAUAUAGAACUAGACAAUCAAUUUCAUGCAUAUCAAACACUGAAUAAAUCAAACAAGUGGUGUACCUUAGCCGCUAGUAAACCACUCCAUGGAAGCUUCAUUCAAACAAUCGUUAGUACAAAUUUCAUGCCUCACACAUCGUGUUAUCAAUCACCGUGUUAUCAAGCAACAAUACACCGUAAAUCAUUCAAUAAUUAAACUCAAACAUGCCUAAAAAUUAUUAUAAAACUAUCCAAAAUAAAAUGUCUAAUGUCCAAAAUCCAAUUACAACCAAAAUUAAACUAAUUCCCGGGAGUUCCACAAUGCCCGAUUACAGUCUCUAAAACGUGUAAUAAAGUAUCUACCAAGUCUAAAACUCUCGGAACUCUCUUGCUCAGCUCCUUAACUCCUCAAACCCGAUGAUUAUCUGCACAAAUUGUGAGGGUGUGAGCUUUAAAACUCUCAAUGAAUGUUAAUAAAAAUGACUAGUAAAUCAACAUCCAAACCAUGCUUAAAUUUCAUCCAAUCAAUCGCCAAUUAUCAGCCAUAAUAAUGAAACAUGUCAAUUUAAUUUCUAUAUGCUUUAUCAAUAUCAAGAAUCAAUUAUUCAUGGUUUACAAACAUCGAAUGAUAUAACAGUAAUCACACAUAAAUACAUUGGCAUACACUUCUUAUGGCUUAAUCAGGUGAUUAUACAUUGAAUAAACGGAUUUCCAAACUCCAACAAAUAUCAAAUACAGUCCCCCAAGUUGAGCGGGCUGAAGCACAUGCUCGCUUAUAGCGCCUCAAAUAACCCAAUGAGUGGAGACUCAUGCUCAACACUCCCUUAUCUACUCCAAACAAAUAAAUCCACCUAGAGUCAUAUGCUCACAAUGUCACAAAUAAAUAUGAGUACUUACAAAUCCUAUGACAUGCUAACUAUAUCCAAUGGAUCCACCAUACAUGUUUCUAAUAUAUUCAGUCAAACAAAACAUAUAAAUCAGUCAUUAUUGUGCUCAAUUUAAUGUGUCAAAAUGUUUAUGUGUAACAUGUAACAUAGUCAUUUAACAUCCAAUUAAAUCAAGCAUUUCAUUUGCCAUGUUCAAAAGUUCAAUUACCAAUUGUAACACUAAUACAUGAUAAUAAAAAAACUCCAAUCACUAUGCUCUAAUCAUCAAUAUAAUUAGCCCAAUUAUAUUAUACAAAAUCACCUAAAUACUUACCAUUAUUCAAUAAAAAUUUAACUCUUGUACAUAUAAUAUCAAUCUUGCAAAAAAUAAGUCAUUCAACUAUAAUUAAACAAUUGAAGUCAUCAAUUAAACUACUUCUCAAAAAUAAAUAAAGGUCAAUUUACCAAAUCGCCCUUAGAAACUAUAACAACUCGUUUUCAGUAAUAUAAAAAAUAGUGGUUUCAGGACCACAAUUCCAACGAGUAAAUUAUCAUUUUAUUAUUAUUUUAACGUAUAUAUAUUAAGAUAAAAUUUUGUUAAGAAAUUUUGAUGUUUAAGUAGUUAAUUAAGUGAAAAGGAAUAAAUCGUGAAAGGUGAAAAAGUUGAGUUCUAUGAGUUAAAAGGGUCAAAUGGCUAUGAAACUUUAAACCAAAAGGACUUUAAGGGUAAAUAAACCAUUUAAUAAAUUAGUGGAUGUGCAUGGCAUGGUUUAUUGAAAUUUUGUUAGUUUUUAAAGGUUAAUUUGGUAAUUAAGUAAAUUAAUUUAAAACAAAAAGGAAUCAAAAGAUGGUAUCAAUGAUAGCACUAGAAAGAACAUAGGUUUUCCCCCUUACUUAUUGGUUAAAUUGUUCCUAUUUAGUUAUCUUUACCAUUUAUUUUAGCUUUUCAGUUUAGUAAAUUGCAUUUUAUAGCUCAGUGAAUCCUAGUCUAUUUUAUCCUUAAUUUUUCUAGCUUAUUGCAUUAAUGUUGUUGCAUGAGUUAAUCCCAGAUUACAUCUGGAAUUGUCGCCGCACUUGACAAUUGUCCAGAUAAGAACCAAAAUUUCGUGAGCUAUCCAGUCUGGUCCAACCUGUACGUACAAGGACAAAAUAAUUUUAAAGGAAUGACACUUGUACUAUGAGAGGAGGACAUAAAAGGUGGAGUGAGUAGAAAAAGAGGUUUUUUUCUCCACCAUCAUCUUCAUCAUCUUACUUGGAAGCUUGUGGUCAUGGUAGCUUAAGCCUCUCACGGGUGAGCUAACGUGCAAACUGAAUGCAGACUAGCUCCUAACGGGGAGAUCUAAGUGCGAGACAAGAGGGAAUAAAGAGAUUUAGUUGAGUUGUUUAGGAAUAUAAUUCUCCACUUGAUUUUUUCUUAUUUCUUUCUAAAUGUUGGUGAUUACUCUUUGAUUUCUGAUUGUAUGGAAGUACUGAUGAAUUCUUGGUGAAAUGUUAUCUUAUUUAAUCUUACUUUUAUUGUUUAAUCUUGGGUUUGAAUUUUUUUAACACGGAAGUGUUAUUGUAGUGACAGUUUGAUCCAACAAGCAUUUCAACGGAAUUUGAGUGAGGAUUAGAGGAAUUCAGUCCACUUGUUCUUAAUAGUACCGUAUUGCCAUCAUCGGAAGGUGAGGUUAAUAUGCAUGUUUAAGUCUCAGAUUAAAUAGAGAAGUAACACUGGGUAAGAUUUACAUUGAAUCUUAUUGCUUCAACAAUCACCUAUCUUUUUAUACCUUGUGAGAACUUAGUAUUCUGCUGAAGAUUCAUGUUGGGGAUCCCAGUUUAUCAUUAUCAUAUUUUAUUUUAUUGUUUUCAGUUUAUUGCAUCGACAACUAUUCUCACAAUUUAUCUUGUUUCCAUCUAGUUGUUGCACCAACAUUAAUAAACAAAAUACUAUCAUCCCUGUGGGAUCGAUAUUUGACAGACUCAUAUCUGUCUACUAUAUUUUCAUCAAAAGUGUACGAUUGUACAUUAUUGUUGUGACGUUAAACAACCGAUCAAGUUUUUGGCAUCGUUGCCAGGGAUGGCGUUUGUUUGAUGUUUGUUUUUGUUUUUUUGUGUUUUUGCACUUUAUUUUCCUUAUAUAAUAUUUAGUUUUCACUAAUUGGUUUUUCUUUGUUGCUAUUUAUUUAACUUCAAUUUAGGUGUUUUAUGACUUGAAGAAAUUUGGAUUUUCUUAUCGAUUUUGAUCCAGAAAUUGAAAGGACUGUUCAGAGUAGACUUCCAGAACAAAGAAGUAUGGCUCUACCAGGGAACAAUGCAGCCAUACCCCCGAUGCAACAGUAAAAUGUUAAUAACCCAUUGUUGUUGUAAGAUGCUCGUAUACAAAAUAGGAUUAUACGAGAUUUUUUAGUACCUGUUUUGGAUGAUUUACAACUAGGAGUUGUUAGGCCAGCAAUCCAAGUUGGGAAUUUUGAACUCAAGCUAGUAAUGUUUCAAAUGUAGAAUUCUAAUGGACAAUAUGUUGGACUUCCACACGAAGAUGUGAAAGAACAUCUUAAAUCUUUUUAUUGAUCUAUGUUUCUUUUAUUCAACAAGCCAUUCCUGAUAAUGCUUUGAAGAUGCAAUUAUUUCCUUAUUCCUUAUAGGGAAGAGCCCGUACUUGGUUUUUUAGACUACCUGCCAGAUCAAUUACUUUUUGGGAUGCAUUAGCAACACAGUUUAUUUUGCGAUUUAACCCACCGACAAUGAAUACUCGUCUUCGAAAUGAUAUUACUACUUAUCAUCAGUUGGGUGAUAAAAAUCUUCAUACCAUAUGGGAACAUUAUAAAUCUUUACUUCGACAUUGUCCUAUGCACGGCAUUUAACUAGAAACACAAAUUGAGAUUUUUUUUAUAACGGGUUGAAUUUACAAAUAAGGAAUCAUGUCGACGCAUCAGCUAAUGGAUCUCUGCUGGAUUGUACUUAUAAUGAUGCUGUGAGAAUUCUUGAAAGAACUGCUCAGAAUGAUUAUCAAUACCCUAUCUCCAGAGUUGCACAAGCAAAAACUACUCCAGGAGUUAUUAAGUUGGAUGUAAUAAUUGCACUAACUGCUCAAGUUUCUUCUCUCACAAACAUGAUUAAAAUAUGCAAGGGACUAGUGGUGUUGCACCUAUACAAGUCGCUCAGCAAGUUGAUGUUCCUACCUUUUUUGUGAGAUUUGUAGUGAUAACCAUAGCUAUGAAAAUUGUCUGCAACAUGUAGAGAAUGCCUGUCAUAUUAGUAACAUCCGCAACAAUUCUUAUGGAAAUUCUUACAACAACUCUGUACGCAACUAACAGUUUGGAGAAACUCAGAAUGCUGGACAAAUAUGAGAAUACAUCUACUCAGGGCAAUUAUAAUCACAGGUAAAGGAACUACAAUCAACAAAAGCAGAACUACAAUCAGCACACUCAGAUACAUCUACAACAAGGCUAGACACAUCUACACCAAAAUUCGAUGUAGCCACAAUACUAUUCACUACCAAAUCAACAUGUUCAAGGACAUCGAAAACAACCAUACACUAAGCUUCUACUUCUGACCCAUUAGCAACUCUUGAAGUGUUAAUGCGAGAGCAUAUUUCUCAUACGAAAGCUAUCGUACAAGGGAAUGCAUCUUCGAUUUUCGACCAUUGGAAGAUCAAUUAGGACAACUUGCUUCAAAUCCGAAUACUCGACCACCAGGUUUAUUACCUAGUGGCACGGAAAAUCCUAUUCCGAGGGGAAAGAACAUUGUAAGGCUAUCACUCUUAGGAGUGGUAAACAAAUUAGAGAACCGUUUAUCGACUCUACUAUAGCACUUCAAGAUAGAGAUGGAGUGGUCACUGGCGAGAAGGUUGAAUCUAAAGAAUUUUUCAUGAAUCAAACAAAGAAGUUCCACAAAUUGUCACUCAUAUACCCGAUGUCAUACCUUCAAAACUAUCGACGUAAUCAAAGGUGUCGGCGUAAGCAGAUAUAUCUCUACCUUUACCCUUUCUACAAAGAUUCAGGGAGAAUGAGCAUGACAAGUAAUAUCAGUAGUUCCUAGACACACUGAAGCAACUACAGAUAAACAUUCUUUUAGUGGAAGUUCUAGUAAAAAUUCUGAGUUAUGGGAAAUUUAUGAAAUACCUCUUGUCUAAGAAGAAGAAGCUCCCUGAUAUUGAAACUAUUGCACUCACAGAAGGUUGUAGUACUAUUUUGACAAACAAGUUGCUCCUUAAAUUAAAAGAUCCUUGGAUAUUUACCAUCCCAUGUUCAAUUGUUAAUCAUUAUUUGGGUAAGGCUUUAUGUGACUUAGGAGCUAGCAGUAACCUAAUGCCAUUAUCCACUUUCUGAAAGUUGAGAAUUGGUCACAUGAAAUCUACUACAGUGACAGUACAACUAGUCGAUCGAUUUUCUCAAAAUCAUAUCUUUUUACCUUUAAACUGUUCUCCCUCAACAAAAGAUGGCCAAAACAAGAGGCUCGGUCAAGAAAACCACUAAAUCUGUUAGAGAACAUGCGUCUUCUACUACCACAGUUCGUGAAUUAGAAUCCCCUAGGCCAGUGCAGACAAAUGAGCCAGUAAUCAUUUUGAAUAAACAAUAAAUGAAUGAUUUCACAACAAUAUACUGAAGCAAAAAUUCUAUCCCGAGUAGGGCAUUUCCCUUUCGCCACAACAAGACUUGGGUAAGCAAGUCUCCAAAACCAUCUCGAAGUUAAAAUAGAAGACCAUUUACACCCAUCUUGACAGCUACUCUCCUUUACUGGUACGUGAGUUUUAUGCUAAUCUUUACUAUCAUGAGUUAGAGUUCGUUUUCGUUCAAGAAGGUUUAAUACCAUAGGACGCUGCAACAACCAACGAGGUGUACAACACCAAGGUCGAUGUCGAUGAACACUGCAAGUUCAUGGAUGAUAUCACAGAUGAAAAACGAGAUCUGUUGGUGAGAGACUUGUGUGUCAAGGGAGCAGUGUAGAAUGGUUCCCAUAAAAAAAAUUACACGAUGCACCGUCGCUUCCUGACGCUACAAGGAAAAAUUUGGUUUCAUUUUGUCAACUGCAGGCUAAAGUCCUCCACUCACAACACUACAGUCACCCUAGACAGAAUGUGUCUAAUACAUUCUACUGUCAAGGGAAGAAAAUUUGAUGUAGGCGCAAUACUUCACCAAGGCUAAAGUCCUCCACUCACAGCACCACAGUCCCCCUAGACAAAAUGUGUCAAAUAAAUUCUAUUAUUAAGGGCAGAAAUUAAUGUAGGCAUAAUACUUUACCAAGAAAUAGUUGACUGCGCUGCAAGGCAGACUAGGAUAUUGGUUUUCCUAUCACUAGUGAUGUUAUUAUGCCAGCAAAGAGAAAUCGUGCCCUUUGCUGGUGCGAAAGUCUUGGAAAAUAAAGGCCCAAUCAAUGAAGCCUCUAUAGAAAGAAUAACUAGAAGCAAUAACACACCGAUAUUGAAGGAAGCGAAGACCAGCAAGACAAGAAAGGGUAAAGCCAAAUCUGACAAAAAUGGAACAAACUUAAAUGCAGAGACAUCAUUAUGGCAUAAACUAAAAGAUGUCGAAGAAAUGGUAAAUUACAUCAACAACAGGCAAAUUCGGCUUGUCACUAUAGUAGAAGAUAUGGAGAAAUCCCAGAAUUUGUUUUAUGCUUAUACUGGAGCCUGGAAUAGUUCUAUUGUAGCGACAUUAGACCAACUGAGCCCAUCAUCACUAUUUAAGUUCCCUGUAUUUCCAUAAAUCAUUCGCAAUUAUGACCCCUCUUCCUCGGAUGAAGACUUAGAAGGUCGAGAUAAACCGGUGGCAUCCCCACUCAUUAUGCAGGUCUCUGAUACUGAGAAAGAAAAGGAAUCUAGGGAGCUUGAAAAAUGCCUACGAAAGAUUGAUAGCUUGUUUGAUGAUAGUAUUUUUGCUGAUCAAGAGGACACUGUUUUUGAGAAGGAAGUUGCUGCUGCAGAAGAGGAAAUUGUUGCUGAAGAAGAAGAAGUUGCUGGAAAUAAGAAAGAAAAAGAAGAAAAAGAUUUUGUUGAGAUGAUUAUCACCGCACCAGAGUCUAUGGGUGCAAAUAUUAAUAAUUUGGAGUGAACUGGAGUAAGACUGGCGGAAGAUGUUGAGGUAACCAGUGAGGAACAAUGUAAUUCAUUGGCAAUAGUGGUCUACAUUGGACCACUCCAAGUGGCCUCUCCUACACAAACAACAGCCAAUGAUACCGGGACAGAGCCUGGCACUGAGGAGCAAUCUGAAGACUGUGCAAAGCCUAAAGAAAAGAAAAGAAAGAGCUUUAAGAAUAAAAAAAAUAAAAGAAUGAGGAAAAGAAAAAGAGGAGAAAGAAACAUAUGCAUCCACAUCGACGGCUACGGAUAACAUAGUUAGUUUAUUUUAAGCUUUGGUUAUAGUAUUCAUGCAUUGCAUGUAGCUUUAGGUUUUAUUUUGAUAAAUAUAUAUUUUCAUUGCAAUGUUAUUGUUAUUACAUUGUCAUAUUAGUGCAUUGGGGACAAUGCAAACUUUAAGUUUGGGGGAAUACACAUGGGCCUUGGAAAUGCACCCACAUUUCAAAAAAAAAGUCAAAAAUAAAGCAUGUAAGGUUUAAUUAUAGUUAAUGGAAAUUGUUCAAAAUUUUUGUUACGUUCGAUGCUUAAUUCUUGAAUCAUGUAAAUUAUCAAUGAAUGAGUUGGACAAAUUUGACAGAAGGUUAUAGCUUCAAUUUUUUGAUGAAUGCAUUAGGUUGUAUUAGUAAUAGAUGACUGUCAUCAUUCCUUAAAUCUUGAAUUAAUCUACUUUUUACAACUGUUUAUAUAUGCAUAUAUAGUUAUAAAGUAGAGACACUCCAAAGUGGGAGUAAUAUGGAAUAUUAAAAAGAGAACACUUUAAUACAAGUGUUAGAAAAAUCAAUCUGGCCAAAAUCUGUCACUGCAUGAAUGUGUGUCGAUGCAAUUACGUACUCCCUGAGGGUUUAUUGCACCCCAUCGUCACUUCUCAAGAACAAGGGUACAGUAAUGCAACAAUAUCCCUUAUUCCAAAAAAUGUAUAUAUAUACUUAGUAUUGGACAAUAAAUGUUGUAAUGGUAGAUAGAACUUAAGGUUUAAAGCAUGAUGCUAGCUUUGAUGAAGUUUCAACCUUAUGCAUUCAUGCUUAUGAAUUGUCGAUGCAAUAUUCUUUCAUCUGAAUGUGAUUCAUCCAUUAGGAAAUUAGAGGAUUCAAGUUGCUAGAAUGAGCAUUUGCCUUAGUAAAAUUUUUGUAGCCUUGCUAGUUUCUAUUUUACUUGAGGACAAGUAAAAACUCAAGUUUGGGGGUGUGAUAGCACUAGAAAUAACAUAGGUUUUUCCCCUUACUUAUUGGUUAAAUUGUUCCCAUUUGGUUAUCCUUAGCAUACAUUUUAGCAUUUUCAGUUUAGUAAAUUGUAUUUUACAACACAGUGAAUCUUAGCCUAUUUUAUCCUUAAUUUUGCUAUCUUAUUGCAUUAAUGUCGCUAUAUGAGUUAACCCAAGAUUGCGUCCAGAAUUGUCACCGCACCUAACAGCUAUCCGGAUAGGAACCAAAACUACGUAAGCUUUUAGUCUAGUAUAACCAACCUGUAUGUACAAGGACAAAAUAAUUUUGAGGAAAGGACACUUGUACUAUGGGAGAAGGAAAUAAAAGGUGGACGUGAGAAGAAAAAUAGGAGUUUUUUUUCUCCAUCAUCAUCUUCAUCAUCCUACCUUGAAGCUUGCGACCAUGGUAUCUUAAGCCUCUCACAAGUGAGCUAACAUAAAAAUCGGAUGCAAACUAGCUCCUGACGAGGAGAUCUAAGUGCGAGACAAGAAGGAAUAGAGAGAUUCAGUCGAGUUGUAUAGGAAUAGAAUUCUCCACUCAAUUCUUUCUUAUUUCUUUCUAAAUGUUGGUGAUUACUCUUUGAUUUCUAGCUGUAUGGAAGUACUGAUGAAUUCUUGGUGAAAUGUUUUCUUAUUUAAUCUUGCUUUUAUUGUUUAAUCUUGGGGUUUGAAAUUUUUUAACAUGGAAGUGUUAUUAUGGUCACUGACACUGGAAAGUGCAAUGAAAAUUUGAGCCAACAAGCAUUUCAAUGGAAUUUGAGUGAGGAUUAGAGGAAUUGAGUCCACUUGUUCUUAAUAUUGUCGUAUUGCCAUCAUUGGAAGGUUAGGUUAAUAUGCAUGUUUGAGUUUUAGAUUAAAGAUUAAAAGAGGAGUAACACCGGGUAAGAUCUACAUUGAAUUUUAUUACUUUGACAAUCACAUAUCUUUUUAUACCUUGUGAGUACUUAGUAUUCCGCUGAAGAUUCAUAUUGGGGAUCCCAGUUUAUCAUUAUCAUAUUUUAUUUUAUUUUAUUAUUUUCAAGUUAUUGCAUCGACAACUAUUCUUACAAUUUAUCUUGUUUCAAUCUAGUUGUUGCACCGACAUUAAUAGACAAAAGACUACCAUCCCUGUGGGAUCGAUAUUCGACAAACUGACAUCUGUCUACUAUAUUUACAUCGAUAGUGUACACUUGCAUAUUAUUGCUGUGACGUUAAACAACCAAUCAAUCAUCUUUAGUAUUCUUCUCCACCAAAAUUCAAGACAGGAAUAGCCAUUGUUAGCGCUUUGAUGUUCAAAUAUCUUGUGUGUGUGCAUGUAAUUGAUUUCGAGCCCGUUCUUAAUGAUUUUUAUGUUUUUAAGUUCGUUUUAGCUUAAUCUAGCUACCCUAAGGGUCAGUUUGUAAAAUUAUUAAAGGUUAAGGGUUAUGCCAUGAAUGUUCUUAAAUGGUUUUUAAUGUUAAAGGAUAUAUUAUUAAUCUUUGUUGAAAAAUAAACAAGUUUUGUUAAGUGAUUUUUGUUGAAUUUUAGAAUUAGAGACUAAUUUGUUAAAGGUAUAAACUCUAGGGUUUUAUUGUGAAAUGAUGGUAAAUAUUAGUUUUUUCAAGGUCCCUUACAUGUUUGAUUAACAUGGAUUUAGAUUAAAAUGUUUAAAUUUUAAGUUAUAAGCUUAAGGAAUAAAUUGUGAAAAAGUUAAAAUGUUAAGGGAAAAUUGGUAAUUUUGUAUAAAAAUGAAAUGUGGAUUACAUUGAAUACUAGAAAUAUUAAAUUGAUUGAAAUAUCCAUUUAGAUCAAGAUAAACCACGUACAGACCUAGAUCGAAGAAAAGCAAAAGCUUCUGAUUUGUUCAACCUAACUACUACACCUCUAGUCGUCGAGGUAAGUUCGUAUGAAGGUUAUUGUGUAAUUGUUACAUACAUUGAACAUUUUCUAUGUUACUCUUAAUGUAGAUGGGUCAAUAUACAUAAACAUAUCAAUGUUAUGACGAAUUGAAGGUUAUCGAGUCCCUAUUGAACCUUAGGAAUUUUUAGGAUACAAAUGCCAUGUCAUUGGGGAUUUCAUGUUUCGGGGGUUGGUCUUAAAUGUCCUACCGAUUGCUAAGGUCCUACAUUUUUUGCGGAUUCUCCAUAGCUCAUGUGAGCAGCAUAAUGUAGCUUACAUUCCAACCCACAGCUCGUGUGGGUAAUGAUGUAAAGGAAUGAUUAUGGUUAUAUGUAAAAGCACACUUUGUGUGAGCUUUCCCAAUUAUCCGAGGUAAUUCUAAUUGGUUCAAUAGGAAAGAAAAGAUAACGUAAUGGUAAGUAUGUAAAUGGAAUGAAUCAUGAUUUAAUGAAAGGCUUGAUGAACUAAAUGAUGUUGUAUGCAUAUGGAAAAUUUCAUACCUUAUGAAUGAUUUCAUUUAUGUUAUGGAUGAACAUACUAACUUGUGAGUUGGUUAUGUUGUAUAGGUUUACAGUAAGCUUAUGGCAUUGGUAUUGAUUUGUACUUAUUCUAUGAAUUGUAUUAUAGAAAUGGUAAGUUACGUUUUAAGUUUAUACGAGUUUACUAAGGAUUCAUUGCUUUCGUAUUUUCUUUCUUAUAUUUUAUAGAUUAUCGAAAGCUCGAUUUGGUUGGAAGUCCAUCAGAGAUCUAUUACACUAUCUAGCAAACAAUUCGGUAGUUUUUGAACAUUUUGGCCAAGGUUUAUAAUGGCAUGUAUAGGAUUAGAUGUAAUGGUAUUUUGACGAAUGUUUUUUUUUUUGUGUUUUGGCAUGUAUAAGAUUUGAAAGUUAUCUUGGUUUGCUAUUAUUUGAUGCCUUGUGAAAUUGUGUCAUUUUGUUUACCUUAUUAUUCAUGGUUGUAUAGCUUUUUAUGGUAAGUUUGAAAUAGUAUGAUAACGGUCACAUUUGUGGUAUGUUUUGAUAAGUAUUGAACUAGAACAUGAUGCUUGGAUUAGGUAGGUGUGGAUUGAAUGUGUUUGAGGUGCCUUUGAAUGGCAUAAUGGUUAGUUGUAUUAAGAUCUUGAAAUGGCAUUUUGGUGUAUGUUUUGGUGAUUUUUACUUCCUUUUGAAGUGUGCUUAAAUGGGUUGAAAGGUCAUGCAUGAAAUGGUCUUGGAAAUGGCUUGCUUUUAGGUAAAUUUGGGUCCACACUGCCAGAGACACGGGCGUGUGACUCAGCCGUUUGAGACACACGGCCUGGCGACACAUCCAUGUGUCAUCUGAUGAUUUUCUUCUGUUGCAAGUCAGAGAGAUACAUGGCCUGGCACACGGCCAUGUGACACUACUCAAAGAGUUACAUGGGUGAGGACACAGACUGGGAUACAGCCGUGUGUCCCUAGUUUGAUAGUUACAUGGCCUGAGACACGGGUGUGUCUCUCAGCCAUGUGAGGCACACGGUCAUGUGACCCCUAUUUUGUAAAUUUUGCAUCUUUUUCCAAAACUUUUCAAACUAUUUCAAAUUAGUUUUGAAUUGUUUCUAAGUUAUUUUUAGGGUCUCAGGGCUCGAGUUAGAGACAAUAUGCAUAUGUAUGAAUGGUUUGUGAUGUGAUUAUAAUAUUGAAUGAUAUAAAGCUUAAAUGUGGUUGAUUGUAUGAUAAUGUUCCGUAACUGUAAUCUAGAGAUAGAGAUGAGUUAGGGGUGUUAUAUUUAGUGGUAUUAGAGCCACGGUUUAGUCAGUUCUCAAACUGAACAUGGCGUGUAGAAAGCAUUGUGAAACGUAUCUAGCUUACAUAUUUGAUUCUAGGGUUUCAGAAUUGAAACCAGAAUGGGUUUCAACUGUACAUGAGUUCACAGAUGUAUUACCAGGGUUACCACCUAUUAGAGUGGUUGAGUUUGCUAUUGAGUUAGUGCGGGAACAUUUCAGAUUUCGAUAGCUUCUGUGACAACCCGAAUUAGGGCCUAAUCAGAAUAGUUGUUUCGUGACCACAAAUCCGAGAUAAAAAUAAUUGUUUUAUAAUUAUUUUUGGGUUUAUGAUAUGAUUUCAUGAUUUCGUUAAAAUUUCGUGAUGAAAUUCUAUGCAUUGAGCGCUUAAGUUGAUAUUAGGGACUAAAACGAAUAAAUUGUAAAACUCGUGUUUUAGAAGUUUUUAGUAUGAAAUUGCUUUGGGAUAUUAACUAGGAGGUCUUAAAUAGAAAUUUGACCCAUUCCUAAGUUAUGGACAAAAGUUGGACAUGGAGGGAAUUUUUGGAAAGUUUAGUAGUAAGGGCAUUUUGGUCAUUUGUAUAUUAAAUGAAAUAAAAUGGGAAAAAUAACACAAAAUUGGUCAUCAUCUUCACUAGCUGCUGCCGAAAUUUUCUCUCCUCCAUAGCUAGGGUUUCUUCAACUUUCAAGCUUCAGAGUAAGUGAUUUCAAGCCCCGUUUUUAAUGUUCUUCACAUUUUUGAAAUCCUCGUAGCUCGGUUUACCUAUUUCUACCAUUAUUUCGAGUCAGGGUUUAUGUUUAAAAAUUUACCCAUGAAUGAUAGGCAUGUAUUGUGUUGUUUGAUGGUAGAAUAUGAAUGUUUUAAGUUAGGAGAACGAUCUUUUCUAAGCGAUUUUUAACAAAAACGAGCAAAACGGCAUAAUCGAUAAAAAUACCUAUUGUUCAUAACUAUGUGUUAGAGUGAGAAUUUGAUGUUCCCAUAGAAGAGAAAAAUGAUCAGUAGGUCAUUAAACAUAAGAAUAAGGACUGAAAUUAAAUUUCUGAGCCUUGGGGCAAAAUCGUAAUUUUGUAAAAGUUAGGGGCAAAAAUGUAAUUUUUGUAUAAUGUAAUUUUUGGAUUAAAAUAAAUAGUUCGAGUGUUAAAUGAGCUAAAUAUGUUAUUAUAGAUCAAUAAAGGCGUGGAAUCGACCUCGAACGGGGGAAGGAGAAAGUUUUGGACUAAAUUGCAAAAUGCCCAUAUUUUGCACCGAGGUAAGUUUGUAUGUAAAUAAUACAUUAAUUUCAUUUACAUUCUUAUAUUUCAGCCUAUUAUAUAUAUACUAGCUGAUGUUGAAGUAUAAAUCGACUAUUGGAAGAAUGGAAAUAAGUAAUAGAGAGAGAGAUCCCAGUUGAACAUUCGGAAAGAUUGAAUAAAAUAGAGGGAGCAUAGCUAGGUCACAUGUAUGGUGCUGAGUGCACAUCAUGUGUACAAGAAAGCUACGAGAUACUAUGUAGUAGCUAGGUCACAUGUGUGAUACGGGAUGUAUCCCAUGUAGACAAGAGAGCUACGUGAGAGAUAAAUGUAGCUAGGUCGUAUGCGUGAUUCCAAGUGAAGGACACCAUGUAGACAAGAGAGCUACGAGACAAAUCGGCUAGGUCGCAUGAGUGGUACUAAGUGUUCACCAUGUGGACAAGAGAGCCGAAUUAAAUGAAAUAUGAUGGUGGGGCUGUGUGCUAAAACCAUCAAGUAUCGAGGAUUAAUCCGAAUUGUUCAAUGGGAUGGCUUUGUGGUGACAUUGUAGUCAUGGGCCUAUACUUGUGAUGUAUGAAAUGUGGUGAAAAUGAUUUGUGAUAUAUAUAUAUAAGUUAAAAUGAGGUUAGUACAAAGAAUGUGUGAAAGAGUGAAAUUAGCAUUAAAACUGUUUUGGGCAGUAGCAGUGACGUGAUUUUUAAAAACCACCAAAAAUAGAAGGAAUUUAAUUAGAGGUUUAAUGAGAUGUUAAAUUAAAUCUUAAUUAGUCUAUUUUCAUAUAAAAGAAACAGAGUAGGAAAAGGAAUUCUAUAUUUUGAGAUAUUUACAAUUGUGUGUGACUUGCUCAGGAUGACUAUGUGAUCCCCUGUUCCAAAUUUGAAAAAUCAUUAAAAAUUGUACAAAAAAAAUUAAUAAAUAUAGUUUAUAUGACUAAAUUCCUUAUUGAGUCUAGUUUUAAAUGAAACAGGUUUCAUGGUUAUUUGAGUUGUGUACUAAGAGAAAUUCAAUUCAUAGUAAAUAGAGGUCAAAUCAAUUGAGCUGUGUAACAGGGGAAACUUUAACUAAUAAACUGUACUAAUUGGCUGAACCAAAAAUUCUAGAAAAAAAAUUAGUAAGAAUUUUUAUGAGUCUAGAUUUAGGAAAAUUUUACGGAUUUGAAUUUUGAGUUUCGUAACUCAAGUUAUGAUUUAUUUAGUGAUCAUGACGCAGGAGGGACAGCUUGAUCAAAUCGGAGUAAAUAGUAAAAUUAAAAAUAUGAUAUAAUUGAGUUAUGUUGUAAACAUAUUAGAUUCCUUAUUUGUUAUUUAUAUACUUACUUACUAAGCUAUAAGCUUACUUUCUUUUCUCUCCUUUGUCUUAUAGUGUCAUCCAGCUAGCACAGGAGUUAGAGAUCGUUGAAGAUCCGCCCGCACUAUCAAUACUCUUGGUAUUCGAACUCAACAUUUUGAAAUAUGGCAUGUAUAGCAGACUUAGUUAUUUAGUUACGUGUCAUAAUUGUCUAGGUUUAAAAUACUAAUUAUAGUAUCAAACUAAUCAUUUUUUACGAAGCCUUUGAAAUUGGUUUGUAUUGUUAAUGGCAUAUGUUAUAAUGAUUCAUGAUCAAAUUGCACGCCAUAUUUUUGUUGGGUUUUAUUUAAUAGUAUAUACUAUAAUUUGUUAAUACCUCGUACCCUGUUCCGGCGACGGAUACGGGCAAGGGGUGUUACAUUUAGUGGUAUCAGAGCUAUGGUUUAGUCGGUUCUCGGACUAAUAAAGUGUGUGUAAAAGUCUAGCUAUACAUGCCAUAAAAAUAUUGUGAUAGUGUGGUGACUCCUGAUUAUUCUAAACUGUGUUUUGUUUUAAUAUAGUAAUGGAUCCUGAAAGAACUGUGGCUGAUGAUGCUGCUAGUAAUGCGCCGACUUCCGCACAAGGGACCGCGCCUGUGGAAAGUAGACCUGAGACAUUGAGACAGGGAGAUGAGGCUCGGGAUGCCUUUCUCCAAAUGAUGAACAAUUGGUAUACUGAGUUUAUUCGAGCAAAUCCAAAUGCUCAACCUCCUCCACCCCCUCUCAUACCUCAGACGAUUCCUGUAGUUGCUCAAGGCAUAGAUUUGGUAAGAACGAACAAGCCUCCGGUUGACAAGAUUCGAAAACAAGGGGCCGAAGAGUUUAGAGCAAAGAUCGAUGAUGAUCCUGAGAAAGUGGAGUUCUGGCUUGAAAAUUCUACCCGUGUAUUUGAUGAGCUCUCAUGUACACCCGAGGAGUGCUUAAAAUGUGCUGUAUCACUUUUGAGAGAUUCGGCCUACCACUGGUGGAAGAAUUUGGUAGCAGUGGUGCCAAAAGAAAGAGUUACUUAGGAUUUCUUCUAGGAAGAAUUUAGAAAGAAAUACAUAAGUCAGCGAUUUAUUGAUAAAAAACGGAAGGAGUUCCUUGAAUAGAAGUAGGGCAAGAUGUCUGUGGCAGAGUAUGAACGCGAAUUUAUAAGACUCGGCAAGUAUGCCCAGGAAUGUGUGUCCACCGAGGCCAUUAUGUGCAGAAGGUUUGAGGAUGGGCUAAAUGAGGACAUUAAAGUGCUUGUGGGAAUUUUGGAGUUGAAAGAAUUUGUAGUAUUGGUUGACCAAUCUCUUAAAGUCAAAGAAUUGAACAAAGAAAGAAGAAAAGCUGCUAUUGAGGCCCGAGAUGCCAGAAAAAGGCCGAUAAGCAAGUCAUUUCAAUCUCAAUCAAAGAGGUCCAAAGAGACAAACCCUCGAAUGACAGUUUCAACUGGGGAUUCACACAGAGAUCGUGGUAGAGCAUAUUUGGGGUCUAAAGCUCAAGCUACUUCGGUGGCAAGUGUGGGUAAUGUGCGACCUAGAAAGCUCGAGUGUCAGCAAUGUGGCAGGCAACAUUAUGGUGAGUGUUGGGGAAACGAGCGAUCUUGUUUUGGGUGCGGUUCUCACGAGCAUUUUAUUAGAGACUGUCUGGAGAAAGUUAAAGAAGAAAGAUUUCAGAGUGCUAGACAGAAUACCACCGCUAGCAGAGGUAGACCACCGAGAAAUACUAGAGGUGGGACUAGCAGUAAAACUGCGAUGAAAGAUUCAGCGGCGAGAUCAGAAGCUAGAGCGCCUGCUAGAGCUUAUGCUAUACGUGCCCGAGAGGAUGCAUCAUCUCCCGAUGUCAUUACUGGUACAUUUUCUCUCUAUGAUACUAUUUUUAUUGCAUUGAUUGAUCCCGGGUCCACUCAUUCCUAUAUUUGCAUGAAUUUAGUAUCUAAUAAAAAGUUGCCUGUUGAGUUUACUGAGUUUACGAUUAAAGUGUCGAACCCCUUAGGCCAAUAUGUGCUAGUUGACAAGGUUUGCAAGAAUUGUCCAUUAAUGAUUCAAGGUCACUGUUUUCCGGCUAAUCUGAUGCUGUUACCAUUUGAUGAGUUUUACGUUAUUUUGGGAAUGGACUGAUUGACAUUGUAUGAUGCCAAGGUAGAUUGUAAACAAAAAACACUAGAGUUGAAAUGUGAAAAUGGAGAAAUUCUGUGGGUUGAAACAGAUGAAUCAAAUAAAUUGCCUAUGGUGAUUUCGCACAUGUCUGCACAGAAAUACAUGAGGAAAGGGUGUGAAGCUUAUUUGGCUUAUGUAAUGAAUACUGAGUUGCCUCAACUGAAGUUUGAAUCAGUACCGAUAGUCUGUGAGUUUCUAGAUGUAUUUCCAGAGGAAUUGCCUGGGUUACCUCCGAACAGAGAGAUAGAGUUUGCCAUUGAUUUGUUGCCGGGUACUGCACCGAUCUCGAUUGCUCCAUAUAGAAUGGCUCUGACUGAAUUAAAAGAAUUGAAGGCUCAGUUGCAAGAGUUAACAGAUAAGGGAUUUGUGAGACCGAGUUUCUCUCCCUGGGGUGCUCCUGUAUUGUUCGUAAAGAAGAAGGAUGGUUCAAUGAGACUUUGCAUUGAUUACCAUCAACUUAAUAAGGUGACUAUAAAGAACAAGUACCCAUUGCCGAGGAUUGAUGAUUUAUUCAAUCAGUUAAAGGGGGCCACAAUGUUUUCAAAGAUCGAUUUGAGGUCUGGUUACUACCAGUUGAGAGUUAAGGAGUCGGAUGUGCCGAAAACUGCCUUUAGGACAAGGUAUGGACAUUAUGAGUUUCUUGUGAUGCCUUUCAGCUUAACAAAUGCUCCAGCUAUAUUUAUGGACUUGAUGAACCGGAUCUUUCGGCCAUAUUUGGAGAAGUUUGUAGUAGUGUUUAUAGAUGACAUUCUAAUUUAUUCUCGGGAUGAGUUUGAACAUGCCGAACACUUGAGAACCAUAUUGCAAAUCUUGAGAGAAAAGAAACUGUUUGCUAAGUUUAGUAAAAGUGAGUUUUGUCUUCGUGAAGUCGGAUUUUUGGGACAUAUAGUCUCAGGUUAUGGUAUUCGGGUGGAUCCAAGCAAGAUUUCCGCGAUCGUUGAUUGGAAACCGCCAAAGAAUGUAUCCGAGGUUAGAAGCUUUUUAGGCUUGGCCGGGUAUUAUAGACGUUUUCUUGAGGGAUUUUUGAUGAUUGCCUCUCCUAUUACUAAGUUGUUGCAAAAGAAUGUUAAGUUUGAAUGGACUGAAAAAUGUCAGCAGAGUUUUGAAAAGUUGAAAGCACGAUUGACUGAAGCACCAAUUUUAGCACAGCCUGAGCUAGGAAAGGAGUUCGUAAUUUAUAGUGAUGCAUCAUUGACAGGCCUUGGAUGUGUGUUGAUGCAAGAGGGUAAAGUGGUAGCUUAUGCUUCGAGACAGUUAAAACUGCAUAAGAAGAACUAUCCUACACAUGAUUUGGAAUUGGCCGCUAUUGCCUUUUCCUUGAAGAUUUGGCGACAUUAUUUGUAUGGUGAAAAAUGCCGAAUUUUUACUGAUCACGAAAGUUUGAAGUAUUUGAUGAAUCAAAAGGAUUUGAAUCUGCGACAGCGGAGAUGGCUCGAAUUAUUAAAGGAUUAUGAGCUAGUGAUUGAUUAUCAUCCGGGAAAAGCAAAUGUAGUUGCUGACACCUUGAGCAGGAAAUUUCUUUUUACUUUGAGAGCCAUGAAUAUGGGGUUAGCAUUGUCUGAUGAUGGGUCAAUCUUAGCAGAGAUGAGGGCUAAACCGUUAUUUCUCCAGCUGAUUUGUGAUGCUCAAAAGAACGAUAGUGAGUUGUGAACCAAGGAACUCAAUGCGAAUCAGGUUACGACUCAGAUUUUCGAGUUGGACUAGACGACUGUUUGAUGUUUCGAGACAGGAUAUGUGUACCGAAAAAUUAUGAAUUGAUUCAGAAAAUAUUAGAUGAGGUGCACAGUGGCUGUUUAUCAGUUCACCCUGGUAGCACAAAAAUGUAUAAUGAUUUAAAGAAGUUAUAUUGGUGGCCAGGUAUGAAAAGGGACAUUUCUGAAUUUGCAACCAAGUGUUUGAUUUGUCAACAAGUAAAAGCUGAACAUCAAGUGCCUUCAAGACUACUUCAACCGGUAAUGGUGCCUGAGUGGAAAUGGGACAAGAUUACCAUGGAUUUUGUAGCCGGUUUGCCUUUGACUCCUAAAAAGAAGGAUGCUGUUGGGUAGUGGUUGAUAGAUUAACAAAGUCAGCCCACUUUAUACCAGUACGUAGCGAUUACUCACUUGAUAAAUUAGCUGAAUUAUAUAUUGCUGAAAUUGUGAGGUUGCACGGAGUACCUAUGUCUAUAAUAUCAGAUAGAGAUCCGAGAUUUACCUCAAGAUUUUGGAAAAAGUUACAAGAAGCUUUUGGUAAAAAAUUGAACUUUAGUACCGCAUUUCAUCCACAAACAGAUGGUCAGUCAGAAAGAGUAAUCCAGGUACUCGAGGAUAUGCUUAGAUGCUGUGUCUUAGAAUUUGGAGGUAGUUGGGAGAAAUAUCUAUCUUUGAUUGAAUUUGCCUACAAUAAUAGUUAUCAGUCAAGUAUACAAAUGGCACCGUACGAAGCCUUGUAUGGUCGCAAGUGUCGGACUCCUUUAUAUUUGACCGAACUUAGUGAGAAAUAGAUUCACAGAGUUGAUCUAGUUAAAGAAACCGAAGAGAAAAUAAAAGUAAUUCGGGAUUGCUUGAAAGCUGCUUUAGUUCGACAAAAGUCAUAUGCAGAUUUAAAAAGAAAAGAGAUUGAAUUUCAGGUGGGUGAUAAAGUGUUCUUGAAGGUGUCACCAUGGAAAAAGAUUCUGAGAUUUAGCCGAAAAGGCAAGUUGAGUCUGCGUUUUAUUGGGCCGUACGAGAUUACUGAGAGGAUUGGACCAGUGGCAUUUCAGUUAGCCUUACCGGCAGAGUUAGAAAGAAUUAAUAACGUGUUUCAUGUAUCAAUGUUGCGACGUUAUCAUUCUGAUCCUUCACAUGUGAUUUCUCCAGCAGAAAUUGAGAUUCGACCGGAUAUGACCUAUGAGGAACCAAUAAAGAUUUUGGCUCGGGAAAUUAAAUAGUUAAGAAAUAAAGUAUAGCCUUAGUGAAAGUAUUGUGGCACAGACAUGGGAUAGAAGAGGCUACAUGGGAACCUGAGGAAGCUAUGAGGAAACAGUACCCAAACCUCUUUACCGGUAAGAUUUUCGGGGACGAAAAUCUCUAAAGGGGGGGAGAAUUGUGACAACCCGAAUUAGGGCCUAAUCAGAAUAGUGGUUUUGUGACCACAAAUUUGAGAUAGAAAUAAUUGUUUUAUAAUUAUUUUGGGGUUUAUGAUAUGACUUCAUGAUUUCAUGAAAAUUUCGUGAUGAAAUUCUAUGCAUUGAGCGCUUAAGUUGAGAUUAGGGACUAAACCGAAUAAAUUGUAAAACUCAUGUUUUAAAAGUUUUUAGCAUGAAAUUACUUUGGGAUAUUAACUAGGAGGUCUUAAAUAAAAAUUUGACCCAUUCCUAAGUUAUGGACAAAAGUUGGACAUAGAGGGAAUUUUUGGAAAGUUUAGUAGUAUGGGCAUUUUGGUCAUUUGUAUAUUAAAUGAAAUAAAAUGGGAAAAAUAACACAAAAUUGGUCAUCAUCUUCACUAGUUGCUGCCGAAUUUUCUCUCCUCCAUAGCUAGGGUUUCUUCAACUUUCAAGCUUCAUAGUAAGUGAUUUCAAGCCCCGUUUUUAAUGUUCUUCACAUUUUUGAAAUCCUCAUAGCUCGGUUUACCUAUUUCUACCAUUAUUUUGAGUUAGGGUUUAUGUUUAAAAAUUUACCCAUGAAUGAUAGGCAUGUAUUGUGUUGUUUGAUGGUAGAAUAUAAAUGUUUAAAGUUAGGAGAACGAUCUUUUCUAAGCAAUUUUUAACGAAAACGAGCAAAACGGCAUAAUCGAUAAAAAUACCUAUUGUUCAUAACUAUGUGUUAGAGUGAGAAUUUGAUGUUCCCAUAGAAGAGAAAAAUGAUCAGUAGGUCAUUAAACAUAAGAAUAAGGACUGAAAUUAAAUUUUCGAGCCUUGGGGAAAAAUCAUAAUUUUGUAAAAGUUAGGGGGCAAAAAUGUAAUUUUUGUAUAAUGUGAUUUUUGGAUUAAAAUAAAUAGUUCAAGUGUUAAAUGAGCUAAAUAUGUUAUUAUAGAUCAAGAAAGGCAUGGAAUCGACCCUCGAAUGGGGGAAGGAGAAAGUUUUGGACUAAAUUGCAAAAUUCCCAUAUUUUGCACCGAGGUAAGUUUGUAUGUAAAUAAUACAUUAAUUUCAUUUACAUUCUUAUAUUUCAGCCUAUUAUAUAUAUACUAGCUGAUGUUGAAGUAUAAAUCGACUAUUGGAAGAAUGGAAAUAAGUAAUAGAGAGAGAUCCCGGUUGAACAUUCGGAAAGAUUGAAUAAAAUAGAGGGAGCAUAGCUAGGUCACAUGUAUGGUGCUGAGUGCACAUCAUGUGUACAAGAAAGCUACGAGAUACUAUGUAGUAGCUAGGUCACAUGUGUGAUACGGGAUGUAUCCCAUGUAGACAAGAGAGCUACGUGAGAGAUAAAUGUAGCUAGGUCGUAUGCGUGAUUCCAAGUGAAGGACACCAUGUAGACAAGAGAGCUACGAGACAAAUCGGCUAGGUCGCAUGAGUGGUACUAAGUGCUCACCAUGUGUACUAGAGAGCCGAAUUAAAUGAAAUAUGAUGGUGGGGCUCGAGGAUUAAUCUAAAUUGUUCAACGGGAUGGCUUUGUGGUGACAUUGUAGUCAUGGGCCUAUACUUGUGAUGUAUGAAAUGUGGUGAAAAUGAUUUGUGAUAUAUAUAUAUAUAAGUUAAAAUGAGGUUAGUACAAAGAAUGUGUGAAAGAGUGAAAUUAGCAUUAAAACUGUUUUGGACAGUAGCAGUGACGUGAUUUUUAAAAACCACCAAAAAUAGAAGGAAUUUAAUUAUAGGUUUAAUAAGAUGGUAAAUUAAAGCUUAAUGAGUCUAUUUGCAUAUAAAAGAAACAGAGCAAGCAAAGGAAUUCUAUAUUUUGAGAUAUUUACAAUUGUGUGUGACUUGCUCAGGAUGACUAUGUGAUCCCCUAUUCCAACUUUUAAAAAUCAUUAAACAUUGUACAAAAAAAAUUAAUAAAUAUAGUUUAUAUGCCUAAAUUCCUUAUUGAGUCUAGUUUUAAAUGAAAUAGGUUUCAUGGUUAUUUGAAUUUUGUACUGAGAUAAAUUCAAUUCGUAGUGAAUAGAGGUCAGAUCAGUUGAGCUGUGUAACAGGGGAAACUUUAACUAAUAAACUGUACUAAUUGGCUGAACCAAAAAUUCUAAAAAAAAAUUAGUAAGAAUUUCUAUGAGUCUAGAUUCAGGGAAAUUUUACAGAUUUGAAUUUUUAGUUUCGUAACUCGAGUUAUGAUUUAUUUAGUGAUCAUGACGCAGAAGGUCAGCUUGAUCAAAUCGGAGUAAAUAGUAAAAUUAAAAAUAUGAUAUAAUUGAGUUAUAUUGUAAACAUAUUAGAUUCCUUAUUUGUUAUUUAUAUACUUACUUACUAAGCUAUAAGCUUACUUUCUUUUCUCUCAUUUGUCUUAUAGUGUCAUUCAGCUAGCACAGGAGUUAGAGAUCGUUAAAGAUCCGCCCGCACUAUCAAUACUCUUGGUAUUCGAACUCAACAUUUUGAAAUAUGGCAUGUAUAGCAGACUUAGUUAUUUAGUUACGUGUCAUAAUUUUCUAGGUUUAAAAUACUAAUUAUAGUAUCAAACUAAUCAUUUUUUACGAAGCCUUUGAAAUUGGUUUGUAUUGUUAAUGGCAUAUGUUAUAAUGAUUCAUGAUCAAAUUGAACGCCAUAUUUUUUUUGGAUUUUAUUUAAUAGUAUAUACUAUAAUUUGUUAAUACCUCGUACCUUGUUCCGGCGACGGAUACGGGUAAGGGGUGUUACAAUUUCGUAUAGAAUGGCAUCUGCAGAACAUAAAAAGUUAAAAGCACAGUCACAAGAGUUGGCAGAUACAGACUUUGUUCAGCCUAGUUUUUCUCCUUGAGGUGAUCUUGUUUUGUUUGUUAAGAAAAAUGACGGAUCAAUGUGGUUGUGUAUCGACUACCAAUAGCUCAACAAAGUCACGAUCAAGAACAAAUGUCUUUUGCCACAUAUAGGUGAUUUGUUUGAUCAGCUGAAAGCAACAACAGUGUUUUCAAAGAUUGACUCCGUUCAGGAUAUUAUCAAUUAUAGAUUGAAGACUCGGAUGUGCCAAAUACUGUUUUCAGAACUCGGUACAAACAUUAUGAAUUUCUUGUUAUUCCAUUUGGUUUGACCAAUGCACCUGCUAUGUUUAUGGAUUUGAUGAAUAGGACAUUCAAGCCGUAUUUAGACAGAUUUUUGGUUGUGUUCAUUGAUGAUAUACUUAUUUAUUCCCGAGAUGAGACAGAGCAUACCCAGCAUUUGAGAAUAGUUUUGCAGACUUUACGUGAAAAAUAGUUUUUCUCUAAGUUUAGCAAAUGUAAGUUCUGGCUUCAGAAAGUUGGAUUUUUGGGACACAUGGUAUCAGUGGACGAUAUUAGAGUUGAUCCAAGUAAAGUAUCGGCUAUAGUGGACUGGAAGCCUCCGAGAAAUGUGUCUGAAGUAAGAAGUUUUCUGGGUUUAGCAAAAUAUUGUAAAAAAUUUGUAAAAGGAUUUUCAAUGAUUACUACACCAUUGAUGAAACUGCUUAGAAAGAUCUCAAGUUUGAAUGGUUUGAGAAAUGUCAACAAAGCUUUGAUCAAUUGAAAGCGUUGUUAAUCAAGGCACCUGUGUUAGUUUAGCCAGAGUCCGGUAAGGAAUUUUUUAUUUAUAGUGAUGUUUCAUUGGACGGUUUAGGUUGUAUAUUGAUGUAAGAAGGCAAAGUGGUAGCGUAUGCUUCUCGACAGUUGAAAUCGCAUGAAAAGAAUUACUCGACUUAUGAUUUAGAGCUUCUUUAAAGAUUUGGCGACACCGCUUGUACGGAGAAAAAUGUCAUAUUUUCACGAAUCACAAAAGCCUAAGGUAUUUGAUGUCACAGAAAGAUCUAAACUUGAGACAACGUUGAUCGUUUGAAUUACUAAAAGAUUACGACUUGAUCAUUGACUAUCACUUAGGAAAGGUUAAUGUCGUUGUUGAUGCUCUGAGUAGAAAAUCUUUAUUUGCUUUUUAAGCUUUGAAUACAAGAUUUACGUUGAUUGAUGAUGGUUCUAUACUAGUUGAAUUAGAAGCUAGACCAAAAUUUUUGCAAUAGAUUUGUGAGGCUUAGAAAAGUGACACUAAAUUGAUCGCUAAACGAAAAUAGAUUGAGUCAACAUCUGAUUCAGACUUUCAUGUUGGUUUAGACAAUAAUUUGUAGUUCAAAAUAGAAUUUGUGUUCCAAGGAAUUCUGAUCUCAUUCAGAAGCUUUUACAUGAAGUUCACAGUAGUAACUUAUCGUUACAUCCUGGUAGCAAUAAAAGGUACAGUGAUUUGAAACAGAUGUUCUUGUGGCUAGGUAUGAAACGAGAGAUUUCAGAGUUUGUAUCAAAAUGUGUGAUCUGUCAGCAAGUAAAAGCUAAGCAUUAAGUACCUUUUGGUUUAUUACGACCUAUGAUGAUUCCAGAGUGGAAAUGGGAAUGUGUUACAAUGGAAUUUAUGUCAGGAUUGCCUCUAUCUCCGAGAAAGAAAGAUAUCUUUUGGGUUAUUGUAGAUCGUUUGAUGAAAUCUACACAUUUCAUUCUAGUGCGUACGAAUUUUUCACUUGAUAAAUUAGCAUAAUUAUACGUUUCUGAGAUUGUCAGAUUACACGGUGUGCCAGAUUCUAUUAUCUCUGAUAGAGAUCCAAGAUUUAUGUCUUGAUUCUGGAGUAAGUUACAUAAAGCUUUGGGUACUCAACUACAUUUUAGUAUACCAUUUCAUCUACAAACCGAUGCUCAAUCUUAACAAGUAAUCCAGGUACUCGACGAUAUGCUCCGAUGUUGCGUUUUAGAGUUCAAAGGUAACUAGGAGAAAUUUCUUCCGUUUGUUAAAUUUGCAUACAACAAAAAUUAUCAAGAGAGCAUUAAAAUGGCACUGGAUAAAGCUUUGUAUGGUCAAAAAUGUCGAACAUCGUAAUACUGGACUGAGCUGAGGGAGAAAAAGUUAUUCAGUAUUGAUUUGAUUUGAGAAACUGAAGAAAAAGUCAAAGUGAUACGUAACCAUUUGAAAGCUGCUUCUGAUCAUUAGAAAUCUUAUGUAGAUUUGGAAAGAAAAGAUAUGGAGUUUCAAGUCAGUAACAAGGUAUUUCUAAAAGUAUCGCCUUGGAGAAAAGUUCUCUGGUUUGGCUGAAAAGGAAAGCUUAGUCCGUGAUUUAUCAGACCGUAUAAGAUUAUUGAGAGGAUUGGACCAGUGGCUUAUUGAUUGGCUUUUCCGUCUAAGUUAGAAAAGAUUCAUAAUGUAUUUCAUGUAUCAAUGUUAUGAUGGUAUCGAUCAGAUCCUUCACACGUGAUUUAACCUAUAGAUGUUGAGUUCAGCCAGCAAUGACGUACAGUGAAGAAACAAUCAAAAUUUAGCUCGGGAAGUUAAAGAAUUGAGAACAAAAGUAUAGCUUUAGUUAAAGUUACCUGGAAACGUCAUGGAAUGAAAGAGGCUACCUGGGAACCAAAAAAAGCUAUGAAAGUUCAAUACCCGAACCUAUUUUCUGGUAAGAUUUUCGGGGACAAAAAUUCCUUUAGGGGGAGAGUUGUAACAACGCAUUUUUAGUGAUAUCAAAAAUAGUGAUUUCAGGACCACAAUUCUGAUGAGUAAAUUAUUAUUUUAUUAUCAUUUUAACAUCUAUGCGAAUAUAUUAAGGUCGUAUUAAAAUUUCGUUAAGAAAUUUUUAUGUUUAAGUAAUUAAUUAAGUGAAAAGGACUAAAUCAUAAAAAGGUGAAAAGUUGAGUUAUAUUAGUUAAAAGGGUCAAAUGACUAUGAAACUUUAAACUAAAGGACUUGAAGGGAAAAUAACCAUUUAAUAAAUUAUUGGGUGUGCAUGGCAUUUUUUAUUGAAAUUUUGUUAGUUUUUAAAGGUUAAUUUGGUAAUUAAGUAAAUAAACUUAAAACAAAAAGGAAUUAAAAGAUAGUAUCAUCUUUAGUCUUCUUCUCCAUUGAGAUUCAAGAGAGGAAUAGCCAUUGUUAGGGCUUUAAUGUUUAGCUAGCUUGGGUGUGUGCAUGUAAGUGAUUCCAAGCCCUAUUCCUAAUGAUUUUUAUGUUUUUGAGUUCGUUUUAGCUUAAUCUAGCUAGCCCUGAGGUCAAUUUGUAAAAUUGUUAAAGGUUUAGGGUUAUGCCAUGAAUGUUCUUGAAUGUUUUUUGAUGUUACAUGAUAGAUUAUGAAUCUUUGUUGAAAAAUAAACAAGUUUUGUUAAGUGAUUUUUGUUGAAUUUUGGAAUUAGGGACUAAUUUGUUAAAGAUAUAAAUUCUAGGGUUUUAUUGUAAAAUUAUGGUAAAUAUUAGUUUUUUCAAGGUCGCUUGCAUGUUUGAUUAACAUGGAUUUAGAUUAAAAUGGUUAGAUUUUAAGUUAUAAGCUUAAGGACUAAACUGUGAAAAAGUUAAAAUGUUAGGGGCAAAUUGGUAAUUUUCAUAAAUAUGAAAUUUGGAUUAAAUUAAAUACUAGAAAUAUGAAAUUGAUUUAAAUUCUCCAUUUAGAUCAAGAUAAACCACGUACGGACCUAGAUCAAGGAAAAGCAAAGGCUUCUGAAUAGUUUGACCUAACUACUAUGACCCUAGUCGUCAAGGUAAGUUUGUAUGAAGGUUAUUGUGUUAUUGUUACUUAAAUUGAAUGUUUGCUAUGUUACUCUUAAUGUGAAUGGAUUGAUAUAUAUAAACAUAUCAAUGUUAUGAUGAAUUGACAAUUAUCGAGUCCCGGUUGAACAUUAGGAAAUCUUAGGAUACAAAUGACAUAUCAUUUGGGAUUUCAUGUUUCGGGUGCUAGUCUUGAAUGUCCUAUCGAUGGAUGAGGUCCUAUAUUUUUUGUGAAUUCUCCACAGCUAGUGUGAGCAGCAUCCUGUAGCUUACAUUCGACCCACAGCUCGUUUGAGCAUGCCCAUUUCACAGCUUGUGUGAAAAAUAAUGUAAAGGAAAGGUUACGAUUGUAUGUAGAGGCACACCUUUGUGUGAGAUUCCCUAAGUAUCUGAGGUAAUUCUAAUUGGUUCAACAGGAAAGAAAAAGGAACAUAAUGGUAAGUAUGUAAAUGGAAUGAAUCAUGAUUUAAUGAAAGGCUUGAUAAACUAAAUAAUGUUGUAUGUACCUUAUGAAUGAUUUCAUUUAUGCUAUGGAUGAACAGACUAACUUGUGAGUUGGUGAUGUUGCAUAUGUUUACACUAAGAUUAUGGUAUUGGUAUUGAUUUGUACUUAUUAUAUGAAUUGUACUAUAAAAAUGGUAAGUUACGUUUUAAUUUUAUACGAGCUUACUAAGCAUUCAUUACUUACAUAGUUUCUUUCUUAGUUUCUUCCUUGUCAAAUUGUGUCAUUUUGGUUAUCUUAUUAUGCAUGGUUGUAUAGCUCUUUAUGGUAAGUUUGAAAUGGUAUGAUAAUGAUCAUAUUUGUGGUAUGUUUUGAUAAAUAUUGAAGUAGAACAUCAUGCUUGGAUUGUGGUAUUUUUUAUAUGCUUAGGUAGGCGUGAUUUUGAAUGUGUUUGAAGUGCCUUUGAAUAGCACAAUGGUUAGUUGUAUUAAGAUCCUGAAAUGGCAUUUUGGUGUAUGUAUUUGUUAUGUUUGGGUCCUUUUGAAGUGUGCUUAAAUGUGUUGAAAGGUCAUGCAUGAAAUGGUCUUGGAAAUGGCUUGAUUUUAGGUAAAUUUGGGUCCACACGGCCAGAGACACGGGCGUGUGACUCAGCCGUGUGAGACAUACGGCCUGGCGACAUGGCCCUGUGUCAUCUGAUGAUUUUCUUAUGUUGUAACAACCCGUUUAGUAAAAUCAAAAUAGUGGUUUCGAAACCAUAAACUCGAUGUCAAAAAAUUAUUUGAAUAUUAUUUUAAGUGUUUACAGCAUGAUAGCAUGUAUGAGUGAAAGUUUUGUGAAGUAAUUUUGUAACACCCCUAUCCCGUAACCAUCACCGGAAUAGGUAAGGGGCAUUACCGGACUUGUAACUCAUGUCAGAACAGUAAAAUUUUGAACUUUUUCUUGAAAUAAAGAUCAUUCAUUUAAAUAAGUACUAAGCACAGCCAGGGAUAAAAUUUAAACUUCUCUAAGUAAACAUUCAAAAGAUGCCAUUUUCGCAUGGCUUAUAUACAUUAACCAAAAAUAUUCUUCCGCCACUAGUCUAUUCUAUACAUGCCAUAAAAUAAUUCUAAACAUAACAGUAAUAAGCAGUGGAUAGUGAUAGUGUGACUAGUUGCUGACGAUCCCCGAGCCUGUAGCUUCGCAAUGAGAUCUAUAAAAUAGAGAAAACAAAGUAAACGGAGUAAGCAUUACAAUGCUUAGUAAGUUUUAAGCAGUGACAACAGAUAACAAUCAAAUUAUAACAUAGUUGUUCAUAUUUUUAUUUCACUCUUCCUUCGGGCAUACCAUCCCUUUACCGAAUAUGCACAUCUCAUCAUAUACAAUAGGCAGAUAAACUUUCACAUAAAAGUGAGCUCAUGUGACAUAGAUAUAUUGUAUGAUUUCACAUAUCCUCUCACACUGAUCCGAAGUCACAUAAUCAUAGGAAUAGUCUCAUAGAUUGCUCUCAUAUGCAUCACAUAACUACCUUAUGAUUUAGUUCAAAUCAAGCUCACAUAUAAACUUGGAGUACAUACCUGUUUAACCUUUCGCAUUGAAUAUAUUUAUAUGCAAUUCUUAUUACGAAGUCUUAUAGCUCUAACCUCUACUCGGAUUAUCGGUGAGACCUUUAGCUCAGACGAAAUCUCCACAUGAAGUUAUCGGGUCUUACCCAGACAAAAUCUCCACACGUAGUUAUCGGGUCUUACCCAGACAUAAUCUCCACACGUAGUCAUUGGGUCUUACCCGGACAUAAUCUCCACACGUAGUCAUCGGGUCUUACCCGGACAUAAUCUCCACACGUAGUCAUCGGGUCUUACCCGGAAUAUAUUUCCAAGUUUCAUGUACAUUUAAUCACAUGUUACAACAUUCACAUCGACUGUCAUAUUUGUAAUUCAUUUGCCUCAUCCAAAAAUCUAAUAAUACACACCUUUCACCGUUUGUCAUUUGGCCACAAUAUAUAUAUACACAUCUCGUACAUAUCUCACAUUAGCCAUUUGGCUUUACCACAUAUCCAUCUCAUACACGUUUCGCAUUAGCCAUUCGGCCUUACCACAUAUAUUCAUGUUCACAUUCAUCACAUUGGCCAUUCGGCCUUAUCUCAUAUAUGCAUGUUCACAUUCAUCACAUUGGCCAUUCGGCCUUAUCACACAUACGCAUGUUCACAUUCAUCACAUUGGCCAUUCGGCCUUAUCACACAUACGCAUGUUCAUAUCCAUCACAGUGGCCAUUCGGCCUUAUCACACAUACGCAUGUUCACAUUCAUCACAUUGGCCAUUCGGCCUUAUCACACAUAUAUAUACGGGUUCACAUUCAUCACAUUGGUCAUUCGGCCUUAUCACACAUACGCAUGUUCACAUCCAUCACAUAAAAUCCUAAAUCAAAAUAUAAAUUUUCAUGUAUUCACAUCACAAUUAUCCAAAUAUACUUCACAUACCACAUAUACUUUCACGUAUACACACUGCCUUGGCUGAAUCUACAUCUAUCAUUUUCCAAUAUCACAAUUUAGAAUUCACGUAUGGGUUUAAUCAAUAGCUUAUGACCAACUAAAACAAGUUUAUCAAGGUUUACAACAUAAUCUCAAAUUCAGCACAAGCUAUUUUUCCUGAGCAAUAGUCACUAAAUUAUUUAUAACUGGAGCUACAAAACUCCAAAUCACUUUAUGUUAAUUUUUCCUGAAUAUAAACUCGUAUAUCUUCCAUCCAUAAAAUUUCCAGAAUUUUAGGUUUGGCCAAUCAAUACCAGAUUUUUCUUAAAGUUUCUCCUGUUUCACUGUUUGACUAAUCUGACCACUCUUCACUACGAAUCAAAUUUCUCAUUUUACAGAAUUCAAAAUGUGUUUUAUUUGAUUUCAUUUGAAACUAGACUCAUUAAGGAGUCUAAGAAUAUAAAUUUUAUCUUAUAACCAUUUUUGUACAAUUUAUAAUGAUUUUCUAAAAACCGAACAGGUGAUUUCGGAGUCAUUCUGACACCAUCUCACACAACUUUAAAUAUCUCUUUCUAGGAAAUUUCUUUGCUCACAAGGUCUCUUUUAUAAGAAACUAGACUAAUUAAGCCUUGAUUACAUAUUUUAUGUAGCCUAUAAUUCCACACCAACAAUUUAUAGUGAUUUUCUAAAUUCACGUUACUGCUGCUGUCCAAAGCAAAUUAUUACAAUUUGCUCUUAAAUUUCCAAGUCCAAACACUUAUGAACUUACCAUUUGAGUUUAAGACAUAUCAUGGCCACAUCAUAUCUUAUUAAAUCAACUCAUUAUGUCCUAUUAUGAUUGAAUUUACUCAACGUUUAAUCACUUAAAACUUACCUCGGAUGUUGUCGAACGAUUUCGGCGGCUAUUCGAUCACUUUUUCCUUUCCUUUAUCCAACUUUGAUCCUCUAAGCUCUUGAGCUAAUUCAAACAAAUUUAACUUAUUAAAGUCUCAUUAUGCUAGCUUAUGGCCGAAUAUGACAAUGAAUUUGAUAGGUCAUAUGGCCACUUUUAGCUCAAAUACAAAAUGGUCAUACGCAUUUUUAAUCACAUUAAGCAAUUUAGUACAAUUAAUCAAACAUUUCCUCAUGUGCACCUUUAUGACCAAAUACACACAUCAUUAACCUAAUAUCAAUUAACUAAGCACUUAACAAAUUCUCCUUGAGCCGAUUGUCUAAGUCAAGAUAGGAUCAUCAUUAUGCUUACCUAUAGCCGAAUGUACAACAUCAAUCUAUGCAUUCAUUCGUGUGGCCGAACAUGCAUGUCUAUGUUGAGGCCGAUUGCAUACUUAAUACAUUCUACAAGUAUGGUCACUUGUAUUGACCAAAUACCAUUUUGUUUCAAGUUCAAAACUUGGCUAAUAUAUAUAUAUGCACUAUUAAAACAUCCUCUCCAUUCCAUCAAUUCAACACAUGCAUUACUCAUUAAUAUACAAAAUUAUAUUCGGCCUUAGCACACCUCUUGCUGGCCGAAUUUUUUCUCCAUCUAGCAACAUUUUAUGUACUAUGCCGAACCAAAAAGAUCAAACACCUAGCUUAAUCAUUUCCAAAACACUUAACCGGCCUUUGACCAAGACUUUAAACAAAGUCUAUGUUCGGCUAUCACACAUAUGGGCAUUAUUAGUUCAAAGUUUUAACAAGAUUAAUUUCUUUGAUCUUAACCUAAAUGACAACCCCCAUUGUUCAUCUAGAUUUAGCAUGAAACAAACACCAACCAAGAAAACAACACCCAUGGCCGAGUAUCAUCUUCAUCACAUAGCAAGAUUUAAACCAUAGGCUAGGUAGAACUCAAACUAACAUCAAAAAUAUGCAUGAAUCUCAUGGAACAACAUCAAACUUACCUUAACCUAGAUACAAGCAUGGCCGAAUCUCUUCAACAUUUCCUCCUCCUAAACACCAACCAACUGAACAUGAAGCAAGAAAAUCCUCUUCUUCUUCCUUCCUCCUUAGAAUUUUCAGCCAAAAGAAAUGUUAAAGGAUGGACACUUUUUUUUUCUUUGUUUUCAUCACCCUCCAUCUCCUUAUUUUAUUACUAACCCCUUAUUUUAUUAUUUCUAACAUAAACCAUUAACACAACAUGUUUAUGACAUGUUUUACCCAUCACCCUUUGUCAUGGCCGGCCAUUAGUAAUUAAAUGGGGGAAAUUGACAUGCAAGUCCACCCCUUUGAUUACAUGCACUAAUAGAUCCUUAUAGAUUAACCUAUCACAUUUCAAAAGUGUCACACAUAAGUCCUAUUAACUAAAUUCACAUGCAAUUAACUAAAUCAAAGCUUAAAACUUUCACACAUUCAUAUUCACAUAUUUUAGGCAAUAAUUAUCAUAUUCAAAUAAUUUGGUGACUUAGUUUAGCGGUCCCAAAACCGCUUUCCGACUAGGGUCACUUUAGGGGUGUCACAAAUUUUAUCGUUUGAAUGCUUAAUUCGAUAAAAAGGACUAAAUCACGUAAAGUGCAAAAGUGAUGUUCUAUUAGCUAAAGGUGUCUAAUAGCUAUAGAACCUUAAAGUAAAGGUCCUUAAGUGGUAAUUAACCCAUUUGAAAGUUAGUGGAUGAUAGUGGCAUGGCAAUUGGUGUAAUUAUUAAAUGUUUUAAAGGUUAAAUAAGUAAAUUAGUUAAUAAAGGUUAAUUAAAACAAAACAAAUUCAUAAUUUUUGUCCAUCUUCAUGCUAAUAGCCGAAUUUAACAAAGGAGAAAGCCAUUCUUAGGCCUUAAAGCAUUCGACCAACUCCUAGCUUAAUUGCAAGUCCGUUUUUGCUCGAUUUUUAAUGAUUUAUAUGUUUUUCUGAUAGUUGCAACUAGUACUAGCUAGCCCAGGGACUAUUUUGAAAAACUGUUAGAGAUUUUAAAUGAUUCCAUUGAUGAAUACAUGUGUAUUUUGAAGUUUCUUAAUAGAUUAUGAAUGCUUGUUGAUAGAUAUACAAGUUUUGUUAAGUGAUUUUUAGUGAAAAUGCAAAAUAGGGAUUAAAUUAAAAAAUGUUGAAACUUGAUGGUUAAAAUGUGAAAUCAAUGAAAAAUAUGGGCUGUUAGGGGUACAAUAGUAAUUCGGCUAAGCAUGGGUGUUUUAAAAUUUGCAUGAAUUUGUGAUUUUGUGUAAUAAGGACUAAAUUGUAAAAAUGUGAAAGUUUAGGGGCUAAUUUGUAAAAUAGCUUAAACGUAUAUUUUGGAUUGAAUUGAAUAAAUAUAUGAUUAAAUGAGUUGAAUUUGAUAUUAUAUAGAUCAAGAAAAAUUGAAUUUGGAAUUGGAUCUGAGAAAAGAUAAAGUAUUCGAUUAAUCGACAAUUUCAUUGUUAUUAAAUUGAGGUAAGUUCGUAUGUGAUAAAUUUCACUAUAACAGUAUUUUAAUUGCUUUGAUAUAUUAUAAGUUGUGAAUACGAGACUUCGGGUAAGUUCGACAUUAACUCUAUGACAAUUCAACAUCCGAAAUCCUGGUUGAACCUUGGGAAUAGUUUAGGAUACUAGUGACAUGUCAUUAGGGGAUAUGUAACAUCCGGAUUUUGGGCCUAGUCAGAAUAAUGGUUUUGAGACCACAAAUUCAAAGUAGAAAUAAUUAUUUUAUGAAUGUGUUGAGGUCUAUGAUAUGUUUGCAUGAUUGUAUGAAACUUCAGUUAAGAAAUUUUGUUGAUAGAGUGUCCAAUUUGAUUUUUAGGACUAAAUUGAAAAAGUUGCAAAAUAUGUGAUUCUAGAAGCUUUAAGCAUGGAAUAGCUAUGGAUUAUUAAUUAGACGCCCUUAAAUAGCAAUUUAACCAAUUUCUAUUUUUAUGGACAAAAAUGGGCAUGAAUAAGUAAAAUUGAAGGUUUAGUAAAAAGGGCAUUUUGGUCAUUUGGUUAAUAAAAGAAUAGAAAGGGAAAAUUAAUUCAAAAUUUGCUCAUCUUCUCCAUGCCAUAGCUGAAAUUCCUAAGGUCACCUUAGCUAGGGUUCUUCAACUUUCAAGCUUGAUUGUAAGUGCAUUCUAGCCUCGUUUUUAAUGUUCUUUACAUUUUUGAAGUUGUUGUCAACUGAUCUAGCCAUUUCUACCGUUUAUUUGAGCUUGAGUUGAUGUCUAAGGUUUGACCCAUAAGUGACAUGUAUGUAUUUUGAUGUUUCAUGGUAGAUUAUGAAAGUUUGAUGUGUAAUAAACAACCUUUACUAGGUGAUUUUUUAUGAAAAUACCUAAAAUAGACCUAUUUGUACAAGUUGUAAAAUGUGUAGUAAAAAUCUGAUUUGAUGAAAAAUGUGGGCUGAUAUGAGCAUGUGUGUGGGUCGGCUAGGCUUGAGUAACAAAGAAAUUGAAUGCAUUUCAUUUGACGAGCCUAAGGACUAAUUUGUAAAUAUGUGAAAGUUUAGGGGAAAAACUAUAAUUUUUCGAAAGUAUGGUUUUUGGAUUGAUUUGAACAAUUUGGUAAUUAAAAGAGCUAAAUUUGAUAUUACAUAUGAAGAAAAACAGAGUCCAAACCUAGACCGGGGAAAGAACAAGGUUGUGGACUAAAUCGAGUUAGUUAGCUAUAUUUUGUACUGAGGUAAGUUCAUAUGUAAAUAAUACAAUAUUAUGAUCAUAUUUUUAAUGCAUUAAUAUUGUAUGAAUUGUAUAAUUGAUUCGAUGAACAAAUUCGACAAGUUCCGAAAAGAGAGAGAAAAUCCUGUUUGAACCUUAGGAAUAGAAUAGGAUACGAGUGACAUGUCACUAGGACCCAUGUGAUAUAUAUGAUUAUGUGAUUUGAGUGCUGGUCAUGUACGUCCUACCGGUGGCUAGGUAGUUCGGCAUGUGUUACGGAUGCCUGGUAGCUUGUGUGAGUAGCUCGUGUAGCUACGCCUUGACCGUCUGCUUGUGUGAGCAGACCCGUGAUUAGCUCGAGAGCGAGCAUUUAUGUGAUAUGAAAUAUGAGGUAGCUUUGGCUAUAUAUGUUGCACUUGUGUGCAAAGACCUUCUGUGUAUCCGUUUAGUAUUCCAAGUGUUCAACGGGUAUGUCAAAAACGAGAAAAAGUAUGUUAAGUCACAAGUUGGUACAGGUAUGUACGAAAAACUCAUAAGAUUGAGCUUGUUAAGUGAUGAACUUUUAGUAAGAUUAAGAAUGAUAAAGUUAUGCUUAUGAAACUAUGAUGAUCAGUAUGUGAUUUAUGCUAAGUUAAAUUGUAUGAUAUUCAUGCUAAAUGUUGCUUAAUAUUGUUUAUUAUUGCAUAUGAACUUACUAAGCUCUAUGCUUACUCCCUUUCUUUCCAUUUUCUUAUAGUAUCGCCAAGCUAGCUCCAGAAUCGAAGGACGUGGGAGCUCGAUUCACACUAUCAAAUUAAUCUUUCGGGUAUUCAUGAUUUCAUAUUUUGAGUAUGGCAUGUAUAGGGACAUGGUCUUUUUGUGAUAUGUUUCAUUAUUGAUUUGGCCAAAUGUGUUGGCUUGUAACGGUAAUUGAUUCAUUUUGUAAAUGGUCAUAUGGUAUUGGCUAAUAUUGGCUAAGUAUAUAUAUACAUAUGAUGAUGCCUUUCAUGGAUGUGGUUAUCGCAUGGUUUGUAAUUAUAAGUAUGAGAUGUUGUAUGUAAUAGAAAUUGGCAUGAAAUUGAUGUGUGGAUGUCUUGGUUGUGGCUGAAUUGGUAAUGUGUAUAUGUUUGGAUUGGUGUUCUUUAAUGUUGUGUAGGUUGGUGCAAGUAAGGGUGGCAAAAAGGCUUGGUAAAUAACCCUAUUUUUGUCCACACGGGUAGACACACGGGCAUGUGUCUAGGCUAUGUGUGAUACACGGUCUACCCCCAUGGGCGUCGGAUCCGACCGUGUGUCCCCUGCACCUUAAUUUUAGUAUCAGAAUGCUCAGUAUUGAUUACACAAGUGCGAGACACGGCCGUGUGUCUCGACCGUGUGAGAGACACGGCCUUGGGACUUAGGCAUGUUUCCUGGCCAUGUGAAGUCUGCAUCUAUUUUGUGAAAAAUUAUAGAAUUUAAUCGUCCACACGGCCUAAGCACACGGGCAUGUGCCUUGGCCAUGUGACCUCAUUUAUUACAUGACGUCAUAAACAGAGAGUUACACGGGCUAAGGACACAGGAAUGUCCUAAGCCACACGGGCAUGUGUGAUCACAUGGCUUACCCACACGGGUGUGUGACCUUCCAAAGCAUGAAAAUUUUUUUAAGUGUUGUAAAAGUUUUGAAAGUUCUCAGUUUAGUCUCGAAUCACUCCCAAUGUAUGUUUUGAGCCUCGUAGGCUCGUUUAAGGGACGAUGCGAAUGAUUUUGAAAAGUUUUAAAUUUGCAUGGAAAUUUAUGUUUUGGUUCUACAUGAUUUCUUGUGUAUAAAUCCGGUAAUACCUUGUACCCUAUUCUGGCAUCGAAUACGGGUAAGGGGUGUUACACGAUACAUGUGUUGGUUUCGGGACAUGAUAUUAGCAUUUCGGGUGCCAUUUAUACUGAUUUGGCUUCGGGCCAUGAAUAUCGGCUGGUUUUGCUUUGAGCCAUUAUAUCAGUAUUUCAAACAUAAAUUAACUUGAUUUAGCUUUGGGCCAUGGUAUAGGUACUUAGUCUGCGAGACUCCUGAGUAUCCAACUUCCCAAAAUUUGUGCUGCUAUAUAAUGCAUAUAAGGUUAAACCAUGGAUCAUACCAAUAAAAUUACUUCUUUUCAAUUUUAAUGGAAAUAGGAACAUUAAUAAAAAUAUUAUUGAAAAUAAAAAAAGGGUCACCCAGGAGUAUUUAGCCUUGCAAGGUGGUCCUUGCUGAUUCACACGGGAUUCCACGUGCCCCAUGCUACUCGGGUCAGAGCGUAAGCUAGUGAUGCUUUCGGCUACUGGACUAUCGCCAUCUAGGGUUCGGCACUUCACCGCUUCGCCUAGCAGCACGACGCUUUUAUUGCUCUCCCACAACCCCAUUUUCACGGUUUAGGCUGCUCGGCAGAACAACUCAAAAGAUAAAGAAGUAUCGUUAAUUUCUUCAUGCUCGUUCCAAGCUAGAAGUACCAUUUGUACAAAUAAGAAUCCCCUUCGUUACAUGAUUUCUUC